AUCAUUGGCCUAAUUGAUUCAGGUACGUAAGACAAAAUAAACUCAAUAAUGAGCACUAUAAUUAUUUCGCAAAGCAUGUUCAUAUAUCUAUAUAUAUAUCUAUAUAUAUAUAUAUAUAUAUAUUACUUCAGUUUAGGAAUAUACUUGGUCAUCGAUCCGAACUUUCACCUAUUUGCAGGUAUCUGGCCCGAAUCGAAAAGUUUCAGCGACGAAGGUUUCGGGGCGGUGCCUGCGAAGUGGAAAGGCGUGUGCCAAGAAGGACAGGAUUUCAGCACCAGCAACUGCAGCCGGAAGAUCAUCGGGGCGCGGUGGUACGCAGGCGACGUCGACCCGAACGACCUCCAAGGGGAAUUCCUCUCUCCCCGCGAUGCCAACGGCCACGGCACCCACACGUCCUCCACCGCCACAGGGGCGCUCGUUCCGGACGCCAGCUUCCACGGGCUGGGAGCCGGAGCCGCGCGCGGCGGCGCCCCUCGCGCCCGCCUAGCGGUCUACAAGGCGUGUUGGGGGAGCGUCGGCCAUUGCAGCGACGCGGACACCCUACAGGCGAUCGACCAUGCCAUCCACGACGGCGUCGACGUCCUCUCUUUGUCAAUCGGCGGGCCGUCCGAGCAGCCCGGCACAUUACAUGCAGUGGCCAGCGGCAUAACCGUCGUCUUCUCCGCCGGUAACGAUGGGCCUGCUCCCCAGACUGUUGAGAAUUCGUCCCCCUGGGUGAUAACGGUUGCUGCGAGCACGAUUGAUCGAUCUUUUCCUACCGUCAUCACACUCGGAAAUAAUCAAAAACUUGUGGUGCGUACAUAUGCAGUAAAAAAUCUAACAAAUAUAUAUAUAUAUAUAUAUAUAGAGUCCGGCUACUAUACUAUCGAUAGUACCAAGCCUUUGGUACUAUUGAGUUUUCUACCGUUAGAUAUAGCCUUCAAUCAUUUCCAUCCGUUAGAUUAUACUAUUAAACCAACCACCCACUCAACCCUAGGGGACCACUAUCAAUUUAACCGGGAAUACCAAAGGACUGGUACUAUUGAUAGUAUAGUAGCAUAAUUCUAUAUAUAUAUAUAUAUAUAUAUAUAUAGUUGAGCUAGAAUACUAUCGAUAGCAAACGGGCUCCGUUGCCACCCAUUUGUUUUUGUUGAUGGAGCCUCCAAAUCGACGAUCGGCAUCGUUGAACAUAAUCUAUACCACUUGAAGUGUUUAGAAAUCAAAUUUCAUAUAUUUCCGACAUUGUUUUCUUAUCCAUCACUACAACAAAAACGGUCUAUAGCAACACUUUUAAAUGUAAGUACAUGUCAAAAAAGUGCUGCGAACUAAAAUUACCGACACUUUUAAGAAGUGUUGCUAUAUGUGGGGUCGCUAGGUAUAUAGUGACAGUUAAAGAGUGUCGCUAUAACCUAAAAGAGUGCUGCUAAUUUACCAACACUUAUUUAAGCAUUUAGCAACCGCCGAAACUUUAUCUCGUUGGCUACGGUGGCAGAGAAGGACGAUAGUAAAGACUUUUCGUCUAGAAUUUCAGUGGAUUGAGUGAAGAGAGAAGAAAAGAUGGUAAUUGAUUUUUUUUUUUUUUCUUUUCUGUUUGUAAUCGGGCCAAAUGGACUGGGUGUGGUGGGUUGAGUAGAGUAAUCUUUUAUUUUUGGUUGGAUUGGGCUUUAUAUUUAGGCAUUAGUAAAUGUGUUUUUAAGUUUUAGCAUAAAUGAGACACUUACUCAAAAGUGUCCCAAACAUGUGUCCCUAUAACCUAAUUCUGUUGUAGUGUAUCAAGUGGACACAAAAAUGAACGGCUAAAAAUGAAUAUUCUUUAAAAAAUGAUGAUAGGAAUUUUGUAAUCAAGAUCAAGAAUAUAGAUUUUGUUUUAAAUAGUUUAAAGAAUUUUCUAACAAAAAUUCAAUUGAUUUGGAUAUCUUUACGCCGUUAAACGAGAAAACGCUUCAUAUCGACCAUUAAAAUUAUAAAUUUUGAAACCUUUUGAUCAUUAUGCAAAUGAUGUCGAAAAGAUUUGAAAUUUAUUUUCUAAAUAUUUCAAGUGGUAUAGAUGAUGUUCAACGGUGCCGAUCGUUGAUUUAGAGGCUCUAUCAUCGAAAACAAGUAGGUGGCAACGGUACCCGUUUGCUAUCGAUAGUAUUCUAGCUCAACUAUAUAUAUAUAUAUAUAUAUAUAUAUAUAUAUAUAUAUAUUACUAUACUAUCAAUAGUACUAAACAUUUUGUACUAUCGAGUUUUCAGUAGUUGAAUGUAAAGAUGUGCGGUUAGAAUGAUAGUGGUCUUCUAGGAUUGAGUGGGUGGUUGGUUAAAUAGUAUAAUCUAACGGGUGGAAAUGAUUAACAGGCAGAUCUAACGGUAGAAAACUCAAUAGUAUCAAGAGCUUGGUACUAUCGAUAGUAUAGUAGCCCCUCUCUCUCUCUCUCUCUCUCUCUCUCUCUAUAUAUAUAUAUAUAUAUAUAUAUAUUACCUGAUUUGAUGUGCUUCUUAAUCAGAACUAUUUAUACAACAUAAUGUGUCUAUGUGUAUUUUCUCUUGCAGGGCCAAUCCAUCUUCUAUGAGAUCAAGAAAGAGGACCAAUUUACGGAAAUUAUUAACGGAGAAAGGUAUUAUUACUUAUUGUUUAUGUAUACAAUAAUGCAUAUAUAUACAUAUAUAUGAUGUUUUUUUCGUAAGUAUAUAUAUAGCUAGGAAGUGUGUGUAUAUAUAUAUAUACACCUAAGAAUUAUUGUAUGUAAUGAUAACUAGUAAUUAGUUUAAUUAGUUUCGUAAAUAUGCAUCUAAUUGCAAGGUCAAUAUAUGUAUGCUCUUCUCAUUUGUGAUGGAACAUAUGCGGUGAUUUUCGCAGCUGCCACAACGGUUCUGUCAACACCACCGACAUUGCCGGAAAGAUCGUGCUGUGCUACGCUCCCAGUAACGUUUCGUCGACGCUGCCGCAGAUCGACCUGGGCACCGUAGGUUCAUUUGUAUUGCAAGCUGGGGGAAAGGGCCUCAUCUACGCGCAGUACACCACCGAUGCUCUCAUUGCUGUUGCAGGGUGUGGAGAAGUUCCGUGCGUUCUCGUGGACUUCGAAAUCGCCACUCAGAUACUGAACUACAUAGACACUUCAACGUACGUAACACUGCUAUACUACUACGUACAUCUCCUCGUUACCUUCUUAUGUAGCGCGUAGCCCUAGUUGGUUCAGAAAUAAAUAGUUUAUUAUUUAGGAAUAGUUAGAAAAUUAUAGAAUUGCCUUUUGUUUAUAAUAUUGCUAUUUUUUAAAAAAAAUUGAUCAAAUUGUAUUCGAUCGGUAAAUUUAAUUAAAUAGUAAAAAAAAAUAGUAGAAAAAAAUUAUGAUUGAAUUUGAUGUAAAAUAAUUCUCAAACCAAAUGGGACCUUAGUUUUUAUAAGAAACUUAUAUAUUUCCGCUGAGAAAGUUUACUAUGCAGCAUUUAUUCUACAUGAUCUAAAUCCAGCCAAUUACGUACACACACCGUUAGGAUUUGGUUAGAUUUGUAAUUAAAUCUUAUUUGGAUAAUAAUUAAUAUUUAAAUCUGUUUGAGAUAAAUUAAGAUUUAAAUAUUAAUUAGAGGAUAAACCUAACUAGAUUAGGAUUAAUAUUUAAAUCUAUUAGAGAUUGAUUAAGAUAGAUUUAGAUAUUAAUUGGAGUAGAAAUCCUAAAUAUAUUAGGAUUGGGGUACGUUUUGGUGGAGCCUUAUAAAUAGCUCUUUGUGGGUUUGCUUUUUGAGUGAAGUAUCGGGAGAGAGAGAAAGAGUCUCUUGGGUUGCCGUACCAGAGAGAGAAAAAGAAAGAGAGAGUUAUUUAAUUAUGCUUUGAGUGCACCUAGUGCACAGGUGCAUGUAAAGAAUUGUCUUCUUUAUGGAUUUAUAGAAGAUGAGAGAAGAGUAGAAGAGAUUCAGAAAGAGGGCUCGGGUUGUAGCUACUCUGUGCAGAAGAGGAGUCAGGUGUAAUCUUCUCUUAUUUAAUGAAUCUUAUUUUACCUGCAUAUUUUUCUCUUUUAUGAUUGUAUCAGCUUUUGCUGAGGAGACGGGUUUAUGGUAAAAACCCGAUUUGACGUUUCCGUUGCGGAAUCCCAACAAUCGAUACCGGAUCCACAGCAGUCAGUAUCGGAGCGGGUUGCGGAUUCACGAGAUCCGGUACCGCGGGGCGAGUAUCGGAUUCCCAACAAGUGGUAUCAGAGCUGAAGGUUAUCGAUCCGAGGGAGAGAUCGACGAAGAUGGCCACGAAAUUCGAAAUCGAGAAGUUCGACGGCAAGAACAAUUUUGGAUUGUGGCAAAUUAAAGUACGAGCGAUCCUCGUACAGCAAGAAUUGGACGAGACGUUGAACGGGAAGGAGGCGAAGCCGGCGGAGGUCACGGAUGCGGCAUGGACGAAGAUGGAGCGGAAGGCGCUAAGUACGCUUCAUCUAUUAUUAGCAGAUGAGGUUCUUUACAAUGUAGCCGGCGAGACGACACCGGCGAAAUUGUGGAAGAAAUUGGAAGAUCUGUACAUGACCAAAUCCCUGACGAACAGAUUGUAUCUAAAGCAGCGACUGUUUACGUUGCGGAUGCAAGAAGCGGCGAGCCUACAUGAUCAUCUAAAUGAGUUCAACAAGAUGGUGGCCCAGUUGACUAGCAUCGGAGUCAAUCUGGAUGACGAAGAUAAGGCGCUGAUUUUACUAUCUUCGCUACCGGCGACAUAUGAGCAUCUGGUGACCACAUUACUUUAUGGCAAGGAGACCAUAAGCGUGGAGGCGGUCACGGCGGCGCUUCUCUCGAACGAGAUGCGGAAGAUGACUCAGGGGUCCGGCACGCAAAGUCAGGAUAUAGGACUGGUGGUGACUGCGAAGAAGGAUGCGAGAAUAUCGACGACCGGAUAUCGACAGAAGAAGCCGCUAUCUGAGGUAGAGUGCUUUUACUGUCACAGGAAAGGGCAUAUCAAGCGCAAUUGUCGAAAACUUCAGGAUGAUCUGAAAGAGUUAAAGCGACAGAAGGAGAAAACUGUCGUGAACCAGGAUGAGACGGUAUCAGCGACGGCACAGACGGCAGAGUCAGAGAUGUUCGAUUCUGAUGUGCUAUAUGCGGCGACCGGAGGUGCAAAAAUUUCGGACGAUGCGUGGGUGCUCGAUUCAGCGUGUUCUUUUCACGUAUGCCCGGAGAAGGAGUCUUUUGCCACCUAUAAGGCGAUCAAAGGUGGAAAGGCGCUGAUGGGGAACGGGACAGCGUGCAAAGUAUUGGGAGUCCGCACGGUGAAGAUCCGAAUGCACGAUGGGGUCGUGAGGACGCUGACAGGUGUUCGGCACGUUCCUGGAUUAAAGCGGAAUUUGAUCUCGUUAGGCGCAUUGGACUCGAAGGGUUGCGAUAUUUCGGCUUCAGGUGGAGCUAUGAGGGUCCGAAAACGAGAUCGGGUCGUGUGCGAGGCGAACAAGCGUGGGAAAUUAUACGUUCUGAACGGAAGCACAGUCAGAACGAGAGUGAAGAUCGUUUGGGUUUCAAAAGUUCGCGGAGGUGCAGUCGCUCGAAACGGAGCAACGGAUGCGGCGACAUCGAGCGGAGGAGACAAGCUCAAGGUGGAGCUUGCAUGGUGAGCUCGACGUGAUGGUUGAAGAUUACAAAUUCAAUCAAGGUGGAGAUUGUUAGGAUUUGGUUAGAUUUGUAAUUGAAUCUUAUUUGGAUAAUAAUUAAUAUUUAAAUCUGUUUGAGAUAAAUUAAGAUUUAAAUAUUAAUUAGAGGAUAAACCUAACUAGAUUAGGAUUAAUAUUUAAAUCUAUUAGAGAUUGAUUAAGAUAGAUUUAGAUAUUAAUUGGAGUAGAAAUCCUAAAUAUAUUAGGAUUGGGGUACGUUUUGGUGGAGCCUUAUAAAUAGCUCUUUGUGGGUUUGCUUUUUGAGUGAAGUAUCGGGAGAGAGAGAAAGAGUCUCUUGGGUUGCCGUACCAGAGAGAGAAAAAGAAAGAGAGAGUUAUUUAAUUAUGCUUUGAGUGCACCUAGUGCACAGGUGCAUGUGAAGAAUUGUCUUCUUUAUGGAUUUAUAGAAGAUGAGAGAAGAGUAGAAGUGAUUCAGAAAGACGGCUCGGGUUGUAGCUACUCUGUGCAGAAGAGGAGUCAGGUGUAAUCUUCUCUUAUUUAAUGAAUCUUAUUUUACCUGCAUAUUUUUCUCUUUUAUGAUUGUAUCAGCUUUUGCUGAGGAGACGGGUUUAUGGUAAAAACCCGAUUUGACGUUUUCGUUGCGGAAUCCCAACAAUCGAUACUGGAUCCACAGCAGUCGGUAUCGGAGCGGGUUGCGGAUUCACGAGAUCCGGUACCGGGGCGAGUAUCGGAUUUCCAACACACACCUCACACACACACACGCGCGCGCGCACACACACAUAUAUAUAUAUAUAUUAAAAAAGUAUAAUAAAAAUGUUUUCUUUUUUACAAAUUGUAAUGAAAUGCGUGAACCUGACAGGCCAAAUAUGAUUUGUUGGAGAUACUGCUAACGCUGUAUAAGCCAUGUGACUGUUCUAUUUUAGAUUUUUUUUUUAUUUCCACUAUUUGGUAGUACUUUAAGCAUAUAAUACAGUAAACCUGAUCCUUCAAUUCUUUGUUAACUUAUUGAUAGGAAUACGCCGGUGGCGAAGGUGUCUCUGACGAGUAAUACGAUAGGAAGUGAAGUGCUUGCUCCAAAGAUCGCAACUUUCUCAUCCAGGGGGCCUAGUGCAACUUUUCCAGGAAUCCUCAAGGUAAUAAAAUAAAAAAGAAAAAAGAAAAAGGAAAAAAGAGAAAAAAAUCAGAAAUAUUAAUUAGUCACUUAUUUCCGCCUUAUUUUCGAUGAUAGAAUAUUUAAAUUGACAACCGAUACUAUUAAACAUGAUAUGUGAUAUUUGAAAUUUCAAAGAUUUGUCUAUUUUACUGACUCAGCAAUUGAGUAGUCGAAUCUCAACACCUCUGCCUACUAGAAUUUCUAACUAUCAACUUAGUGUAUUAUUACUUGGUGAGAAAUUUUGGACUUGCACUAGUACUAGGUGUAUGUCUCGAUCCUCAUUUGUAUAACAUGUAUUACUUUUAGUUAAUUUCCUAUUUAUUUAUGCAGCAUAUAUACUAACAACUUGUCAAAUUUGAACAGCCAGAUAUAGCUGCACCAGGAGUUAACAUCUUGGCAGCUAAACGGAAUUCGUACGUUUUCGACUCAGGAACGUCGAUGGCGUGCCCCCACGUUUCCGGAGUGGUUGCGUUGCUCAAAUCGAUCCACCCAGAUUGGUCUCCUGCUGCUAUAAAAUCCGCCCUUGUCACCACCGGUGCGUAGUAACAAGCUUUAAUUUGCUUCUCUGUGCUGAAACACUGUAUUUGAGCAUUCGGCAAAUUAAAAAUCUACAAUUACUACUGUGACAGUGUGUUAAGCACUUCUGCUUUUGUUACACUAAAAAGUUGUUUAUGAGUUGCAUAUUGGUGAACUCAUGAAUAAAAAUAAUAGGUUUAUUGAAGAUACUAAGUGCUAACGGUCGAUUUGAAUUUCCGUGAAGCCUCUGUCACCGACAGCUUUGGGCUACCGAUUCUGGCGGAUGGGACACCGACGAAGAUUGCAGAUCCAUUCGACUUUGGUGGCGGGUUCGUCAGCCCGAACCGGGCAGCUGACCCGGGUCUGAUCUAUGACAUCGAUCCGAAGGACUAUCUCAAGUUCUUCUACUGUACCCUUGGUCCAUCCGACGAUUGUCAAUUCGCAAAGGGGCCUCUGUACGAUCUGAACCUACCGUCGAUAUCCAUUCCGAAUCUUAAAGCAGCGGUGACGGUGGAGAGGACAGUGACAAAUGUGGGCCCAGCUGAUGCAGUAUACCAGGCACAGUUCCAGAGUCCCCCUGGAGUUGAAAUGUAUGUGGAGCCAUCUAUUCUGCGGUUCGACGAACAUACGCAGAAGCAGAGCUUUAAGGUGACAUUCAAAUCAGCGCGAAAACUGCAAGGAAGUUACAUGUUCGGGAGCUUGACUUGGUUCGACGGCGCGAACCACUGGGUCAGGAUACCCAUCGCGGUUCGAACCGUAGUUCGUGAUUUCUAUGCGGACACUGACUAAGCUGAAGCAAGCUAUCGAUAUAACUCGAUGCUCUAUUAUAUGUCGACGAACGAAUAAAAAAUGAGUGUAUUUUGUUUAAUUUUGUUCAGAAAAACAAGUGUGUUUUGAGUUUGGUUGUAUUUCAAUAAAGGUACAAAAUAAUAGUUUGUGGAAUUUGGUUGCAUUGCACCAAAACUAUAUUGCUUUUGGUGCACACUGGGCAUUGAGAAUUCAUUACUUUCUAAUCCUUCUAUUUAUCUUUAGUAGGAGCUAAACAAACUUGAAUUGUAUUAAAGAACCAAAAACAUACAAUAUUGUCACACUAUACAUUCUCAUUACUUUAAGCAUUCCUAUGGCCUGAUAAAGAAGAAGGAAGAAGAAAAAAAUAAACAUUAACAACAUUGAACACCUAAAUAUACUUCAUCCAAACAUUCUAGUUCACUAGUGAUUUCCCCCUCAAUCCCCUGAAGAAGCACUUUCCUUUGCAAUGAGAUUGAUGCCGCGAACCCAUAAUUCCACACUAGGGCCACUUCUAGCCUCGAAAUGGACCUCUCGCCCCCCCACCGUCACCACCCGAAAGACCGCCGCCUCACCGUCUUUAUCGUCAUUCCUCCUAUUCUUCGAAAAAUUCAAACUCGGCCCCGCCGUCGCCUCCUUACACACCACAUUCCUUCUCUCGCUCUUCCCCCACGUCAAAACCCCGGAGUUUAGCAUCCGGACGUUCUUCAAAUGUGGCGUGCCCCGCCCCUCCCUUGUGUGCUUGAUGAGCUCCUCCCCUUCGGUCACACAAACUCGAGCUAAUUGAUCGAGUAUCAAACCCUCGGUCGCCUUGUUUGAUUUAGGGCUUAUCCUCGCCAAUGUUAAAGCCGUCUCGUUUCUAGCAUUGGUAAGCCCGCAGUCGGCCCCUCCUUGUAGUAUUAAAACCUGGCACGCCUCCGACUUUCCCUCCAUGGCCGCGAGCAUUAGAGGUGAAUAACCGUUUUCAUCAAAAGAAUCAACUUUCCAUCCCAUCUUUAAGAGUUGAACUAUUGAUGAUGUGUCGCCCUUUUGAGCCGCAUAAUGAAGAGCUCGAAAUAUCAUUCGAUCAGUUAUAAUGUCGGCUAGUGUCGCUUUGAGCAAAAUCUGUUCAAAAGAAUCCCUCAUUACAGGAUCUUCGUUCUGAAGCAUGGACAUUAAAGUCUUAUUUUCGGAAUUCUUUACCGAAAUAUCUGCUCCAGCCAUUACUAAAAGCCGGAAUACUUCUGUUUUUCUGGCCUUCGCCGCGACCAUGAGGGGAGUAAAUCCGGAACUAUCCGGCUUGUUUAUAUCUGCAGUUGAGGAAUGGAGAAUCAUCUGAAGAGGCUCGGUGGAACCACUUUCAGUGAUAAAAUGUAAUGGAGAGAAGGCAUGAAUAUUUGAUGAGUUCAAAUUCACCCCUGCAUUCAAAGCUUUCGUCAUGAUGUCUAUGAGGGACGACGAAAAAGCACUUGUUUUUGCAACCUGCACUGCUGUUUCACCUGAAUCACUCACAAGCCCUAAGUCGGCCCCAGCUAUAAUAAGCUCGAGAAAACAAUCGGCACUACCGGCCUUUGCAGAGAUCAUUAGAGGAGUCUCACCGUUUGAUGUCUUUGCAUUGAUAUCCGUUCCAUGUGAUAUUAAUUGCCUCAGUAUGUCAGCACAGCCCAGUCUCGCCGCCAAGUGAAUGGGUCGGGAUUCAUACCUAUUUUUGGUUCUUAUUGGGAACUUGGAGUUUGCACCGGCUUUGAGGAGAGCGCUUACUGCAUUAGGGUUCCGGCAAAGGAUGGCGUGGCAGAGAAGGGUGCGGCCAAGAUGCGGGUUUUCAAGUAAGUGUGGUUCAUGCCGAAGAAGAAGACGAAGGAUUUCGCCGCUAGAUUCAAAGUACUCGACCGUGCACCAUUCCGCAGUGUAGGGCUCGCCCAAGCAGGCGCCAACUCUGAGCUCCUCGCCGGUAAUCGGGUCCCACGACCACGCCCCGAGCCGAGCUAGACAGUCCGUCCUCGCACCAGCCUGCAUGUAGAGUCUCAUAUUUUGAACUGUGCAGGUCUCAAAGAUUUUAGAAAACAACAAACAGCAAGAAAGCCUGUGCAAACGCCAACAUUUUAAGAUUACAUUAAAGCCAACAGUUUGCCCCACAGACCUGUAAGCUAAGUGAUUUGCGACAUUUAUAGUUUAACAGGGUAAUUAAUAUAUAGGUUUAAAUAUUUCAGAGACAAACUAAAAAUUAAUAACAAUAUUUAUAAGGAGAGUUUGAUGAGUUUCAGCCUCUAACAAAACUCAUAAUUGAAUACAUUACAUUGCAUGACUCCAUAGAUAAGAAAAAUGCCCUUCUCAACAUGAAGUUAAAGAGGACAUAGAGCAUUACCUCUAGUAAGAAUUUCACAGUAGAAACUUGUCGGCUCACGAUCGCAGCUACAAGAGGCGUGCAAUCCACAUUUGCAUGCAGUGCAGGCUUAAUUGACUGCAAGAGGACCCUAUCCACACAAUUAAUGUCCACCCCGUUCUGCGCAGUUACCACACAAGAUACUUUUAAAAUAGCAAAAAGAUUUCGAUCACAUAUAUCCUAUAACUGGCAUAAAUAGUUACAUAUAUAUAUAAACCUGCAAAGUCGUCAAGUUACAUAACAGCAUUCCUACAAAUCUUAUUUUUAUAUAUGCCCCCCAAAAAGAAACUCGAUUUCUUUUGUGUACAAACACGUUUGUACUUACAAAUGUGUGUCAUAUUACAAAGCUUUUUUCAGAACAAAAGCAACUUUUUUCAUGCAUUGGAUGAUUCUCAGAAACUGCAGCUUCGAGGGACAUAUAUAGAAAUUACGAUUUUACAGGUGCAUGUAAAUAAAGGAUUUAGUAGGAAUAUACAAGUAAAGGUGCCACAAAUAACAUACAAAUAGUACGUUAGUUGUACCUUGAUUAGUGCGGCCACUACAUCAACAAAGCCUCUAGAAGAAGCUGUCACAAUAGCAUGGGCAGCUGAAUCGAGCCUCACCAUCUCUGAGCUAAUUAAUAGUUGAACUGCUUCAGCCUCGCCAAAAAGACUAGCUUCGAGCAAAGCAUCUUCACAAGCUGGUUGAGAAGCUCCAGCUUUCAGAAGCACUUCAAGGAUGUCGCAGUGGCCUUCGCGUGCAGCAGCGGUCGCAGCAUAGCCCCGAAACAGCUUCUGAUUGACAUCAGCUCCAGCUUUCUACAGUGAAAAAGCAGCAAAAGCUUGAAUUUUUAAGCAGCAGCUACAAAACCAAACAACAAAGCCUUUCACUUGCUUCUCGAUAUUCUUGAUCAAGUUACGCGGUUCUUUUCUCGUUCAUUAGGCUUCGUAUAGAUUAUGAUAACCACCCACAGCUAGAAGCACUAGUUAUAUAUAAACAGAAGGUUAAGUGAACUGAUUUCGAGGCCUCAUUCUUGUACGGCGAAAACAAUAAAACUACAGAAUCUGGUUAUUUAAUCAAUCAAAAAUCAAUAAUAAUUCAUAAACUGCCUUUUUUCCUCCUACAUAUUGAAAUUAUCCAACCUCUAGAGUUACUAAUGUCGAUUACGCACAAAUCAGUAUUUUCUAAUUCUCAUUAAUAUAAAUUAUAUCUUACUUGAUAAUUUGAAUGUAACACCAAACUCAAUAGAUUUGAAUUUUUUUUUUUUUAAAAAGAAAGAAUAGGAAAGGAGAAACACCAACAACUCCUUUUCCUUGAAUAAUAACUAACACAUUCUGCAUCAUUUUUCUUGAGUUAUCAAACAAUACACAAAUAAUGCCCACAUUUAGAACUUAAAUACCACACUAAAAUCCCCAACCAAAAAUCCAUGAAAAUUUGGAAAAUAGAAGAGAGCAUUUCCAUUCAAUUUGAACUUACAUUUUGCAAUUCAAAUGAUCAAAUACUAAUUUUGAACCAAGAGAAAAGAUUGGAUCUUUACCAGGAGCCUUCGCACCACGUCGAUGUGGCCGGAGUGCGCGGCGGCGAACAAGGCGGUGACGUCGCUCUUGAGCUCCCGGCGCUCGAUCUCUACCUCGUCCGCCGCCUCCUCGCGCAUCGCGAUCUCCACGCACCGCACACUCAGCACCACCGCACCCACCUCGUUCACAUCCGCCGCCGCCGCCGCCGCCGCUCCGGCGCCGCCGAGGCACUCCUCCACCGCCCGCGCGUCCCCUCUCAGCGCCGCCUCCACCAGCCUCUGCGACGUCGCAGCCUCGUCGCCGCGCGCCGCCGCCCUGUGACGCGCCAUGGAUCGAACCCUCACCGCCCCCGCCCCCCGGAAAGGCGACGACUUUGCGGAAGAAGGGGUGGAGAAGCGAAUUGGGUCGUCGCCCUUUUCACCGUGGAGUGGAUCCUCUCGUUGGUGCUCGCUCACAACGCACGCACUAAGGGAGGAGGAGGAGGCGCACACCAGGUGUUUGUAAUUUGGUCGACUCCAACGGUCGGAUACUCUGGUCAUGAUCAUAGGGGGAUUUAAAAAAAAAAAGAAAAAGAAAAGGUAAAGGGCCUAAAGGGAAAAUAAUAUCAAAAUAGGUAAAAUUGUACAACACCUACAAAGUCAAACUGAAGUUGUAAAUUGUAAUAUAAAAAAAAAAAAAAGUAAGAGUGUGCAAAAAGUAGAUAAUUUACAGGGACCCCACUCUACUAUAGACACGUUUGAAUAGCAACCUUAACUUUUUUUAAGUUAAAAUACAAUUAAUUAAUUAAUUAAUUAUUUAUUUAUUUAUUUAUUUGAAAUAAGAACCCGAAAAACUCACCCCAAAAAUGCCCCAGAUAAUUAGAUGGCUAUUUUAAUUUACUAUUCAUUGUCUUUAUUAUUUUAACGUUGAUUUUAUGAAAUUUAAUCAUUUUAAAUUUUUUUUUAUAGCUAAUAGAAUUAAGAAUAUGUUGAACUAAUUGAUAGUUAUUAGCUAGUAAAGAUAUUAAUUUAAAUAAUUUAAUUUAAUUCAAAAAACAAUUUUAAUUAGAUAAUUACAAAACUUAUAAAGAUAUCAAUUAAAGAAAAAGAUAGUUAGGGACUAACAUGAAAAUAACAACUUUGAAUGGACUAACAUGUAAAAGUACGUCCUCUUCUUCUCCGCAUCGAUCGAUCACAUUAUCAGGCCCUCGUCUCUGUAGCCUCCUCUUCGUCUUCUUCGUCGUCCUCCUCCGAAACCCUAAUUUUGGGAGGGAGAGAGAGAGAGAGAGAGAGAGAGAGAGAGAGAGAGAGAGAGAGAGUGCGAUGGGCGCGGAGUGUCGCUACGAGCUCUCCCAAACAGCCUACAUUAAGCUCGCCCUCCACGCCCUCAAGCAUCCUUCCUCCCCCGUCAACGGCCUCCUCCUCGGCCCCCUCCAAACCCCCGCCUUCGCCGCCGACCCCACCGUCGUCGUCUCCGACGCCGUUCCCCUCUCCCACUCCCAGAUCGGCCUCCUCCCCUCCCUCGAGCUCGCCCUCAUCCAGGUUUUGCUAUCAAAACACUAACCCUCUGAUCUCCCUCCUAUUCAUCCGAUCUAAGAUCUAUAAGCCCAUCGCUUCAGGUUGAGGAGCACUUCGGCGGCGAGGGGGUCGGCGUGGUCGGGUACUACCACGCCAACGAGCGGUUCGACGACGCGGAGCUCGGGAGCGCCGCGAGGAAGAUCGGGGAUCACAUCUUCCGAUACUUCCCUCGCGCCGCCGUGCUAUUGGUUGGAGUUCUUUUCCCCUGUAUUUUGCCCUAGGUUUUUAGUAUUUUUGGUGAUUUUAAUACUCUAAUGAGGGUUUUUGAUUGUGCAGUUGGAUAAUAGGAAGCUCGAGGAGUUGGUGAAGGGGAAAGGGCGCGAUCCUGUUGUGCAGGUACCUGCGAUUUUCUCUUCUUAUAUCUCUCUUUGCAAGCAAGAAUCCUGUAAAGAAAUCAAUUACUUUCUAUCUCAGAGAUGAGUACUAGUGGGAUUUUUAUUGUUAUUUUGUGAUAAGAAUUGAUUUUUAUACACUAACUGCCUUGGGGAGAUCUUGAGAAUUUUUUGUUGUGAGAAACUGGUGUAUAGUUCCGUUGAUCUCUUUGAAAAGAUUGACAAAAACUAGAAGAUAAUAUUGGCCUUCCAAUUAGCUUGUAUUUGAUCAGAACUUGGUUAUCUUAAAUGGAGUGAAAGGUAAAUAUGGAGGACCUAGAGGGACAAAGUGUGGAGGAUAGAUUAUUAGGUAUUCACGGCAGAAAGAGAAUUAUUUUUACUUUUUUUAUAGGCAUGUGAUCUCAAAGGCUGAAGAAAUGCCAAAACAUAAGGUUCAUGACCUCUUUGCUUUGAUCUACGUUCAUCGUUCCAUCUGUUUUGCAGAGAUCUAGCAUGCAAAAGAUAAAUAUACAGGUUAGGAUGCAAAACGAUCUUAGUAAUCAGGGUUACCUUGAAAAUACACUGUAAAAUAUAGUCAUGAAGCACGAAUAUGCUAAAUGAAAAUAUCAACAAAAUCCUGUGCAUACAAGUAUUUGUAUUCUAUUGAUUUACGGUGGUUCACUUUUGUGCUGAAAGCUGGUCGAGCCAGCUUACAUCCAGGCUGAAGUGUAAUCAAUGCAACUGGAGCUAGUUUUAGAUUUCUCUAUUCGAACGCUAAACUUUAUCAAGAACUGCCUACCGACCUUUUCUGUAAUGUGUGUUGGGCUGGUUGGUCAGGUUGAGAAUCACCACUUUAGCACCCGUACAGCCGUACUUAGGCUACUUUUGUUGUUUAUAGACUUGCAUUCUCUAGUUAUUCGCUUCUCUUUUGAACAAGAGGAUUACAGUAUCUUUGUAACAGGGAAAAGUGGAAAGUUUUCCUUUUAUUGUAGAAAUGUAAGGAUAAAAUGAACCUGUACUAGAGUAUUUACCGGCGGAAAUGUUGCAGAGGAGUUUACUUAAAAGCUUUUUGGGCUGAUCUUGAGGAUUGGUGAUUACUCAGUAAUUACGAAAUGAACUCUUUUACUUAAAAGCCAAGAUGGUGCAUAGUUAGAAGAUCAAAUUACUACCUCAAUAGAUCAGGAGAUCGUAACAAUAGGUUAGUUUGAAAUAAUGAAGAUAACAUGAAAAAGUAGAGUAGAAAUAGGCAGUCUUCAUGAAGACUAAAGUGGAUAGUCGUAAGAGAAACUGAAUCUGGUUGUUCACAUCUUGAUGUUUUUGUCUCAUGUUCGUCUUAAUUGGCCUACUGUAUGAUGUCUGAAAGCUUAGAGUCGACCAGUCGAAUAAGUCCAAUCCUAUUAGGCAUCUUUUUUGACGAAGAAAGUAGAGAUAGUAAAUUAAGUAAUUUAAAACUAGCUGAACUAAGCUAAAAAUACAACAAGCAGACCUAAUUAAGUCUCAGCUACUGUAACAUAGAUAGUACUGUGCUAUAGCAAGCGCAACUACAAUAUUGAUGCAACAGAUAAUGAACCAACUUACUGUAGCAUCAGUAGAACCAUUAACAUGAUCAAUAAUUAACAGUUUGAACAUAAUUCUUUGAAGUCUUAACUCUUCAUUCAUAUGCUUCUGCUUUGUGGAUGUCAUCUUUGAGAUCUCAUGGAUCAUCUCUAUUGUGAGACCUUCAUCUGGUAAUUUUUAGGGGUACACCGGUGGAGACCAGUUUGAUCCAUUCUAUUAUGGUUGGUUGUUAUGCUUUUUUCCGUUGAUGAAGGACCUAGAAGGUUUUAAUCAUUUAUCUAGUGAGGUUUAUCAAUGAGUUCAUGAAGCUUCUGACGAUGUAUAUUCCAAGAAUAAUUUAGACACAGAUGAGUACCAACCAUAGUUCAUGCUUUUCUGAACCGUAAGUUGACUUAGCAUUGGAUAUUAGAAGAUUGCAAUCUUCUCCACCUGUGUAUUUUGCCUUUAGGAGCCUUGACUACUGAAGAAUUUGGUCACUCAUCCUGUCUUCAACUACUGAUGAAGAAUUUGGUCACUCAUCCUGUCUUUAACUACUGGCAUGUUUGGCAGAUAUAUCUUCUCAUUUAGUGGGUUGCCAUGGGUUUGAACAAUCCUGUUGCAACUUCUGGCAAUAUAUUUUUGUGCUGUAAGCCCUAGCCGCUCUUAAGAAUAUAAGGAGCUAUGUAACUUUAGAUAUUGAUUUCUUAUCAGAUGGACUUGGUGGACAGUUACAAGCAAUUCACAAUUGAAGAUGAAAAAUAUGCAUGACCUAGGAAUCUAGAAAGGGUCUCCUAGUAAGCAUUGGCUAAUGACAACAAUUAAAAAAAGAAAAAACGUUUUGCCUGGUGUAGAGAUCUCCUUUUAGAUCCUCAACUUAAAAGAAAUUUACCUUGGAUUUCACUUGCCGCAUUGAUUCACAGCAAGAUGGCAAAUGGGUAAGUUCAUUCGAUACAUACUGACAAAUAAAGGCGAGAAAAAUGAAAUCAAAUUGCUAGCUACGAUGCUUUGAUACGAAAUGCUCUGAACCUUAUUUUAAAGGGGUUCACACUAUGUGGUUUGAUAAUAAUGGGCAAAGAAUAUUGUUUGGCAUCGAGUAGCAGUUUGUUUGUCCUAUCUUCUGUUGCAGACAAUAGUCGUCGACAAGUUAACAGUGGAUGAUUCUAUAGAAAUUCAAUAAUCAAUAUAAAUUCAGUGAAUGAAGAUAUUCUAAAAACCUAGUGUGUAUUACAUGUGUAUUUUAUAACAUAUUGAAUAGCUAAAAAAUACGACGCCCGUUGCUGCACAUGGGCCUAACUAAGAUAAGAAAACAUAGUUAAUUUGCUCAUUAUUUUUUGCUAGUGCUCAUGAAAGAUUUGGCAGAACUGCAGUAGGAGAUAGUAGAGAGGAAUGAGUGCUAGCUUGUUUCUUUGUCAGAGACUCAGAAUGGUCUUCUAGACCCCAUAUAAGCAUGAUCAUGUUGUAUUAUUAUUAGCCAUGGUAAAAAAAAAAAAAAAAUUCUGAUUUGAUCUUUCAAUCUACUAUAAUCAAACAAAACUGUUGCAGAGCUGAAAGUUUCUUCUAGCGGGCCAUUCCUUUAAACAUUCGUUCUUUCCUUGUGUUGCAGCUAUACACAAGGGAUUCAUCAAAAUCGUGGCGUCAAGCGGGAUCAGAUGGAGGCAGUCAGCUGGUCCUAAAAGAGCCCUCUGCCAACGUAGUCCUAAUGGAUUACAUUAGUACGAAAAAAUGGCAAGAAAUAGUUGAUUUUGACGACCAUCUUGAUGAUAUCAGCAAGUAAGAUCGCACUUUUCAGUAACACCCUCCUUAAAUAUUGCCUACCAAUUCUCAAAACCAAUGUCUUUAACAAUGGAUCAUGUGCUUUUCUUUUUUUUUGAUUUUUCUCGCUUUGCAGGGAUUGGUUGAACCCCGAUAUCUUCAAGUAAAGCUCUUUGCGGUGAUGGUUUCUGUAAGCUGCUUCUCUUUAUUAUCUGGCUCUUUGGAACGCAAUUUAUUAUCAUGUUUAGACACAAAAUUAUUAAUCUGUGUCCUCGAAUGAACGAACGGAGGACGAAGUAAGGUCCUGAACACAGGUAGUGAGAGUUUCUUCGUGUCAGGGUGAUUGAACCAAGGACCCAUAGCUGUUGCUUUCUAUAUCAAUUUUGCUUUUGUUUAGCUUGAAUUUCGGCCCCUCCAAAAUGGAUGAUUGACCAUUCUGCCUAGUAGACCUGAGUUUGUGUUUCCUCUCUCUCUCUCUCUCUCUCUCUCUCUCUCUCUCUGUGUGUUUUGAUUUGCUAAAGAAAAGGACUUGUACGACUCUUCAUUGUCUGAUCAGGGAGAAGAAGAAUUGGGCGAGCGGCGAGCCCCGCAGGACGUUGGCCAGGUACUGCAUGAAUGCUAGCCAAUUCAAUAAGUCAUUACUCAUUAGAUGUAAGUACAAAAGCAUCGGCCGCGUUUCUGUCAAAAUGCAUCAAUUAUAAGCGUUUUGAAAAGGACCCUCGACUAUUUUUAUUUUGGCUGUGACCCUCUCAAUUUUUUUUUUUUUCAAUUUAGACUUUUUAUUCUCUGUGAAAUGUUCUAUUAGAUUAAUUGGUCUAUUCGCUGUUAGCCAGUAAUAUUUGAUGAAUUCACCAAUAUAUUUUAAUAAAAUUCCCAAUUUAAGUGGUUAAAAUCACUAGAUUCAAAAUUUCAAAAUUAAUAAGAUGAUGAGCCAAAAACUAGGAAGUUAGAGAGGGCUAUUGGAGAAUGGUCUUGUAGUUAAGAAACUCUCCACUGCAUUUACAAAAUUUAAUCCAUUUACAGCAUGCUCUGUAGCAUGUCUGUAAUUCGUGGCCCAAAUCACCAACCUGCUAUGUUUAAAUUUAAUUAUUAUUAUUAAAACUUUUUACCCUAAAAGAGUCUCAUUCACAAUUUUUUACCCAUCCGAAGAACUGAGGCUCCUGAAGAGUCAUAGGCUCCAGAAUGGCUACCAAGUGAGAAUGAUACUGAAACAGUCUCAGCAGCAACAACAAAAGGAAAGAUCGCCAAACACCAUCAAUGUUUCAUUUCAGCAAAAUACUUUCGUUCUGCUCUGUACACAUGCAAUUAACGACGAGCACACCAAAUGAUCUUUUGGCACAUGUUCAUGGUAUAAAUAGUGCUAAGCAUAGUUUCUUAAAAUUGCCUUAAUCUUAUAUGCAAGAGUAGGUGCAGAAAAACCAAAAGAUCACAACCAAUCCCUACACAAAUAGUUCGCUCAGGUAAUUAUAAUAAGCUCAUCAGCCAAGCAAAAGGAGGGUAAGAUAUAUUAAAUUGUAACAAAAUAUGACCAGGACGAGUAAAAAUACACUCAGUGAAAAACAAGGACCAGAGUAAUUCACCCAGAAAAGGAUAAAUAUUUUUCAUGUGACGGAGACUCUACAAACUUCAUCAUACCGACCCAUAAAUAAGCAAACCCUUUUACAGCUAAGAAUCAUUAGUCUUAUCUUCUUUUUUUCUCUUUUUCUUUUCAUGGUUUUUGCUCUCAUAAGAAGACAUCUCGCAAGGUGGCUUCAAAAAUAAUGCUUAGAACAAUAGAUUGCGCCGCAAUCUCAUUUAAGUUCGGUGGCCUCUUAUAAAACAGAAAAAUCUCUCUUCCUGCCCACAAAAAUAUGAAAAUAAUCAGCAUGACAAAAAGAUUUUAAAAAAAAAAAAAAAUCAAGGACUGAGUAAUCAUAUAAAUACGCUCUCAUAAGCCGCAGAAACUAAGUAUAAGAAAGGCAAGGCUUCUCUUACCAUCUAGUCCAAAAUUGAUUACGCAGCGAAUGCUGAGCUCCCUGCAGGUGGAAGUGCAACAACCUUCCCCACUGCUACAGUUUUACCUGUAAAAGCAUCAAAUUGUAUCAUUAAAUGGAUUAAACAAAAAAGGGUAGCCAAAAAGGCAAUAAUUGGUAGUUGAGAAUCAUCUACUACCUUCAGUUCGAAGAGUAAAUCUCCCAAGCUGAGGAAAAUCAGAGAAGUUCUCGAUGCAUAUCAAGUUAUUCACCUAAAAGUGCAGAUUUAAAUAUCCAUCUGUUACUAAUAAAAAGUUGAAUACUUGCUCACAUUACAUGAAAAUGAAAUAACACAAUUACCUGAAUGCGACAAACAACAACAGCACCAUUCUUCACAAAAAGAGGCUUUCUCUUUGGCUUCUUUUUCUUGGGAUCUGCAUCUUUCUUUUUCUUCAUGUCGAUUUCUUCUAUAAGUUCCACAAUCUCACACUCUUCGACUAUGGAGUGGAUAUGAAGCACUGCCUUGUAACCAGCAGUGAAAAUUGCCUAGCGAAUCAAGAGGGAAAUCAACAUAACUAGCCAAUCUUAAACAGAUAAUCUUAGGCUUCAUUUGGUAUUGUUGCCUUUUUUGUUGUUUUCUGAAGUACAUUCUAUAUGAUUAGAACUGCUGGUGGAUGAACUUCUCUGUUCUUGUAAUCGUGAUUAGCUUGUGAUGCAUUCUUGCCAGGAUGCUAAACAGCAUCCUCUUCACAAAAAAGAAUUGGAAAAGAAAAAUACUACCAAGUUCUGUUUUAUGUUGCCAAACAAAGCCCUUAAGAUGUAUGGACUGUUUAAGCAAAAUUCGCCAUCCACCUUCCCACUCCAUCGCAUGGAAUUUGUGUUUUAAAAGGCAAAUAUUGAGCAACAUUCCAGACAAGGCCAUUUUCCAUUUCAAUUUGACAGUCACGCAGUCUAGAACUUCGAUACUAUUAAUUAGACAGCCACCUUCUAAAACUGUUUAUGAUUGGAAAAGGGGAAAAAAAAUAAAAUAAAAAAAAACCUUCAUAGGGAGCAAUUGCAUUUUAAUAACAGAUCGUGAAAGGCAAUUGCAAGAUUUUGGAAAAUAACAUGAAAAAGAUAUUAACACACAGCUAAAGUUUUUCUUUUCUAUCAGGUUAAUUUUUUGACAGGUCCACGACCAAAUACAAUCUUCUUUCAUCUUUCUGUUUGUCUUUGCCUCGUAAUUCAAGAAAACAAAAUACUUACGUUGUCAAGCAACUCCAAAAUUUGCAGCUGAGCAUGAAAUUCGAAAACAGCACCAACCGGAUUUGCUGCAUGAAGAAAACCAAUUUGUCAAACAAUAUAUUCACGUAAAUAUAAAGAGAAGAAAAAUGAAAGCAUAUAGGCCACGUGAAUAGAAAACCACAAUAGCAUUAUAUGACAUGAUGAAACUGAUGCACUUAAUGAAGAUUUGAGAGGUCGCAGGGGUCUAAAUUUUGGAACAAUAAGGAAUGUUCGAUGUUUUACCUUGCAUAGUAGUAAACAUAAAAAAGCUAUUUCAAGAAAAUGACAUAAAAGCACACAGGUUUAUCACAAGAAAGCAGUACUUACUGACACUUGAAAGGACAAAACCAGACAAUAUAUCCUCUUCCUCGACCCCUGCCAAUUUCACUCUCACAUUUUCAGCAGGCCCAGCACGCCUCACUUUAUUUUCAUCGCAAUAUACGGCGAGCACUUUUACAUUAGCCUGUUAUAGAACAAGUUUAGUUUGUCUCACAUAUCCCAAAAGGAUAAUAGUUAACCAUAAAGAGAAUGGAUCAACAGGAAUAGAUCGUACUUUGUUAGGCAUGACCAACAAGCUAUCACCCUCACGAAUCGUUCCAGACUCAAUUUUUCCCAUCACAACUGUUCCCAUGUCCUUGUACUUGUCAAUUAUCGGCAUCCUGCAUUCAUAAACAGUUGAUAAUUCAACUGGAGUUGGAAAAAGCUUUCGAGUCAAGGUUUGCAAACAACUAGAAAGUACGAGUUAAAUAAGAUCAUGAACAUACAAGAACUAAUAUUUGGGACUUCGAUAUGUAUAUCCCAUAGAAUAAUCUAUGCACAAAUAUACCCCAAUGAAUUCUGAACAAUCAUAUACACCCCUCCAGAAACCAGAUUCUUAUAAGAGAACGCCAAAAUUAGUGAAUUCAUGGGGAAAGUUGGUUUCGAAUUAAAAAAUAAAUUUAGAGAGGGAAAUUUCUGUAAUUACAAUGAUGUAUAGGUAAGAAACUAAGUUUUUGAAGGGCAUAUAGGAAAAUUAAGUUUUGAAGGAAUAUAUAGGCAAACAGAUUAUUUUGCAACAGUAAAUAGGUAAGUAUCUCUAAUUUCUAGGCAACAGAGGAAACUCCUGACCGUGAAGAUAACUGCUUGGAUAUAUCACGAUUUAAACUUUACCCAUUUUGAUAAUCCAAGCCCAAAAAUAAACCUUGAUUAAUUAAAUAAUCCUCCAGUUUACCACUUAUACAAGGGAUAAAAGUAAUAAUAAUGUCCUAUUAAUCGAGGGGUUAUCUACACAUAUUGAUUACCAAGGGCACCAAAGUACAAAUCUCAAUAUAGUAAAAGGGGUUCACUGCAUUUUUCUAUAAUAUUUAGGCAAAGAGGCAACAUAAGCUGGCGCACAAUGGAGAUAGACCAAUAACAGAAUGGUAAUCAUACCUCACUGGGCCUUUAGGAUCUCGUAAAGGAACCUCAAUGGUAUCCAGGACUUCAAAAAGACAUGGACCAUUCCACCAAUUACAAAUGCUUUUAUCCACUCGAGUCUUCAUAUUAAUGCCCAUCAAACCAGAGAUAGGUAGAAAUUGGACAUCUGUAUACGGGUGCCUCAGUGAUAGCUUACUUUUAAAUGAGUGCAUACUCGUAGGGGAAAAAAGAAAUAAAGACAUAUCGUCUGAGCUUAAAAAAAAAUGAAAUGAUGAACUUUCAUGAUGUUUAUUAGUAAGCUACCUUUCUUCACAUUGUACCCUGAAGCCUUGAGGAAGGGAGCCAUCUUAGUUUCUAUCUCAUCAUACCUGAAAACGGGGAAAAAGUACAUAAUGAUAAACAUUGGCAAUUUAAAAGUUAAGGGGCUUAUACAUAUAGCGUCGAUUGUUUAUACACAUAUAUAUAUAUAUAUUCUUGUACUUACAAAAAUGCCCAGGGUUAAAAUUUUUAAUACGAAAUGCAAAUACAUCUUGAGAGAUAAUCUAGCAAGGCCAUACAUAUUAAAAAUCUCAGAUUACAGAUAUAUCAAAUUCAAAUCAAAGUAUGAUAAUCUCUUUAAACAAACCUUUCUUUACACCAUUUCACUGUAGGAUCAUCCAUUUUAUUGACAACAACUACCAACUUAGCAACACCCAAUGUUUUUGCAAGCAGGACGUGUUCGCGGGUCUGUCCACCUUUCUCAUAUCCAGUUUCAAACUCACCCUUUCGAGCAGAGAUAACCUUAACCAAAUAGAAAAGGGAUUACUGAAUUGGCAGAUAAGAUACAGUAAAGCUGGACGGCUUAUUGUUUACAUGCUCACCAGAACACCUAUAUCAGCUUGAGAAGCUCCACUUAUCAUAUUCGGCACAUAACUUUUGUGGCCCUACAAAAACGAUGAACCAUACACAAGGUUAACUAGUAAGAAAUGGCAAGUCUAAAAAUCCUUGAACAUGUAUAGGAUUCACAAGAUAGAUAAAAUACUCAUUGGUAGGAUUCUUAUAUCCCACCUAUUCUAACUAACAAUGAAAUUAAACAAUUAUAAAUUUUCAAGGAGUCUACAUCAACUUACAUUCCCCAAUCUUUAAUGUAAACAUAGUUACAACUAAAAGGGUUUUUCGCAUAUACUCCCUUUGCAAAUUAGCGAAACUAAGCAAACACCCCUACAAAGUUGGUAUUUGCACAAAUGCCUGAAAGUUUUGUUUAUCUGUGUGCAUGCUACUUCGAGGAGUUUUGAUGCUACAACCGUUCAACCAUAUAUAUGGCCCAGCAAGGGAAUGAUUGCAAAUACAUACAGUAUUCAGUCAAAUACCAACUUUUUACACAAUUUUGCAAAGGUAUAUAUGCAAAAAAUCAAAACCAAAAUGAAGAACAGGUAGCAUGAUCUAAAAGUGCAUGUUAAAGAGAGGAAAGCUACCGGAGCAUCUAGAAUUGUGAAUCUUGUGCUUUCUGUCUCAAAAUGAGCUCUUCCAACCUCAACAGUCUUGCCCUGAAAUAUAUACAAUGAAUCAAUAAGCCGGAAAAAGAGAUUGAUUGGACGAAUCGUGCAAGAAAUGGUAUAAUCUACAACACCGAAAGUGAAGCAUGCACUGAUCAGAUCUUUGUAAGUAGAGAUACUUAGAUUGCAAGUACAAUAUAAAUCAGCGAUAACAUAAAUAUCCAUUCCAUUCACACAAAGUCGAUACAUGAAAAAACAGCAAACUCUCGGAACCCGGAAAUAAAAUUAUAUCUCAGGUUCUAGAGAUAGCAGAACAGCACAUACAAAUCCACUACCUUCUAUAUGGCGGACAAAACCAUCAAGGCAAAUAGCACUAAAAUAAAAAUUACUAGCAGCGAAACAAACCUUAACGCGUUCCUCUUCAUUGGUAUCCAUGAUGUAAGCCAUGUACCUGCAAUAUUUUUAUUUAAGAAUGUCCACCAAAAUAUUAGAAUUAGUUUUCCACAAAAGUAUGUUUAAUUUGCUAAUUGGUGAAUGAAAGAGGUUGCAGGGCCAGAGAGAAGCAACAGACUUAAUUCAUAAAAUCAUGGUCCAGCUUAAAAAAGUGCAACCUUACAACAGAUGGGCUUCAUUAGCCUCUCAUGGGGCUUCCAUGAAGAGCCGUAAUCACAGUUACCUCGCAUAUAUGCUGUUUAUGAAGGAAAAGAGAUUGGCAAUCCUCAAUGUCAUAACAGAAAAUACAUUCUUGCUGGAAAGAAGCAAAAAAUUGGCAUUUCUACCCAACUAGGGAAACAGAUGUAUCUUCCUUAGUACAUAACCAGCUUUCACACGACGUACUAAUACGUGACUAUACAACCCAUAGCGGCUAAGAACAAAAUAUAUCAGUCCUCAAUCACCCAUAAAAUGAAAGCAGUGUUUGUCAACAAGGCAACAAAUACUAGGUACUUAAGGAAAAAGAAUCAACAUUCAUCAGCAUAGUAAAAGGGAACUCAAGUUUAUAUCAUGAUAUAGAUAGAAAUCUAACUUCACUAAGCGAAGCUACAAGAUUAAUUCUUAUACCCACAUGGCAGAAUUGGUUUUAACACAGGUAAAAGCAGAGAGAAAAGUCAAGAUGUUUAAAGAAAAAAAACUACAAGCUAAUACAGCAGUAUGUCAAUAACAAGCAAUCACCAUUAGUUCAAAUAGAAUAACAGCAUACCAACUUUCUCGGCUUUUGUCCUUUGCUUCCUUCUCAUAUUUCUGAAUAGUCCUGUCAUCAACCUGACCACUUAGGAAAAGUAUCUGCCCUCCAGUUGUAGACUUACCAGCAUCUGCAUACUCAAUAAACGAGAAGAACAUUUAGGAAAAGAAUUUAGAUAUUUUAGUGUAUAUAUAAAUAUAAACUCAUGAAACCGCUUUUGCAGCAAAAGUUGAAAAAGAACAAGUAAAGGUUUGAAAUGAAAUCUAAUUACAUAUAGUCAGUUAAAUAUGGAACAUGUACAUUUGUCAAUUAGACUAAAAAAAUUCCCAAAAAGGUAGAUAAAUGUGGAUAAUUAACAGAUUGAUCAUGAUUAUGCAGAACAAGUAUCUAGAUAAAUUUGGUAUGAGAAAUCCAUCUAGUUCAGAGAAAUCUAGAUUUGGUGCUAGCAAUGGUAUAGCAACAAUAACAAUGAUUUUAUAGCACAUGCUGCUCAAUAUGACAUUAACGAUCCAUCUCAUAUCACGGGUAAAUCUGGUAAUUCUCAAAAUUCUCGCAAUGAUGCUUGUGACAGCCCCCCCCAAAUGUAAUCAUAUACUGUUCUCCAGCAUAUCAUACCAUACUCUUAAACCCAGAACCGCCAGAUCUGAAAAGGUCAUAUAAUCUUCAUUGCUUCCAAUUUCUAUGUUCAUUGUUGAAUUCGUAAGAACCUUAUACUCUAAUAUAUUCAGUCUUCUCUAAUGAUAAACUAUUCACUUUAUCAUGUGGAAAUGCAGACCAUAUUCUAUGCAUCAUAGGAUCAAGAAACUUAUGUAUUCACUGUUGUUGCAGUCUUUUAUCUCUAAAAUAGUUUUCUGCCAGAACCAAAUAUUCCAGUCAAAUCUGUCCAAGCACAAACUAUUUGCACCAGAACUGAACAAAUUAUCAAAGGUAUUUUGACAGCAGAAUUUGAAAUGUCAAACUUCUGGCUAAUACUGAAACCCAAGUUUGAAGAGAAUGCUUUCGCUAAAGAUCGAGAUCUUUAUGUGCUUUCCAAAAUAAGAGUGAUGUAAAGCAGAAGUUCACUACAAGAAUAAAAGAAAUACAUAAAAAGCCAGAGAAUUUUGACCAAAGACCAUAAAAAGGAACAAUCAAGGAAAUCAACAAAGCAAGAAGGGCAAACAGAAUGAGACUAUCAGGUAAUAAGUUUUACUUACCGACAUGACCAAUGAAAACAACAUUCAAGUGUCGUUUCUUGUCUUCUUCAGUCUCAUUAUGCUCUUCAGCUUCCGCAGUUGCAGCAACCUCCUUAUCUUUCCCUGAAAUUGUAGUAGCAUUAACAUGGAAAAAGGUUCACAGACACAUAAUAGAACCCUGACCAUUUUACAAAACAAGAACUAAGCAGACUAAAUAGUUUAUAAAUUGAUGGCAAAAAAAUAAUCAAAACGUCCCAACACGAGCACAAAAUAGACAAAGAUGAAAAUAAAACAACUAACCAAAAUUGAAUCAGAUGAUUAAGAGAAAGCGUCUCCAUCAUUUAAUAAUUAGACUAAAACAAACUAAAAGUGAUAUCAAUACUUGCUUUUGUAGCAAAACAUUUCCAGUAGUCCUGUAUGAAUGACUACUAUGCAUGUGCGUUAGGAAACACAAGUACCUUUUGUCUCUAACUGCAAGGACUGAAGACCCGUCUGAAUUUCCUUCACAUCUGAAAAUGUACAAAAUAUUAGGAAAUAAAGAAAUCCUGAAAAGGACAUCACAACUCAACGCACCAGACGGCAUACCAACUAAACUAGUUCUUCAUGAGAAAGUCAACACAAGGUACUUUAGAUUAUACUUUGUAGAACUAACAGCAGAAGAGCACAAAGCAAAAGUUCAUCAGGCUAAAAUAACAGUGCAAGGCACUCAUCCAUCCGCCAGCCUUUCUUGUGCCCAAGUAGUUGCAAUACUUAACCAGGCCUAUCUGUUGACAAAUAUUCCCAUGUUUUUUCCCUCCAUCUCUCUUCUGUUAUCUUCUCUCCCUCUGCCUCUCUUGCAUAGUUCAAAUGCAACAGUGCUCAGCCUACUUGGCAUGACUGUUCUAUUCACAAAUUUGGUUGAUCCUUUAACAUUCAAAUCAUCAUACCUAUUUUCUCUACAAAAGGAGGCAACUUGAUGUAGAAUUGAGCAACAGAUUUUGUAUUUAGGAGUUCACAACAACAAAACGGUUCAAUUAAGUAUAUUUUCAACUUUCUUAGCUUGUAUUUUUCCAUACGUUCUUUUAAUUUCCAGUCAUCGUUUCAAUUUCCAAUCUUGCAACAACAACUGAGCCUUUAUUUCCAUCUGUUAGUUGGUUCUCUUAUCUUUUGUACCCCCAAAACUAAUUCUCUUCCGUUGCCCAUUUCUGGAAACAACUUCUUGCAUGCGAUCUCUCUUUCCAACCAGAAAAGCUUCUAUUUUUUAUGCGAACCAAACACAAAAACAAAAACCUAAAUCGCAUCACACUACAAGAAAUGCUUAAAUCACGUGAUCUCAAUCUUAGCAAAUCGAUAACUUCUUCUAAUCCGAUUCAAUUAUAAACAAGCAAAACCAAUCAAAUCAACUGAGAUAGGAUAUUAACAGAAUCUAUAAGCCAAAUAUCGAACAAUUAGAUCCAUAUAUCGAAAAAAUCCACAUCGAAGCAACAUAAUUCAGAACAAAGACAACAAGAUCUAAGAUAAGGGUUUACAAACACCAAGCAAAUACCGACCUUGGGGAGGGGGGUGGGAAGAAGGGGCUAGGGCUUCACCCUCCCCAGCGGCAGCGGAGACGUGGGCCGGGUCGCCGUCCAUGGUCUCGUCGGCGUCGCCACUCCACUCGCUGGGCUCGCCGUCGUCGGCGAGGGCGGGGGGGUGAGGCGCGAUCUCCACCAUCGGUGCUUCCUCCAUCGCCGAGAGUGGGAGCUAGGGUUUCGUGCGCCGCCGAUUUGGGUGGCCGGAGGAGCGGAGAAGGAGAUGGGAUCGGGGGCGAAUUAGGGUUUUAUAUGUUGAUUAGGCGGCGGCGGCGCUAGCGAGAGAGAGAGAGAGAGAGAGAGAGAGAGAGAGAUUAGCGUGGUUUAGCCGCCGACCAGAUUUUGGGAAAUUAGGGCUCGAAGUGGGUCGGGUCUGGUUCGAGUCAUUUAUUAAGAUAAGUGACAACACAUUGACUUAAAAAACAAAAAAUAUACAUAUUAAAAAAAAAAAAAUCUUAGCUACUAUCUAAACUUUGGUCUAAUUAUAAACCAUCACUCAAAUUUAUCUAAAGCCGAUCACUGAUCCAAUUUGAAUACGAUGAAUUUGAUUUUUAAGGCUAAAAAUAGAAUUAUCGCAUAAACUUUUGGACCGAACAAUUAAACGCUCUCUCUUUCGCAUUAACUCAUAUGCAAUCGUUCUCACGAACAUGUGUUUACAAAUUUUUAUAUGAUGUGAAGUUACAAGCAAAGUCGAGUUUGUGUAACUCAUGACCAGCUCAGUGUAAUAAUUAUUGAUUACGAUAAUAAUAAUCAAUUUACUUUAAUCAAUUACUCUGACAUGGUUGUACUAUGAUCGAAAUAAACGACAUGACGAUAGAACUUACCAAGAUAAAAAUGCAAAUCGAUAUAAGACAUCUACGUAUCUAAUCCGAUAAUGACAUGACACGAUGCCAUUAUCAUCUAAAUCCAAAUAUCGUACACAAAUACAAUCAGCUUACCUAGAUUGCCACUAUUAAUGUGUUUUUAAGAAAUUGUAACAUUUCUUAGAAUUUUAAAGGCACCGUGGCAAAAGAUUCGAUGGUUGAUAUCUGACCGACUGUUUAUUGCGCAUGAUGAAGAAUUCGAUGGUUUGUAUCUGAAGGCUCAAAUCUAAAUUUUAAUUAUUUUAUAUUUUCAGUUGAGUUUGUUUAUAAUAGUGAUUACAUUGGUCCAAAGAACAGAGGGUUUGGACGAGCCAUUGGAACUAAUGGGCCAUUCAACAAAAUCCAACGCAAUGCUUCUAUUAAUUUGGGCCCACAAUUAUCCAUUACUGAACCCACGAUUUGAUAAUGGGAUACUCUAGAUCCAAUAGCUCAUUGGACUUAUCCAUUAGCCCAAAAUACUAUAGUCUAAUUAUUAUGUCCAAUUUAGAUAGAUUUAUAUAUCUCCAUAUUUAGUCAUAACUGUAUGAUAUGGGACUAAUCUUAAGUCUUGAAAUGUCAUAUAAUGUUGGGACUGAGAGGAACGAUAUUCUUUUCCGAGCAAAGCUUUGCAACUCUACCCGAGCGCUUGAUCGCCUCAGACUACUGAUGACAGCUUGGAAGACGUGUCUUUAACUGCCUCGUCUAUUUUUUCGAUCUUUUGGUCGUUUCCUUCGUUUUGCUCAUCUGCUGACUUGUUUGUGUUGUCGCCUUUUAUUAUUUUAUUUUCGUUCAUUUUUGUCUACCUUUUUCCUUCUCUUUUUUCUUUCGGAGGCUCUGAUUGCUUCUAUUUUAUAAGCGUAGUUUAUUUUCCUAAUGAAUGAAGCAAACUAGCUUGUUAUCUAUUCCUCAAAAAAAGAAAUGUCAUGUAAUGUUAGGAUAAACCGGGCUUAAUCCAGCCUAAUUGCUAUUCAAUCGACUUAAACUUCAUUUUUAUCCUGAUUUUGGUGAUUAAUAUUGGCUGAAUAUAUACAUGAUGGGCCCUGAUUUUAAGCAAAGUGAAACUUAAAAGUUUGAGAUAAGCAAUUUACACCUGCUCAUAUUCUGAAAUCCUCACAAUUAGGACUUAGAACUCAAGAUUUAAAACUUAAUUCAUUACCUUACCACUAAGAUUCAAGUGACUUCUCAUGUAUAUAAUUCAAGUAUUAUUUAUUUAUUAUCAUUCAAAGUUUUUUUUAAAAAAAGCAACAAAUGACAGAUCUUUUGUUUUCGUUUUUGUGAACGGUGACUAGAGCAGCACCGCAUACACUAUCUCUCAAGUGGAAGACAAAAAGUCUCUCCUGUGUGUGUGGAGCUACUAUUCUUUCGAAAUCAUAAACAAGCUGCGACUUUCGACUUUUUAACCUUUAAAUAAAAAAUUAUAGAGUCGGAAGAUAAUGAUCUCCCUUAGAGUUGAGUGGUUUUCGUAGGAUAAUAACAUAAAUCUAAAGAUCAGAAUUAAUAAAAAUGAUUGAUCGAAGGGCCAAAAAUUGAAAGUACCAAAUCUCUUAUACCUUCGAAAGUAUAGUAGGUUUACUCUCUCUCUCUCUCUAUAUAUAUAUAAUAUAAUGCAUUAAAGCUGCUAUUUUUUAUAGUAUUCCACCAAAUAUAAAGUUUAGUCUUUAAUUUUAAAAUUAGAAAAGAAUCAGUAAUUUAUUUUUGCAACGACACGACCCGCUAGCAACAAUAACUCGUUCGGCCCAAACCACCUGCCCAAAAUGCUUAAGCCUAAUUAUUAUGACUAGCGUGUAGGCCUCAUAGAAACUAAUCGGAAUCAGUAUCACUAUUGGAGCUCGUCGGAUCCAAACUAGAUCAUAGAUAGAUAGAUAUAAAGAUACAAAUAGACAGACAGACCAUGACCAGAAUUACCAGGUGAUGUGAGAUUCUAGAGGUGGCUUCUACGGGUUCAAGGGGUUUAAACCAGGUGAGAUUCUAGAGGUGGCUCCUACGGGUUGAAGGGGUCUAAACCAGGACCAGAAUUACCAGACGAUGUGAGAUUCUAUAGGUGGCUCCUACGGGUUCAAGAGGUGGUUCCCACCAAAUCCGUUGGCGUAGCACUUUGUUCCGCAUAGUGCUUAGCUCUCAUACUUCCGAAAGGUAUUCGUCUCUGAUACCAAGUGCAACGAUCCGACCCGCUAGCAACAAUAACUCGUUGGGUCCAAACCACCAGCCCAAAAUGUUUAAGCCUAAUUAUUAUUACUAGCGUGUAGGCCUCAUAUAAACUGAUCGGAAUCAGUAUCCCAUCCGAUGUGAAACUAUUGGGGCAUUAUAAUUUUUAAACUAUUUGCAUCUUAAAUCAUUUGGUCAUUUGGCACUAAUUGGGAUAUACGUUUGGAGGAGUAUUUUGCACGUAGGUUUGCUGAAAAACAAAACUGGAACUGUCACAGAAAGAUAAAGUAAACAAAUGAAGCCACACAGAGCUUGCUAGACCAUUAGCCCUCGCCCCUAAAACACAAAAAACAAAAAAAAAAAAAAAAAAAAAGAUUCGGACUCCUCUUUGUCCUCUUCCCGUCUCCCAAGAUGCUAUUUGCCUAGACCUUGCCACCAUGCCAACUGAACCGUGCAAGUUUUUUUUUUUUUUUUUUUUUUUUUUUUUUUUUUUUAAAUAGAGCUAUUUUUCAGCUAAUAUGAGUAAAGUUCUAAAUCUUAUUCAUUACGAGAAAAGCUCAAUUCACUUUCUCGGCCAUUUUAAUUUAAUAAAUAUAUUAAGCGGCUCAACUUAAGUUUAGAAAUAGAACUAAUUUAAUUUCAAUGAACAAACCAAACAUUUGAAAUCAUAUUUUAAAAAAUUUGGAAUUAAACGUUCAGUGAUGAUGUUUAAGCAGAUAGUUGAGAAAUCAUUCAUAAUAUAUAUAUAUGUACAUGCCAAACUAAUAUUUUUAACAUAUCUUUAUCAGAUUAUUGGUAUUAAUCAUUAAUUUCAAAAUGUUAAGCUAUUAGAAAAUUACAACAAAUUUAUUUAAAAUAUAUAAAUAUAACGCUUACGAAUCUCGAUUCGAUCUACAUAGUACCCUAUAAUUUUAAAUAUAACUCAGUAUAACUUGACCUUCAGUCAUAAGCUAGGAUAGUGGCUCCUUUAAAACCAACAAUCUCUAUCGAUUGCUUAUAGGUUGUUUUUUUUUGCAGUAGACCGAUUGGUCCAUUGCUAACAUGACGCACUAAGUUUAGGCAAUGAUAAGACUCUACUUUUUUUCAAUAAAUAAUUUUUUUAUUUAUAUUAAAACUAAAGUUGUCUAAAAUAUCCGAUAUACUAUACUCGAUUCGGACCUUACCCGGAUCCAAAUCGGACCCGAUAAAAAAUGAAUAGUUUAGAGUAAAAAAUAUUAUUUAUUAAAAUUUCGGAUAUAAGUCAGAAUACUUUAUAAUCUAUACCUGGCUUGGACCCGAUCCGAAUCCGAUCUUUUAAUAGGUAGGGUCCGGAAGAGUUUCCAAAUAUGGACUCGAAACCGGACUAGGACUUGGACCCGAUGAAAUAUUCGAUAGUAAAUAAAAAAAAAUUAAAGUUGAGGAAUCAAUUUCAAUAGAACUUAUAAAUAAAGUGUCUCUACAUAUUUUCAUCAUAAUAAAAAUUCUAAUCUUUUUGUUUACUUUUUUUUUUUUUUUACUCAUUUUUUUUUUAAUUCUAAAUGUUUACUGUUUAAUUUUUUUGAACAAAUUUUAUUGGAAUAGGUGCAACUAAUUAGAAUGCGGAACUUUUACAAUGAUAGGUUUAUGAUUUACAGCUAUUUGUAUUCGUUUUAGACCUGAUUCGUAUCCGAUCUAUACCCGAUUUUAAACGGUUAGCAUCUCAAGUAGAUUCGGUGAAUAUAUUAUUAAUUUAUGUACCUAGAUUCAACCUCGAACCGAUAGAAUAUAAUUUUUUUAAGUGUACGAUUAUAGUAUUUAUAUUACCUAGACACCUUCAAUUAAAACCCCUCUCACUCCCCUCCGUCUCUUCCACCACCUCCACCUCCGCAGCAACACAAAACAACACCAUUAAUUAAGAGAGGUGGUGUUGUUGUUGUUGUCGUCGUUCAUGGUGCUCAUGGAGCACUCCCCGAGCUCCCUCCUCCGCCUCCUCUUCCUCCUCCUCGCCUCCCUCCUCCUCCUCCUCUUCCUCCUCUCCUACUCCUACCUCCACCUCCCCUCCUCCCCCUCCUCCUACCUCUCCUCCUCCCCUAAACCCACCACCCAUAAUCACGAAGAGGACGUUCCCCACCACCCCCUCGACCCCCUCACCAUCCGCGAGCUCUCCCUCGCCCGCUCCAUCCUCCUCUCCACCCCUCCCUUCUCCUCCUCCUCCUNCACCCUCUCCUCCUCCUCCUCCUCCUCCUCCUCCUCCUCCUCUCCUCUCUCCAUCCACUCCCUCUCCCUCCUCGAGCCCCCCAAGCCCCUCGUCCUCUCAUGGCGCCCGGGCGCCCCCCUCCCCCCUCGCCGCGCCCUCGCCGUCCUCCGCUUCCGCUCCGCCCCCUACGUCGUCUCCGUCGACCUCUCCGGCGCCACCGUCUCCCACCUCCCCUUCAACUCCUCGGGCUUCCCCGCCAUGACCAUCGAGGACAUGACGUCGUCGACGUGGGCGCCGCUCGCCGACCCCGAGUUCAACCGGACGGUGCUCGCCCGCGGCGUCCGGCUCUCCGACCUCGCCUGCCUGCCCAUCUCCCCCGGCUGGUUCGGCCCCGACGAGGAGGGCCGCCGGGUGAUCAAGAUCCAGUGCUACUCCGCCGACGGCACCGCCAACUUCUACAUGCGCCCCAUCGAGGGCCUCACCGUCCUCCUCGACCUCGACACCAAGGAGGUCCUCCGCAUCUCCGACCGCGGCUCCGCCAUCCCCAUCCCCGCCGCCGCCAACACCGACUACCGCUACGACUCCCGCACCGCCCAAACCAAGAAGAACAAGCGGGUGCGUACUGCUGUGCACCUCCCAUCAAAUUAUAAAAAUAUUAAAACACCGUUCUCCUCCUCCUGAUAUCAUAUGACCCGUGUCUCACGAUAUCUAUCAAAGGAGGCGUACGGUCUCAUCCAUCGUCUAUCAUGAUUAGUUAGCGCGAAUUUUAAAGCAUGUCGAAUGGCGGAUAUAUGAGACGGUCUUAUUCUGCGGACUGUCCUUUAUAAAAUUAUUGUCUGUUUUUCCGGUCAGAAUAGAAGCAUGGUAUAUGGUGGACGAGACCGUCUUAUGAUACACACCGUCCUUCAUAAAAUUUUGUCUCUAUGGCUAGUCAGAACAGAAGGUGCUGAGUUCGUAGGCAAGCAUGACACGAUCAUCGAUCAAUCGGCAUGGUUGUUUUGAAUGCAAAACAGGUGCGUCCGGUGAACCCGAUGUCGAUGGAGCAGCCGGCGGGGCCGAGCUUCGAGGUGGAGAACGGGCACCAGGUGAAGUGGGCCGGGUGGGACUUCCACAUAAAGGCGGACGCGCGGGCGGGGAUCGUGGUGUCCGGGGUGGGGAUCGUGGACCCGGAGAGCGGGGAGCGGAGGGAGGUGAUGUACAAGGGGAUGGCGUCGGAGCUGUUCGUGCCGUACAUGGACCCGUCGGAGGCCUGGUACUUCAAGACCUACAUGGACGCCGGCGAGUACGGGUUCGGCCUGCAGGCCAUGCCCCUCGUGCCGCUCAACGACUGCCCGCGCAACGCCUACUAUCUCGACGGCGUCUUCGCCGCCGCCGACGGCCGGCCCUACGUCAGGGAUAACAUGAUCUGCAUCUUCGAGCGGUACGCCGGCGACAUCGCGUGGCGCCACUCCGAGAGCCCCAUCACGGGAAUGGAUGUAAGAUCCGAUAGUGAAGCACAAAAACCUGCACACUAUUAAAUAGAGCCACAAAUGAGAACCAAAUAGAAUUUAAACUUGAUAAAAGUGUUGCAGAUAAGGGAGGUGAGGCCGAAGGUGACGCUGGUGGCGAGGAUGGCGGCGUCGGUGGCCAACUACGACUACAUCGUCGACUGGGAGUUCCAAACCGACGGACUCAUCCGCAUCAAGGUCUAUCUCAUUCUUUUUUGUUGAAUAUUUUAAAAAUAUUAAAUAUCAUUCUCAAUCAGCUUUAUUUUAUUUAAUUUUUUUUUUACAAAUUAUUUCAAUUGGAUUUUAUUUAUUUCUAAUGGUGACUAUGAAUAGAGUGGAUAUAUAGGGACAGAGAUAUUUUCGUGUUCAUUUGUAGAUGCUUGCUACAUGACAUUCAUUGCCGAGACGACUAUUUUGGACGCACUGUAACCGUUGUGCAUCACUGUUGCCACAUGGACAAUUGGGAUGCACGCAUGAGAGAACCUUUGACACUUCAACAUCGUGCAUGUUUCAAUUUUGACUUUUUCAGCUUCAAAUUUUAAGAUAAUUGGAGCUUAAUUUAAUAUAGAUGCUUUUUAAGUCCAUAUAAAUAAAAUUCAGAGGGUCAAUUUCAAAAGAGGUUAAAGUUUAGGGGGUGUGUACCGAGUGCCUGAUGCGCAUUUUGACACGGGUCGGGUCCAAUGUGAUCGGGUUCGAACCCAAUGUGCAUGUGAUGCGUGCAUGCAUGCAGGUGGGGCUGAGCGGGAUCCUGAUGGUGCGUGGGGCCCCCUACACGCACGUGAGCGAGGUGCCGGCGCACGUGGACCCGUACGGCACGGUGCUGUCGGAGAACGUGGUGGGGGUGAUCCACGACCACUACGUCACGUUCCGCCUCGACCUCGACGUCGGCGGCGCCGCCAACAACUCCUUCGUCCGUGUCGCCCUCUCGCGCCAUGACACCUCCGCCGACCGGUCAGGGUCCAAGUCGCCGCGCGCCAGCUACCUUGCGGCGACGCGCCACGUUGCGCGGUCCGAGGGCGACGCGCGCGUGCGGCUCAGCCUCUACGACCCCGCCGAGUUCCACGUCAUCAACCCCGCCAGGACGACGCGUGUCGGCAACCCCCUGGGUUACAAGGUCGUGCCGGCUGGCACCGCCGCCAGCUUGCUUGACCCCCAGGAUCCGCCGCAGCUCCGCGGUGCGUUCACCAAUAAUCAGGUAAUUAUAUAUCUGAGCUCUACCACCACUGUAUAGAAUAGUUAGGUGGUCACUAGAAUAGCUAUUUAAGAAGCUGAGAAAAGGGUUCCAAUCCUACACAUGCGUUUUAUUAAAGAAAAAUUAUAAGUGCUUGUAUACAUAGAGAGAUAUCUUGUUCAUAUGUAUAUCUAGUUAUUGUCUUUUUUUUCUGAGAGAUAGGUAAGCGUGUUACCCGCUUCGUUUAUUUCAUUUAGAAAUAAAUAUAGUUGGAAAUGUGAAUCAACUAAGAUUCGAAAUUAAGACCUCGAAUAUCAACCACCAAGCGCUUUAUCUAGUUAUUGUCACAUGAUUUUGUUUGUGCUCCUCUUAUAAUUAAAAUGACUACUACAUAUGAUGUGUGCUAGAUUUGGGUGACACCCUACAAUGAGAGUGAGGAAUGGGCUGGGGGGCUGUUUGUGUACCAAAGCAAAGGGGAUGACACAUUGGCUGUUUGGUCAGAAAGGUAUGGUGGUAAAUUAAUUUUUCAUAAAUUAUAAGAAUCUAAUUCAAUAGUUCUUUUGUGAACUUAAUUUGAUAGUUUUGUUGAUGAUUGAUGAUAUACACAUAUAUUUUAAUAAGUCAGUUUUAUGUAUACAAUAUCUAUUCAAUGUUUCAUUAUUAUAAUAUAUACAUAUAUAUAUUUCAUUCCAUAUGUGACAAUUUAUUCGUACAAAAAAGAGUAAAUCAUUUAGUAGUAUCGAUCAUAUGUAUAAAAUUGACCCUCAUCAGCUAAUUUAAGAUAUCAAUAGCAUUACUUAUUGAAUUACGAAUUUAUUUUAAUUAAAUAAGACGAAAGACGGCCCCCUUCAAAAAUCAGACAUUGGAAUCUUUUGGUUGGAAUUGUUGAUUCACGGCGCUACUUAUUUGACUGAUCUUGUUUAAUUAUAUGUGAUUGUGUUUCUGAAUUUCUAAAAGUUUAAGAUGUUAGAGAACAGAAUUUUAAUAUUUGUACCGACAUUCUUCUUGGUUGUUGUUGUUGUUGUUGAUGAAUGUACACAGGGAUAGGCCAAUUGAAAACAAGGACAUUGUGUUGUGGUACACCCUAGGGUUUCACCACAUACCAUGCCAAGAGGAUUUUCCGAUCAUGCCGACGGUGUCUUCAAGCUUCGAUCUCAAGCCCGUCAACUUCUUCGAGCGCAAUCCUAUCCUCUGGGACCCGCCGAACUCCGAGAAAGACCUACCGGUUUGCACUGCAGCGUCAACAGCGGCGAUGGCGGCUUAACGGAAGCGUAUCAGUUCUCCUCUUAGACAUUAUGAGCUUCUUGAAUGAGAAAAAUGGGGUAAUUGAUGCAAUGAAUGGACUAGAAUUUUUGUACAGUGGUUUCUCCAUGAAAGAUGUUGCUGCAUUUUGAAACUUGGGCAUAUAUUGUAAAAUAACUGUUCGACUUUUGAAAAUAAUUAAGAGACCGAAGGAUAGUAUUUUAAUAUUUUAUGUUCAACACUUCUGUUUAGGCUUGAUACUUUUUUAUAGGUAAGACGAGAGAUUUAAACUCAAACUAUUUGCUCUGAUACCGUGUGCGGAAAUAACUUAUGUUAACUCUAUCCUAUCAUAUCAGGGAUUUGCCUGCACUAUUUAUAAUUACACUUUGAUGACAUUGGCACAGUAAAUGUAGAUUUUCCUUCUUAUGAUUUGUAUUAUUUAUCUAUGAAAGAGGGCGAGAAAUUGAGUACACUAAUGCUAUAUAUAUAUAGGCUUUAUUUCAUGCAUUAAGGUGUGAGCUCAACCUGGAUGAAUUUUUAGUAAUCUCCUUGAUCAUAUAUUUCACAAUUUACUUAUCUCUUUGUUAGAUAUUUGUUCUUCGAAUUUACAAAAAUAGUUUUAUCAUGUUAUGUUUCAGCCCCUGCUACUAAUUAAUGAUAAGAUCUCUGAUAGGGAAUGAUCCAAUCAUAUCAAAAUGAUGUUUUAAUUAGAGAUAACCUUGUUCUACAUCACUGUUGGGGAAAACCUAUAAAUGAUGCUGGGUCCCAACAAGAGACUUGCAAACACAUGAAGCAGACCCUUCAACCACUCCAGAUGUUGAUAUUAAACAUUUUGAAACAUGGACGAGUCCAACAAGUUUUUUUUUGAGAUAUAGGCAGCAUUCUAUCUGUUUUGUUUAUUUUAUUUAAAAAUAAACUUAGCUGAAAAUGUGAAUUAAUUAGAAUUCAAAUUUGGAAUCUCGGAUACCAACUACCCAAGUCCUUUGCCAAGAGUCCAACAAGUUACCGGUACUGAUAUGCCAGGUUGUUACAGCUUUGCAUAUCUUAGAAUAAGUGAAUGGUUUAACUUUUUAAGGUCGACGCUCAUGUCAGAAUUCAUAUUUAAAAUUUCUACAGAUAAAUUAUCUAGCUACUAACUGUUAUAUGUACAGAGCUGACUUAUAAAUUCUAUAUUUUGUGGUCCAGUUUGAAAUACAUGGAGCACAAUUUGAUUGAAAAUUUCACAAGCAGUAAUUGAUUCCACCAAUCCCACCAUUUAGUGGAAUCCUAUGGUGAUUCCAGGCCAGCACUGCAGGCCAAAGCCAGAGAAAGCAAUUGGCUAGCUGGUGAUGAUGAUCAGAGGAGAAAAGUGGGAUUCCUCCAAAAGCACUUCUCGAGUUGAUAAAAUAUCUUGGAUGCACCAUCAUCUCCUAUUGUCUCUUAUUAGAGUUAGGAGAUUGUGACCUAAAGAUAGGGAUGAUGAGCAUGCAACUUGGGCUAGCUUCAAAGGAGAGCAAGUGAAAGGUCCCAUUCACAAACUACUUUUGAUCUCUUAUUUUUGGACCAUUUUGGAUGCAUAAAUAUCUUAUUCUAUACCAUUUUUUUUCAAACUUGCUCAAACGUAAAAAUAUUCUAUUCAUUAAUAUUAUACUUUUUUGUUUAUUCGGGGAGUAUGGCGUAGUCAGUAGAUGAAUUAUGAUCGGACGCUAAAAAAAAAAUCUAAUAAUGUAUUAGUAUCAAUGAAUAGGUUAACUAUUGUUGCCUAUUUGUUGGAUGUAUAAUUAAGUGGGUCUCUUCUAAUUGGACUAUAAGAGUUUGAGAGUGAUGGAGUGGUGACAAAAAAAGUUAAUUUUUCAAGGAAGAAGCACUUAAUUUGUACCUAAUCAUCAACUUAAUUAAAUUAAAAACCUUUCUUGGCCACUAUAGAACAUUUUUCAAUGGCCUAUUGGCUUAAUUUCUUAAUGUUGAUAGUGACCUCGGAAUAGCGUACUAUGACGUAACCAACAUACAACAAUAGGAAAAUGUUAUUUGUGCACUCUAUUAGCCUUAUAAUUGGAGUUGCAGUGCUAUUCGAUGUAGCACUAUUUAAAUUGAAGUUUCUGUUUUUGGACUUCAGAAUUUUAUUCUAAUUUUCCACCAUGUUUGUAAGUUUUUGAAUUUUGUUUGCUAUAUAUGUAGUCUAUUUAAAAUAAUUGCCACUACAGAUACAUGAAGCAAAGUUCAUUAAACACUUUGUGUGUACAUAUCAUCUUUCCUUUUACCCAGGUUAUACUCAUAUAAUCACCAAAUCAAUUUUGUAUCAGCUUUAAAUUAAAUGCCUUUCUUAUUCUUCAAUCAGAGGGACCCCUUACUGUAACCAAAAUUUUUCAGAUGCCCUUUUUUUCACUUUUACGUUAGAGCAGCUGGUUGAUAUAUAUUCUUAUUGAAUCCUGUGGGUCUUGAAAUUUGAAUUCGAAAUUGUGCAUUUUAAUUACAAGUAGGUUUAGGGGAUGUGGAGGUCAUCCAUAGAUUUUAAUAAGAACGAACAAUCACAAAUCAAUAGAAAGUUUUUAUAUACAUAUAUAGUUACAGUAAUUCCAAUGUAUAUAUAUAUAUAUAUAUAUCCUCACAAUAUUAUAUAGCAGGAUAUAUAUAUAUAUAUAGAACCAAGGAUAAGAAGGAACUUAUCCUCACCUACAAGCUAGCUAUUAAUUUUCCUUGUACUAAAUCAACAUAUAUUCUAUGAACUUUUGUAAUUUAUAUCAUUUGAAUGACCUUCAAAUAGAUUUUUUUUUUUUAACUUCUAUUUUUUAUUUUUUAUUUUUGGACAGAUGCUUGUGGUCUACACACAGGGAAAUCAUCUUCAGUAUAUGGCUUGGCCCUAAGGAUAGGGUUCCUUCUGAAGAAGUUAACAGGCUUAAGAUCAAAUGUGGAGGACACAGUGGGCAUGAUAGGAUAGUCCUCUUGGCAUGGGAUGUGGUGGAACCCCAUUGUGUACCAUAACACAAUGUCCCUAUUCUCAAUUGGCCUAUUCCUGCCACACACAAAAAAAAAAAAGAAAAAAAGAAUCAAUUUUAUUCAUUAUUUGAUGAAAAAUUAGAGUAAAAGGAGAUUUUGCUUAUAUAUAACCCUGCAAAAUUACCAAUUUAAUAUAUUAAGUACACAUACUUAUGUAAAAGAGUUAUAUAUAUAUCCAUGCAAUGGUGGAAGUUUCUAAUUGUAGUAAUCAGUAGGAGCUUAAUUAACUAGGUUUUGCAAAGCUAUGAGCUUGUUUGCUUUGGUUGCUGUUUUUAUUUUCAGUUAUAAUCAGAGACAAAAAUUUAAAAUAUAUGGCAUGCAAAAAAACUGAUCUUGGAAGGUCAAUAUAAAUGUUUUACCCAAAUAUUAAUGAGGUGUAUACAUGUAACUAGAAAUAUUUUACCCAAUAAAUUGAUGGUUUUUGAAGGAUAGCAAUAUAUAAGAUACAUGAAAUUAUGGAAUGAAAGGAAAGAAUUUAAUAAGCUAACUUACUUUUCAGACCACUGGGCAAGUGUGUCUUUUCCUUGACUUUGGUACACAAAAAAUCCACCUGCCCAUUCCUCACUAGCAUUGUACUGAGUCACCCAUAUCUGCUCAGAAUAGAAUAACUCCAGUUAAUGUCAUUAUAUAUACAUGUGUGUAUUUGUAUGGAGUUGAACUUUCGUGCUUUUAAAAGUAUAUAUAGAAACACCAACUGUCCCUGGAGCAAGUGGCAAAAGGCUUGGUGGUUGGUAUCCGAGACCCAAAUUCGAAUCCUAGUUGAUUCACAUUUCUUGCUAAGUUUAUUUCUAAAUGAAAUAAACGAAGCAGGUAGCGUGCUACCUAUCUCUCUAAAAAAAAAGUAUAUAUAGAAACUCAACAUAUUUGCGAUUUUUCAACUUUCGGAUUUUUAACAUAUAAGACACAUCAUUAAUAAUACUGUACGGACCUUGAAAUGAUCCGACGACUAAAAAAUUAUAAACACAAAUACUCAGGUGCUUUUAAAAGCAGAGAAGCAGCUAUAUCUAUAUAUAUGUCUUUACAUAGAACAUAAUAUAUCUAACCAAUUUGGCAUGUAGGUUCUCAGUUUGAGUAUUAUUUAAAAAAAAAUUAUGAAAAAUUAUAUCACAAGCUUAUGAUCGAGCUCAUACGUUUUACGUCCAAAUUUUGUUCUUUUAACUAUUAUUUUAUGUAGCACUAUUAGAGAGAGAGAGAGAAAAUGAGCGCAAAUAUACACACAAUAUAUAUAUGCAUGCAUUUGUAUAUAUAUACAUAUACAUGCACGUACCUGGUUGUUUGUGAACGCAGCUCGCUCCUGCGGUGGAUCAUCCAAGUCGAGCAAGCUCGCAGCGGUCGCGCCGGGGACGAUCUUAUACCCCGUGGGGUUCCCGACGCUCGACGUCCUCUUCGCGUUCACCACAUGAAACUCCGAUGGGUCGUAGAGCUUCAGCUUAAUCCGCGCGUCCUCCUCCGUCUUCGCGACCCGCCUCUCGACCCUCAGGUAGCUCUUGCGGGGGGACUCCCCCGCGCCCGUCUCCUGCUUCACGAUGUGCACGUCGACGAACGAGUUCUCGGGGCCGUCGACGUCCAUGUCCAAGUAGAAGGUGACGUAGUGGUCGUGCACCACACCGAUUAGGUUUUCGGUUAGUAGGGUUCCGUAGAGAUCCUCAUGUUCCGGAACUUGGCUCAUGUUCUUGUAAACUGUUCCCUUCACCAUCAACAUGCCACUGAGACUAACCUAUAUAGAUAUAUAGAAUGUAAUAACAUUAUUAUUAUCAUUAUAUACCAGAUCACAGUUAAUAUAGUAUUAUAAGUAUUAUUUGACGUAUAAAUUGAAGGUAAAAACAUGCCACUGAGACUAACCUAUAUAUAUAUAUAUAAUGUAAUAACAUUAUUAUCAUUACCAGAUCACAGUUAACAUAGUAUUGAGUAUUAUUUGACGUAUAAAUUGAAGGUAAAAACGUAAAGAAGUUACCUAAACUACUAUUCAUGCAUCCUUUCAGUUUAUUUGGUUUAAGCUGGUCAACGACACUUUUUAACUUCAACAUUUGAGUUAAUUAUUUAUUUUAGUAAUUUAUAGUUGCGAGAAUUGCAUGAAGUAAACUAAUUAAAUAUGUAAAAUGAACGAAACAUUCAAAUUUUAAAGUUAGAGUAUCAUUGACCAACUUUUAUCAAAAAAUUAAAAUGUUAGGUAGCACAAUCAAAAUUUUGAAAGGUUGGGUAGUCGAUUCAAAAUAGUCCGUAUAUAAUUUAUAUAACAGUUUUAUAAAUUAUUACGUAUAGUUUACAAACUGAUUGGUCAUUAGUAAAAAUUGAACUCUUAAUAUUAUUACUCUUAUACUCACUAAUUUAAUGCAAGUUAUAUAUAUAGUGUGAAGGAGACCUAGUAAAGUCAAUUAAAAGCGAUAUAUAUAGAAUUAGACUGGCAUACUAUUAAUAGCAUCAAGCUAUUGAUGCUAUUAGGUUUUCGGCCCUUAAUGAAAAAAUAUACUGUUAGGAUGAUGGGUGGGCCCCUAGGAUUGAGUGAGUUGUUGGUUAAAUAGUAUAAUCUAACGGAUGAAAAUAAUCAAAGGAUUAAAUCUAACGGCGGAAAACUUGGUAACACCAAGCGCUUGGUGCUAUCGAUAGUAUUCCAGCCGGACUCUCUCUCUCUCUCUCUCUCUCUCUCUCUCUCUCUCUCUCUAUAUAUAUAUAUAUAUAUAUAUAUAUAUAUAGAAUUAUGCUACUAUACUAUCAAUAGUACCAAGCCCUUGGUACUAUUGAGUUUUCGGCCGUUAGAUAAAAGGAUGUGCAGUUAUGAUGAUAGUGGUCCCCGAUUAAAUUGAUANUAUAUAUAUAUAUAUAUAUAUAUAUAGAAUUAUGCUACUAUACUAUCAAUAGUACCAAGCCCUUGGUACUAUUGAGUUUUCGGCCGUUAGAUAAAAGGAUGUGCAGUUAUGAUGAUAGUGGUCCCCGAUUAAAUUGAUAAUGGUCCCCUAGGGUUGAGUCAGUGGUGGUUUAAUAGUAUAAUCUAACGGGUGGAAAUGAUCAAAGGGUAGAUCUAACGGUAGAAAACUCAAUAGUACCAAGGGCUUGGUACUAUCGAUAGUAUAGUAGCUGGACUCAUAUAUAUAUAUAUAUAUAUACACUUUGGUAAUUUUCACAAAAGUCCUCCAGCACUGCAAAUUUAUUGGUGAGUCCCUCACAACACAUUUGUUUACCACAAAAGCUUUUCCACAACAAACCUCGUGAAAAUCUACGAAUAAAAUAUAAGGCUUUUUCCAAAAUUUCCAUAUCUUCAAAAACACUGAAUCCAUAAAUAGACUUUACUAUGACCUCUGGCACAACCAGACUUUUCAAGUGAUGAAUUCGUUUUGUUGGAUUCUGAUUCCAUUUUANAGCAAUUACAGCUGACCAGCUAGAAAGAGUAGUUUCAAUUGAACCCUCUUUCUGAUCGUUUUGUAACUCAGAAAAUUUCUUCUUGUGCACCCAUGCACACAAUAUAUAUAUAUAUAUAUAUAUAUAUAUAUAUAUAUAUAUAUAUAUAUAUAUAUAUAUAAUUGAGCUCCUAUACUUUUAAAAGUACUAAGUUAUUGUGCUUGUAGAUUUUUUACCAUUGGAUUAAGAGAUGUGCAGUUAGGAUGAUGUGGGGCCCAUAGCGUUGAAUGGGUGGUUGGUUGAAUGAUAUAAUCUAAUGGGUAAAAAUGAUCAAACGGAUAAAUCUAAUUAUAAAAAAUUUACAAGUACCAAGUGUUACAAGCACCAUAGUCGGACUCUAUAGAUAUAUACCUAUAUGUAUAUAUAUAAUUGAAAUUAAGAUUGGUAUGUAAACAAAUUGAGUACGUACCUUGAUUCGAAUAAGCCCAUCCGUUUGAAACUCCCAAUCCACUAUGUAGUCAUAAUUUCCAACAGACGCAGACAUUCGCGCAACCAAAGUUAUCUUUGGACGCACUUCACGUAUCUACAUAUAUAAACCCAUAAUACGUCCAAUAAGAAUUGGGAAAAUAAUAAGAUGAUGAUGAUGAUAAUGAUAAUGAUAAUUAUAAUAACAGAGAAGGAUAGAGAUACAUAAAUAAAAUGGGAGAACAAAUUUUUUUUAUAAAAAAUGAAAAAUUUGUUUUUCAUAAUCGCACGCAUAAUUAUGGUUCACAUAUGAAUUUACUAUUAACUAUUAAUUACUAUGGUAAAAAGAGAGAUCAAUCUCACCUCGAAAGUUAAUUGAUAUUUUGGUAAAUGUUGAUAUAUUUAUAUAUAUAUAUAUAUGCUGAAUAUGUAUAAGCAAAUACAUUAUAUACGAUGUUAUAGAUAUGUUUUGUGUGUAGGAGAUCGACUGCAUACUUUCUGAAGUCAAAAUAUUUUUGAUUGACUCAAAUUAAAUAAAUUAAAAUAUUAAAUAAUAAAAUUAAAAUUUUAAAAAAUUAAAUAAUCAGAUUAAAAUAGUUCAUAAUUUAGAUAACUUUGAAACGUGUUUACGUAGAAUUUUUAAAUUUUUGUUUAAUAAAGGAGGCAGUAGGUGAAGUGUUCCCUCUUUGCUGUAUCCAUCGCACAUGGCAUUAAAAUUCAUGCCAAUUUUCCAACCCGAAAAGGACUUAUCAGAGCAAUAUGACUAGUCGAAUCAUCUUUUCAUUCAUGAUUAUAACUUGUCAUGUGAUUGUCCCAAAUCUAAAAGCCAUUUUUUUCUUUAAAAGAAAAAAGCUAAUUGUACACUCCUUUUGGAGUUUACAUUUUUUAUGUCCCACUGUGGGUGGUCUACACUAGUCAACAAUAUGUUUAAUAAAAAAAAAUUUCAUACUAAGAAUGGAUAAGAUGUACAACGUAUAAUCCUUUUGGGGUAUAUGUGUAGUAUUGCUCAAUUCUCAGUAUGUCAACAAAAAAAAAAAGAUAACUAUAUGGGAGUACGUAUAUGUAAAAGUUGGUGAAAUCCAGUUGAAAAAUAUAAGUAAAUUAUAAGAAAUGAAUCACAAAAGAUCGGUCUGAUAAUUUUUUUUAAAACAAAAUUACGGGCAUAAACAUCAAAAGUUUUAAAGUUCAUAUGCUCAUUUGUAUGUUAGCUAUAGUUAAUCCAGUCCUGUUUUUUUUUUUUUGAAAUUUUUAUAUAUAUUAUUAAUAUAUUGACACAAAUGUUAUGGAAAUUCGUGGCGGUUCAUAUGCACACUUAGAUAGUGCCAUAUGGGUUUUGUAAACUUAAGAGAGAGUUGGAACCAAAAUCUUUUGUUUUUUAAUACCUAAAUUAAAAUGUUUUCGUGAUUGUGGACUUAGUUGUAAAUAGGUAUUUGUGUAGGGCUAUAGUUGUAAAAAAGAAGGAAAUAUCCACAUAGUAAGGGAUCUUUUUGGCGGGAUUCGGGUGGGGAAGGAAUCUUACGUUGAUUCCCGUGGUGGGCCCCUCGGAGUGGCGCCACGCCACGUCACCUUCGUAGCGCUCGAAGACGCACACCAUUCCGGGCCGGACGAACGGCCUCCCGUCCGACCCGGCGAGCACCCCGUCCAUCAGAUACGCGCCACGUGGGCAGUCGUUUAUCGGGUCGAGCGACAUCGCCUGCAGCCCGAACCCGUACUCGCCCGCAUCCAAAUACGCCUUGAAGUACCACCCCUCGGUCGGGUCCAUGUACGGCACGAAUAAUUCCGACGCCAUUCCUUUGUACAUCACCUCUCUCGCCUUACCGGUUUCCGGGUCGUUUAUUCUCGCGCGGGAUAUUAUCAUCCCCGCCCGGGAGUCCGGGCGCACGUGCAGCUCCCACCCGGCCCACCGGAUCACGUGCGCCCCCUCCACCGUGAAGCUCGGGCCCUCCGGUUGUUCGAGCGUUAUUGGGUUCAGCUUGUAUUGCGCCCUCUGUUUUGUUGUUUUCUUUUUCUGGACGUCGUAUCGAUAGUCGGUGUCGUCGUCGGAGGGGAGGGGGAUUGGUUGUUUGUUGUCGAGGAUUUCGAUCACUCGGUUCUUGUCGAGGUCGACUAAGACGGUGAGGCCCUCGACGGGGCGCAUGUAGAAGUUAGCGGUGCCGGCGUGGGAGUAGCACUGGACUUUUGCGAGGCGGGCGGAUUCUUCGGUUUUGCCGAACCAGCCGGCGGGGAGGGGGACGCAGGUGAGGUCGGAGGGGGCGAGGCUGCGCGAGCGGACUGCUUGGAGGAAGGGCGGAUCGGCGAAGGGGGCCGACGUAGCGCGGGACAUGUCGUCGGCGGUGAGGAUCGGGUAGCCGUGGGCGGCGGAGAGGGGGACCGUGUCAUGGUGAAUUACGCGCUUUGAGGAGAUGUCGACAGUGAGGAGGUGGGAUAGGGAGGAGGAAGGGGAGUAGGCGACGACGAGGGCGCGGCGAGGGGGGAGGGGGUUGAUGCCGGGGCGCCAGGAGCGGACUACAGAUUUGGAAGGCUCGGCGAGGGAGAGGGAGUGGAUUGAGGGGAAAGGGUUCGGGGAGGCGAAGGGAGGGUGGGAAAGGAGGACAGACCGGACGGUGGAGAUUUCAUCGACAGUAAGCGGGUCAAGAGGGUGGACAGGCAGCGAACUGCUUAAAGAACGAAACUUUCUAUUAGAAGAAGCAGUGCCGAUAGAUGAGGAGUGAGGAGAGAAAGGCGAGGAGAGGAAAGAGAGGUAGGCGAAGAAGAGGAGGGAGAACAGAAAGAGGAGGAUGAGGAGGCGGCGGCGGGCGACAGCGGUGACAGCAGCGGCCGCAGACGGUUCCAUCAGAGAGCACAGAGGGCGGAGGAGGUGGAUGCAUGAGAAGAAUCCACUAGAGACACCUUAAAUGGCGCAGAGAACGGGCAAUUUGAUUGUACGAAUAAAUAUUAUUUUAAAUGAUUAGGACUAUGCUUACGUUGGCUUGCGGAAUCUGCGCGCACCACAAGAUGCUGCAGUGCUCUCAGGUUCGGUGAGCCAAUUCGGCUCGCCAAAUCAUCACAACAACAACAACAACAAAUAUUUUAAAUGAAAAGCAAAUGCGUACAAGCAGAGCUUACAAAGUUAGGAAUUAAUCUUUUCACGUUAUAUUGUUUUGAUAUAUUCCGCAUGGUCGUUUUCUUCUUAAGUUUCUUUUUAAAAAAAAUAAAAAAAUGCCAACCAAACCCUAUUGUGGAGAUUAAUUGAACUUAAUGAUUUGGAUGGUUUACUGGAUUUGAAUAAGAAAUCUUCGUUUGAACUUUUAUUUGAAUUAUUUUAUGCUCUUAUUAGAUUAUUUAAGAAGAUCAAAUCCGAAUUACUGAAAAAAAAAUAACUGUAAGCAAAUAUUACACGCAUGCAAAAUUCAUAUAAAAUUGAAAUGACGCUUUAUUACGCGAGAACUGACGCAAAAUUUGAGCUGAACUCAGACCCUAAGCAGGUUGAGCCCUCGACCUUAUGAGCUGUUUAGUUUAAAUAUAACUUAAAAAUACAUUAUAGUCAGAGAUGCAUCAUUUUUAUAUACAUCAAGCUUAUUUGACCUACGAAAUAGAGAAUCAGAAUUGUAAACUAAACUCCCUAUAUUCAAAUUAUGUAAGCUAUCUCACUAUUUCAAUUAAUCACCUACCUCUUAUUUCUCCUAUUUUCUAGACCAGUUUGGAGAUUCUCCGAGUUAUGUGGCUAUGACCAUGAUUCCACAAACGCAACACAUUACUUUAUUUGUCCACAUCUUUCCAUUGCAUCAAGUGGAACUAUAGUUUAUUUCAUGGUUUUCCUCGACUAAGAUCCCCCAACAAACUAAUUAGACUAUCUGCAUCCCUACACAGCAGUUCAUUUACAAGCCAACCACUAGCUCUUAGGUUCAUACACCAAGCAAUGGGUAAAAAGUACAUACACAUAUUUAUAAUUUUUAAAAUGAUUCCACAAAUCAUCACCAAAAUAGUAUAUUCACAAGGCAGCACAUAGCAAUACAUGUCAAAGAAAGAGAGCACCUGAAUCUCCUACCAAGAACCUCUCAAUAACAUUAAAUUUAAAUCCAUCUGAUCCACCUCUCAACACAUUGGAGGGAAUCCUCGAAGACUCCCAAGAGUUAAAACCCAACUAAUUAUUUGUACUGCACCAAUUUGUUUUGAUUCUUCGGUGAGAUUACUUGUUUAUUUCACUAUCAAAUCACAUCAAAUGAGAUGGAAACAAGGUAUAGAUGCCACCAAAUAAACUUAAAAAUGUCAUCAUCUAAUACUCUUAGUAAACACCGAUAAAAUGUCAUCACCUAACACUCUUAGUUCAACCGAAGAAGGCUCUAGAUAAAACAAUCCAUAUUUUAUACAAAAACAGGCUUAGUCAAGGCUUAGUCUUUUACGCUCAACAGCUCUAAGGUAGCUUUCUCUAAAAGUCCAUCUAGACCUGGUACUCUUUAUUCCUAUAACAAUUUCUUGAAUAAAAUUACGAAUUAAGUCCCUAAAUUUAACCUUGACCUCAAUUUUGUCAUCAUAUUCUAAAUGUAAUAAUUGUCCCAUAAGUCCAUUAUGCAUUACUAAUUAGUCCUAUUAGUUUACCAUCAAAGGGGCCACAUAAGUGCCAUCUAGCCUUUGUCUAGUUGCAAGUUGGAAACUCUAAAAACAAAACCAAUACAAAGAUCAUCUAAAUUGUUAAACUAGACACUCCAAGAAUGAAAUUUAAUUUAAUUCAAACUCCAAUGAAUAUGCAGGUACGAACUGAAACUCUCUGAAUGAGACUGAAAUAAGGAUCAAUCUUCAGGGUCCGCUCGUUAUUAACUUUAUAUUCUUUUGUGCAAUUUACCCAAAGUAGGAUGUAAGUAAAAAGCUCAUGACUUUACUAGUAAGCCCACUUAUUUUAGGUGACAUACGAAUCUUUAAACUAGGUUAUUCACAACCAAAUUUGUUUAGGCCUUCUGGGAUAAAUAUAUAUUAUAUUCAGUAUAUCUGUUAGCUUACGCAAGGGAGAUGUGGUAAUGGAUUUGUAUGCAUUAUAUAUGCCUGCAACCAUAUAGUAUAUACAACAUCUAAGUUAUUUUUCUCAGAGUAUAACAUAUUAUAUCGUAAAUUAAAAGCACUAACCUAAAAAUUAGAUAAUAAAAUGCAAUGGCCUCACAAGAAACUAAAAUAAAGCCUACAGGUUGUAACUCCAUAAGAAAAUCUCUCUACCAUAGUUACAACUAGAUAACUCGUUCUGAUACUCAGACAAGCCCUCAAGGAUAAGUCACUGGGCAUGUAUGCAUAAUCACAUGCCUGGUUGAGCUUAACUAUUUGGUGGUUUCAUGACCAUCAAAGAUUUAGGUCACCUAUCUACCCAAGUGUGCAUCUUGGACCAUCCAAGAUUCCCUUUACUGCUGUGUUGGUCACCAAAAUACCCAAGGGUGCACCUUGUACAGCAACUAGGUCUCAAAUAACUAACUGAAGAGCUAUUUGGUUGGGGGAUAUUUCAAGUGUAAGGAGGAUAUCAACUAAUUAUAUUUAAUUAUUUUAUUCAAGUAUAACAAAGUAAGAUGUUAUGUCACACUAUAUUAUAUUAACAUACGGUAUCAUAUAUUACAUUAUGAAUAACAUCACCUAUAGGUGACCUCACAGCAACCUGUGCUUGCUUCUUGCAAAGAAGCAUCACUAAUCAAUAAUAUUAUUCGAUAAUAUUGCAUAAUGAUUUAUGUCAAAAUUUUGGGAUCAGGGGAAUUAUACCUAAUCUCUUGGGUUUCCAUUCUUGUCAAAUUUGGUUAAGAUUAAAUAAAAGGGGAAACUUGAUAUAAUAUUUAGUAAUGUUAUGUACUAUUCCAUGCAAAACAUCUAUCCAGAAUGUAGAAUAUGCUCCAGGAGCAACGAUUACAAUCUAAAUGUAAAUAUUAUGACCAACAAACAAAUGUUUAGAAAAAUCAAGACCAAACAAUAUUAUGUCACCAGCUCAAAACCUGUUUGACACAAAUAUGAGAUAUAUAUGCUAAAUAAGUAGGUCAAAAUGCAAACAACCUCGCUACAAGCAUCACAACUUGUUCUUCAUUCCCCUCAAUAAUAAAUGUAAAAGAAAUCUCUCAAUCCUUAUGCUAUUGUCUUUUCUUGUCCACUUGUAACUCUAUCGUUUAUAAAAUCUUAGAAAAGCAUAAAAUUUGAUUCCAAAUACUAACUAUGCGUGUUGUAUGAUGAAAAAGUGAUAUUGACGCAUCCCUUCUUGUCUCUCGAUUAGCUUAUAGUAAGAAAGAAUAUCUAGAUACAACUUUCCUACCAUCCAAGACAGAUAAUUGAUAUUUACAGAUACAUCUUUGGAUUUUCUAAUGAUUUAUGAAUGAUAGAAUCACAGAAGAGUAUUAAAUGAUUAAACCACAGUGAUUAAGAAGGGGGAAGUACAAAGUGCAACAUACCAAUUGGGGCUGUCUGCUUUUUAGCUAAAGUAGCGAAAAUCAAGACGGAAUUUAAUUGUACAAUAUAUAAAGUGAGGUCGCGGUUCUAGUUUUUUAAAUUUUAUUUGACCAUAACCGUAUACAUAAGCAAACAAAUAACAAUUUUUAGUUUACUUUCAAACAGUUAACAAGUUUUUGUUUAGUUUACUUUCAAACAAUUAACAAGUUUUAGUUUACUACCAUAUUGGAUCAUCAGUUCAUCACCAUGAGCUCAAAAACUAUGCUAUGAAUGCAAUAGAUACAAACGCGUAGUAGGCAACGAAAUUCACAACAGCUUGUACAUCUAAGAAAAGCAGAGCUUGUUUCUAGUGUUUUACUUUGGGCAAGGAAUUCUAAUUUAAGAAAAUCAUCAUAAGUUAUCCAUUUAACAGGGAUCUUAGAUGCACAACAAACACUACCUAAUCAGUAUUUUCUUAGUUAACUUUAACAUCAUGUUAGAUUCUCUAUCCACAAAACACAAUUUUCGAAGUUGUAUAUGGCAUCUCUUGGUUCAGAAAAUUAUCCAUUCAUCCAAACAUCAAAAGUAAAUUCUCCAGAUUUUUGUGGAAUAAAAGCUUCAAACUAACAAAAGGCAUUUUCGAAUUAGAUAACUUGUUCAAACCUCUAACAUAUUUUCCUUUUGAAAGUUAAAUUACAUUCUUGACCAGUAGCAAGACCUUUUCAUGGAAAUUUAAGAUUGAUGCAACUCUCUACAGGGUGGAAUGAUGCAUGCUAGGGAAAGGUAAAAACCAAAUUUCAAUUUCUAGAGAGAGAAACACUCUCUUUCCAUAGCAGAACACACCUCAACUACAUCAGUAGUCAACAAAGAUACAUGCCCCACGAAGCAUCACACUGGGGGAAUCAAAGAGGAAAUUUGAGAAUGUAGUUAAUAUUAGAAUGUAGUUAAUAUUUACUCACUGAUGAUCACCAUUUGUGUCAUGUUCGACCUCCUCAGCAUCUUCGAACCUUUGAUCAUUGAUUUGAAGCUGCAUGAAACACAAAAUAACGGACGACAAAUUAGCUGGAAAGAAAUAAUUGGUUGAUGGGAUCAGACAUGCUUUAAUUAAGUGUGCAGUAAUGAGUUUUUCAAGAUGAGCUAAAAAAAACUAUUAAAAAUUUGGAAGUUAGUAGAAGGAUUAGAUUGUAUGACUUAUGAACUUGCAAUUUUCAUUAAGUACUCAAGCAGCCACGAGCUGCUCAUAUUAGUUAAUGCAUGAAGUUAAGAGAGUUGGCCAAUUUUGAAGUUUUAAGGAGCUAAAUGCACAAGCAUGGAAGUUCAAGGAUCAGCAUACAUUUUAACUUGGCCAAAAGGAAAAAAGCAAGGUGGAAAAGAAAUUAGGAGGGAAUAUAUAGAAAAUUUUGAGCGCAGUAAUACAGUAAAUAUAAGCUUCAGCUGCAAAAACCAAACAAAUAAGAACUACAGAAUACUGUAUUAGCUUAAUUGUUCUUCUUACAGUAGACAGAUUCUUCAAUGAUGUUAACACUAUAUACCACCAAAAAGACAAUCUUAUCAUUAAUUUUGAGAACGUUGGAAGACGAUAUGGAUUUCAUAUCAUGUAUAAUCUUAAAACCAAAUCUAUCCACAAAAUUGGGGGGAAAAAAGAGAAGAUUUGCAUACCCAACCAAUAGGAACUUGCAAGAGUAAAGCAAUAAUAGAAAUCCAAUUCGACCAAGGUAAAACUACACUAACAACACUUGAGCUAGCAAAAUUUAUUAAAAAAAUUGAACAUUAGAUACUGAUACAGAUUUCAACAUAAAUGGCAAUGCCAGAUAGAAUAUAUAAAAAAACUAAAAACAAUAUUGCAGAUGAUACUUCUAGCACAACAUGUGGCAUGCAACUGAAAUGCAUACCUCAAGUACUGAAUGAGCCAGGUCGUGAGCACCAUUUGCGUAGCCAAUAGGGUUGGCAAGACUCUCAUAUGUUUGCCACUCAGGAUAACUUCCUGGUGGUAGAAAAGGAAGAAAUCAGACAAUCAUGCCCACAUACACACACAAACAAUUUUUUUUUUAAAAAGAAAACACUAGUGAAUGUUUUUUAUAACACACACACACGCACAAAAAAAAAGAGACAUUACCAUCACCUAUCUCUUCAUUGCCAAAAACCCAACUAUUUUCUUCCCCGCUCACUGGAAAAAUCACAUUUUGCAAUGCCUCAAAUAUUGAUACUAUUAACAGACAAUACAUAAAAAACAUGAUAAUGUAAAAACUAUACCAGAAUUAGGAUCGGGAUUCAGUUCAGCACAUUGACAGAAGAUGUCAAAAAGAGCAUCCACUUUGAACCAUAGUAAGGAAUGAAAAAUAAAAAUAACAAGAAUAUAAACUGGAUAAUGCCAUUUGUUAUACAAAGAAGAUUCAUUCAUAGAUGUGAAUUUAAAAGGUUUGACAAAAUACACCAGAAAUCUAGGAGAUAGUCUGGGUCACGAGGUCUUUAUCAUUCACAGAAUUAUCAUUACAUACAGCUAGAAGUACAACAACUUAAAGAAGUAUGUCUAGUAAUGACAUGUGAAAGCACUAGAACCUCCAAUUCAAUCAGACAAAAAUUGUAGCACUUAGGCCACUCCACAUGUUUCAAUUGCAAUUCAAUCUCGGUUUCAAGAAAACAAAAUCCCUAAAAAAACAACAAUUUACAAACUACACAAAGUCAUAUGGAGGACUAACUACCAGACAGGCAGACACAAAAUUAGCAUUUCAUCUGAGUGAUAGCAGAAAAGGGAUCACACCCUAAUGAAGGCUUAAUCAACAAACUUGAAAAUAUUUCAAAAUAAGUCCAACAGACAAAAGAAUGGUUAACACAAAAGAUUACAGGUUUACAGUAAAUGGAACUUAAGAUUAUAUAAAAAAUUAUUAUAGGCAUCAGUAGAAAGGAUACGUUGAUUGGAAUCUGACAGCAUCAGCCGCAUUUCCGUUAUCCUUGAUAGAUCCGUAUCUUGACCAAAUUCAGAAUCUGAGCCCUCAACAUCAUUCCCAUCGUUUCCAGUCUCAAUCUUUAAUUUUUUUUAAAAAAGAUUAUUAUGUAAGCAUCAGCAAAGAAAUUGAUAUCAGUACCGGUAAGAACUGUCCAGUUAGUUUAUGUGAUUACUCCUCUGAUCUCCAAAAUUAUUAAGAUAUUAUCAAAAAGAAUGAUGUUAUUAAGAUAUUCAGCAAUUCUAAAGUUAUUAUAAAAAAGAAAAGUUUGAAUACCAAAAAACAAAAGAAAGAUUCCAAAGUACAUCUAUGAGUCUUGUAGAGAGUUAUUCUUCGGACCCCAAACUAAAAAUGCUAUUGAAAUAAAAGGAUAGUGGAAAGUUUAGGAGCUCAAACUAGGAAAAAUAUAUGUGAAGAGGGAAAGAUUGUACCAUAACAACUGGUAGCACCAGCUUCAGAGGUAAAAACAUACACAAUUACGUCUGUGUUUGUGUAAAUAAACACAAGUUUCUACGUAUGUAUAUGUACUUGCAACAGCUGUACGCAUUUGCAUGUAUUAAAAGACUUUUCAGUGCACGCUUUACUCCAUGUAUCACAUAGAGCUGCUAUUUGAUAUGACCAAGGCAACCAACUUUGUUAUGCUAUUCAAAGUUUUAACUAGUCUGCAUCAUCUCCUGUAAAGAAGAAAUGGUAACAACCAACUAGAAAUGUACCAUAAAAUUGUUCCCCAAUGUAUGAUCAUAGAAUCACAUACCUUUAUACAUUUGAAAUAAUGAUGACAAAUAAUAUCAUUCCAUGUUUCUAUAAAAUGCAGGAUGCAUGUUGAAUAAGAUGAGACCAAAGUUCAUUAAUACACCAUUAUUCCAUAUUUCAUUCAACUCAACAAAAAUAUUUUUCUGCUCUUAUUGAGCAAAAAAACCGAGUGAUGAGAAACCAAUUGAAAAGCAGAUGCAAUUGCCCUAAAAGGCUUCCUAAUAGUUUCCUAUUUUUUCGAAAAGGAACCAUAAAUUUUGUUCUAAAACUAAGACAAGCCAUUAAAGAAAACUGAGUCUACCCGAGAGAAUAUAAAAUAAGAUUAACCGACAUAAAAAAAAAAUAAAGCUGCUGAUUCGCAUCAUUUUCUUGUUGACGGCUAACGGCUUGUAAAGAUGUUGGAGGCAAGCUAGUUAGUUGGCAACUUGUGCAAUAUAGAAACUUCCAUAUCUGAUUACAUCCUGUAUUUUGAUUUUUCUUUUUUCUUCUUCUUUUUUUUUUUUUUACUAUUUUUUCUCUUCCUUUUCUUCCUCCUGUUAGAAAUUAACCGGCACAUCAGAAAAAAAAACNCAUGGUAAUUCAAUUUGGGCUUUUCAUGACAAUUAUUUCUACUCUACGUAGUGGAUUAUCACAUUAGAAGAAAAUUGGUUUAAAUCCUGCAUAUGUUUAUGCAAUUGCAGACAUCUUUUCACACUCCCCAUCAACCAAUUACCGAAAACCUCUUGGGCAAACACAAGAAUCAAUGCUGAAUCAUAUAAUUCAUGAAACUCAAACAGGCUCUAAAGCACACCAUUCAAACAAGGAAUUAUGAAAACUAACCCUCCAAAACCCUAACCCUAACUUCAAACACGAAAAAGAAGGUGAUUUACCUGAGCAAAUAUACAGGGCACGGGAUAGGCCUCCGGAUCCCUCGAAACCGCGUGGAGCGAAAUCGAUAAGAAAUCCACCGCGUACCCCUUCUCCUUAUCCACAUCACUCAACCAAAUCACCCUCCUUUAACAUCGCAACACCCACAAAACAGGAUCAGAACCACGAAAUAGCCAUCAAAACCACAAAAUUGACCAAGAAAAGGGGGAAAGGUAGGAUCUUUGGAGGCGGGAAGAGGGCCACAUACUUGGUGGUGACGAAUAAGGUUCCAGGCGACUCCAUGGGGCGGCGGCCGAGGGCGACGGCGACGCCGCGCUCUACGCGCAUCACCUCCUCGCCGGAGUCGGCGUCGAGCCGGGGCCCGUCGCCGACUCUGUCGUCGAAGGGGCGUAACCCUACUACCAUCUCUCUCUCCCUCUCUCUCUCUCUCUCUCUCUCUUCGUCUCCUUCGCUAUUAUAAGCGGAGUGGAGCACGGGUUAGGGUUUUGGGUUUUGUAGGGGGUGAUUUGUUUGUAUAAGCAAGGGAAGUGGCGCGCCAAAUGUUCGGGGGUGGUUUGCUUCGUGAUUCGUGAACACGGAGACGUUGUCGGUGAUAAUGGGCCGGACCGGGCCCGGCCCAAUUAAGACCUAAACCGGCCUUAUUUUGAAUGGCCCGGUCUAGUCCCGUGAAAUGUACAUUGGUUGAAUAUUUUGGUUUUAUUUUCCUCAGUGAUAAUAUAUAUGUCUCGCUAAUUAAUCACACUAUUUCAAUUAGGAAAUAAGUUUUAUGGUUCCAUUGAAAAGCAAAAAAAUUAUAUUUUCACCCUAAAAAACAUAAGAAAUGUUGGAAAAAUGAAAUUCCAAAUUAAUGUAGAGUGUUAGUUAUGAAGUUCUAACAUAAUAAUAGCAUUUAUAACAUAGGAUGUGAUCCUCUAUAUAUUUUCUUCAAAUUUUUUUCUAAAAAAAUUCUCUAAAUGUUGGACAAGUGACAAAUCAAUGAAUCAUAGGCUGGCCCAUGGUUGAUGUGCUAAACCAAGUUCAAGCAAUAAUUAAUCAAGUUUAUGAGAGCAUGUGAUUGGACCUGUAGAGUUUUUUUAUUAUUAUUUUGGCUUGUUCCAAAAAUCCAACUCUUUUUAUAGGCUCCGUAGAUAACUUUUUCAUAAACCCGUGACAACCUUUUAUAGAAACAGUUACCUCCGUAUUGUCACAAUGGAUUUUUUCUAUUUUAUUGUCUCUUCAUUUUGACACUAUACUCUUGUUAUUAUUCAUUGCCUCUUUCAUUGGUAAGAGUACUCAAAGAGCCCCAAAAGAUAUAUAAUUGUGCUUAAUGUUGUUAGGAACAUUCAUAGUUUAUAUUCCAUCUUAUGAUAUUUUGGAUUAUAUAGUAUUAAAGUCAAUCAUAAACCCACUUUGUUCUUAAAGGUCCUAAGUUUAAUUUUCGUGUUCGUCAAAUAAUAUGUAACGUAGAUUUUUAUAUGUUAAUUUACUGUAUUCUAUUAAGCACAUAUCUUGUCCACUUAAUAUCCCUCUCAUACACGAGUGGUAGAGUUGAAACUAUUCAGAUGUCGUUUCCUAUCAGAUCAAUCCUUUGAAUAAUAAAUAAAAGAUAAAUUAAAUUUUGACUAUUAAAUUUGAGUAAUUAAUUUGGAGCACUUCUUGCAUACACUACUAGGGAUAUUCCAGGAAGUUUACAAUGUAAAGAAGCAGUGUCACAAAGUGAUUGGAUGAGAGAGAGAGAGAGAGAGAGAGAGAGAGAGAGAGAGAGAGAGAGAGAGAGAGAGAGAUGCUUCCUCACAAACUUCAUAUCCAAUAGGAAAGGCACCAAAGAAGGAUGAGGUGAUGGAUUAGAAGAUAAAGGUUUUGCUUUAAUUUUCCUUUUAAGAUUGGCUAUGCACUUUUUUUUUCCCCCAAAAAAAGUAACUGUUUGCAACUUUGCAUUUGAGAAUCCAAUUCUAUGUUAUUGCCUUUCUUAGAGAGAGAGAUCAUGAGUAUAUGUAGGUAUAACUAUAAGUCUACUAUAUUUCUAGUAAUAUUUGUAUAUUAUUAUAUUUUCUCAUUUUCAAUAUUAGUAUAUCUGUUAUCUGUAUCGACGAUUCACUAUAUUAAACAUAGUUUAUAUUGUUCGAAGAGGGAGGGGUUCUUUACUCUUUUUUCUCCUUUUCCUUUUUCUUUUUUCUUUUUCUUGAUGGUUUGAUUAAGUUGAUGUGAUUUAGGUGCUAGUUAAAUUGACCAUAUCACUUUCACUUCCCCUAUCGUUUAUACAGAUUGAAUACAUAUCGGUCGUGGCACCCUACUCAUUUGCUUUUUUCAUAAUGUUUCUCUCGUUUUAGUCCUUUUCCUCUCGUUAUUCUUCUUAAUUUUUUUCUACACAGAUCAUUUUCUCUUUUACUUUUGAUUAAAAAAAAUUAAAAGUUGAAUUAAAUCAGUAAAUCACCGAUUACGACGCACACAUUUCACCUAGCUAAGUACUAUUUUGGACACAUGAUGUUGUCCAAAAUCGUGCUCAAUAGAUUUGUAUUUGUUCAUCCUAGCUAGCUAGUGUUUCACCCCAGUUUUCAUGUUUUUUUGUCACUCCUACCUAGUUAUCUAUUGCAGUAUCAGAUUUGUGAUUAUAAAUAAAAGGUUAAUUAAUUAAGUUUGCUUUUCUCAUCCUAUGUUAUUUAAGUGUAACUACUUUGAAAAUUGUGCAUUAUCUUAUAUACUUAGUCAAUGUAUAGUGCACAAGCUUCAAGUUUUCCUUACACACACACACCUUAGGUUGUGAAGCACUAGGGACCAAAUACUUUUUAAUUAUCAUGUCUUCUUGAAAAUCACUCUAUUAUUUUUUUUUCCAAAAAAUACAAACAUUAUCAUUGAUCUCAGAAUGCUUAUUAAAUUGAUCUUUCAAACUAAUAAUAUAGCAUCAGAAACAAUUUUAAACUUCUUUCAAUUUCGGGUUUAAUUUUCAUAUUCGUCGUCCACAUACGCGGCAUAAUUUAUAUGAUAUGAUAUCCAUCGUGCACGUGAGUGGAGUGUUAAAGCUGAUCUCAGAUUAUUUUUGCCAAACUGACUUUUCACGUUAUAAUUAGAAAUUUUAAUUUUUUUUCCUUUUCAAUCUCUAAUUGCAGUUAUUAAUCUUCUAAAAAAUCACAAGUGAACUAUGGAUAAGCUGGUGACUAUAAAAUAUAGGCAGCAAUAUAAACAGACCAAAAAAUAUUACUAAGAGAGGUCAUGUAUAUAUAUUAAAUUAGAUUAUAUAUAUUUAUCACAUGAAUAUGAACAAAGGUCUAUUAAACUUUCUUUGCUAAUAUCUAAUAACUUUACAGUGUUAAUUCCACUAUCCACCCAUGAUUUUCAUUUUUCUCCUUUUUUUACUUUUAUUUUUAGUGGGUUUUGAUAAUGAUAGAUUCUAGUUGUUGUCUUGUUGUGUACUAAAAAAUGCCAAAGGAGAGAGAGCCUAUCAUCAUUCUAAAAGAGGUAAAAUUGUGCACACUUUCCAUUCUUUUGGGACCAUUUAAUUGUUGUCCCCCACAAUCUCCUUUUUCCACUUGUUGGCCUCCAUGCAUGGCUAUAGCUUGUUCCUUUUCUCUUGAUCCCUUCUCACAAAAUUGAUUUAUUUAUAAAAAAGGUGAUCUUUGGAGGAGAUCUUGUCUUAAUCUCUCAUAUAUUAAUCUUCCCAUUCUCUUCUCAAUAAUCAUCCUAUAAACUACAAAGCCCUCUCUCUCUCUCUCUCUCUCUCUAGAUUAAAGGAAAAACUUCAAACAUCAUUCCUGUAGUUUCAUACUUUCUCACUUUACUAUCAUGUGGUUUGAAGUGUAUCAAUUUGGUACCAUACAGUUUUGGUUUUUUCUUUUUAUUAUUAAUUCCACUAAUUUUUUUUCGUUAAAUCAGUGAUACCGUUAAAACUAAAAAAUACUAAAGUGAAUAUUCGAUAAACCUAGAUAGUAUAUCUGAAGUUUUUUGCAUAUAAUUUAACAAAAUAUUAACGAAUAAGCUGACGAAAAGAUAAAAAUGAAACCAUAGAGUACUAACUUGAUACACUUUAAAUCAUAGAAUGCUGAAGUGAGAAAGUGCAAAACUGCAUAGGUGGUAUUUAAAGUUUACACUAGAUUAAAACUAGAAUACUUAAGGGGAGUUAUUUAAUUUCACUUUGUUUCUCACAAUAAAACAUUCAAAUUGACAAUCGGGUUUAUUAAAUAUGAUCUAAGCUAUUUAGACUCUCUAAAAAUUUAAAUUGUUAGAUAAAAACAUCUUGUCUUGUAUAUUAUAUCUGGAUAAAAAAUUAUGUUUUGUAUCCGAAAUGAAGCUAUUAUAUUCGUAAACAUGAUUUGAUACACCAGGUUUACUCAACAAUUUCUUCUCUCUCUCUCUCUUCAGUAGAUUCUCCCUUGCAAUCAUUCCAAGGAAAGAGAAAGAGAGAGAGAGAGGGAAAAGAGAGAGAGAAUCAGGUUCCCAUGCAAAUACAACAUUUUGUCAAUGGAAUAAAUUAAUAAAUGUAGAAUAUAAGAGGUGUGGGCAAAAGAGAUUCCAACACCUUUAUUACUUUUUAGACAACAGGUGACUGGCACGUGCAUGCCUUCUGGAGGGCCUAUAACCCAACUAACAAGUCAACUAAUAAGUUUGCUAAACAGUCUACAAUGGAUGUCGAAAUCAUUGUUAAAUGGAACCCUCCACCUCCUGGAUGUUUCAAAAUAAAUUUUGAUGGUGCUUUUAACAUGCAAAUCUCAAAGGGAGGUGGGGGUUUUAUUAUUCGUACUGACACGGAAAAUUUAUUCUGUGUAGGGACAGUCCAAUUCAUGGCUACAUUGGCUUUGCAUGCAGAGGCCAUCGCUCUGCUCGAGGCGUUGAAGGAGGCAAUCAAGCGUGGAAUCUCUAAAGCUAUAGUUGAAAUAGACUCUCAAAACUUGUUCUCUUAUGUUAGUUCACAUAUUGAAUCUCUUUGGCGACUCCAAAAUAUUAUUGACCGAUGCACAUCUCUGGCGAAGCAUUUGCAGCAGUGUAUUUUUGUUAAAAUAUAUCGUGAAGCCAAUAGGGCCGCUGAUUAUUUAGCAAGUCAUGCGCUUAAUUCAAGAAGUAAACUGGUUUUUAAUCCUACCAGUGACCUUCCCAUAGACUUUGUUAGGAUACUUUUUGAAGACUAUGCAGGUAGAGUCUUUUUGCGCAAAGUGUAAUCGAUUUUUGCUUUUAAUAAAUUAGCUUGCUGGCUCUUUCGACCAAAAAAAAAAAAAAAAAAAAAAAAAAAAAGGUGACUGGCACGUGCCUCUGCACGUGACAUAAAGUAAUGGACUUGGAACUUUACAAAAUUAUCUCAUGUACUUCUUUAGAUCUAGCUUCAUGUAAAAGGGAAAAAAAAAAAAUCAUCCAUCCAUAGUUUGGUGUGAUUUGGUGUUGAGAUAAAUAAAUCAUUCAUAUAUUUGAGUUCUUGUGUUUUAUUUAAGAUUGAGGAACCUGUAAUAUGUUUAAAAUUAAAUUUUUUAGAAAAUAUAUACUGGUUAAAUUUUAUUAUGAUACAUAGAAAAUUUUUAACUAACCACGAGAUAGAAUUCAGUAUUACACAAUGUUUAAAAUUAUUAAAUUAUUGUGAAUUAUUUGAGGUUAAUUAUGAGACGUGAGGUAAGUUGAAAAAUAAAUUGUGAAAAAAUUAUACCACCGAAGUUGUAUUAUGAUUCUUUUCUUAAAAAUUUAUGAUAAUUGACAGGAUGAUUUUUUUUAUAUAAUUUUGUAUGAUUUAAAACUUUCUGGUUGAUCAUGUGGAUGGUAGCAUGAAAUGUUCUAUGCACUUAAUUUUUAUGAGCACAUCCUUAAAUUUUCUCUUUUUUUUCGGUUCUUUUACAUCAUUUUAACCAAAAUAUUAUUAUUAUUUUUUUAAAUGUCACCAUAUUUAUUUCUGGUCUAUAGAUGAUGUGGUAGACUAAGUCGAGGACCUGAUGAUCAAGGUGGUAGACCAUGGUCCAUGCAUGUGCAGUAAUAUUUUUUAGGACCUUAUUGAAGGGGUUCUCUGUUGCAUCUAGAGAUGUCAACAGGUCGGAUUCGGGGCGGAUUUUUAAAAAUCCGAACCGGAAUCCAACUCCAAACCCGAGACCCAAAUCCGAACCAGAACCCGAACCCAAACCCGAAUCCGACGGAUUUUAAAAAUCCAUAUAAUCCGAACCCGACGAAGAAUCCGAAUCCCGAACCCGAACCCAAACCCGAAAAUUUGAAUCCGAAACAAUUAUUUCUUUUUUCAAUAUUUCAAAAUAUAUUAUAUUAAAUCUAAAUUUUUAAAAUACAAAUUCAAAUAUAACAUCAAAUAUAUAUAUAUAUAUAUAUAUAAUAUAUAUAUAUAUAUAUAUUAUAUAAUACAAAAUAAAUUCAGGUUCGGGUCGGGUACAAUCAAAAUCCAUAUUCAAAUCCAUAUCUGUCCGAUUUUUAUUUUUGAUAUCUAUAUCCGAAUCCAGAUCCAUAUCCAUCAAAUACAUCCGUUUUAUCCGGGUUCGAAUUCGGAUAAAAUUUAGAGUAUCCAUAUUCAUUGACAUUCCUAGUUGCAUCUGCACAUGCGGUUUGUGGACCAGGUGGUACACCAAAUUCUGAGCACAAACUGUAUCUCUAAUUUUGGCGCAUUUUCGCUAACAUUAUUACAUAAAGAGCUAAAUUUCUCGUCACAUAUUCCUAGAUAGUCAUAGUAAUAAUAUUAUUAAAAUAAUUAUAUUAAAAAUAAAUUUUUUGUGAGCAAAAUCAGAAGCACGGAGCCUCUGUUUGGGAUUACGGAACAAUUACUUUAUAUAUGAUAUUUCGUUAUAAUAUAUUUUUUAGGGUAUUACUGAAAAUAAAAAAAAUAUAUAUAUUUUAUGCUUUAUAAUUUUUUGAGAUCUAAAACAAAGCAAAGAAUCAGAAGGGCCACUAAUUAAUCAACCUGAUCAUCAGCCCCAUCACGAAUCUCAAUGCACUGCGUACACUCUCACUCUGACUUACUCUGAACCUCCCCUCUAUUUUUCGAAACAACCCCCCUCGUUCCCUUUUUUUACUCUCGCUCCUCUCCCUCUUCUUCCCCCACAACACCAUAUAGAGAGAGAGAGAGAGAGAGAGAGAGAGAGAGAGAGAGACUCACUUGCUCAUCGACAUUGGCGACAUGGGUUCUCUCCCUUUCGUGCUCUCCCUCGUCGUCGUCCUCCACCUGUGCUCGGCGGAGGGGAGCUCCGAGGUGGGCGCGCUCAUGGCGCUGAAGCGGGCGCUGGACCCGCAGGGGCGAGCGCUCGCUUCGUGGGCGCCCAUGGCGGACCCGUGCGGUGGGGGCUUCGAGGGGGUGGCGUGCGACGCGCGCGGAAGGGUCGCGAACAUCUCCCUGCAGGGGCGCGGCCUCGCCGGGUCCAUCUCCCCCGCGGUGGCGCAGCUCCGGGGCCUCUCGGGGCUCUACUUGCACUACAACGAGCUCAGGGGGGAGAUACCCAGGGAGAUUGGGACCUUAGCGGAGCUCACGGAUCUCUACCUCAACGUUAAUAACCUCUCCGGGGGGAUCCCCGUGGAGUUUGGGAACUUGGGGAGUCUCCAAGGUGAGUUUUUUAAUCUCUUUUUUCCGAAACAGGGGAGUUGUUGUUAUGCAUGGUUUUGGUGCUUUUUGUUCUAUUUUGAGGUCAAAAGGUUGGUUUUUUGCACAAAGUUUUUGUAAGAUUUUUGUAUUCAGAUGCGGGGUUUUGGUUAUCGGAGUAGUUUUUGGGGCCAAUGAUGUAGUUGGAAACAGAGGAGUUGUUUAUGUAUGCGUAUGCGUUGCAUGGUUUUGUUCUCUUUGUUAUUUCUUUUUGAUGUCAAAAUGUGGUUGUUUGAGCACAUUUAUUAUACCGGUUUGUUACAUUUUCCCUUUUUUUUACUAUUUAAGUUGCAAGUUUGAGUAGAUUAUGAGGUAAUAUAUUGUUGGAACAGGGUAGGUGUUUAUAUAUGCUUUGCAUGCGUUUGCUUUCUUUAUUUUUGGUUUCGAAAUGUAGUGUUUUUAGCUUAGUUUUUAGCUGAGUUUGCUUACUAUUUAUUAUAGAAACUGAUUUUGUUGUAGUGAUUUUUGUGAUUGUUUAUUAUGGAAAUUGUUUUUGCUUAGUUUUUAUUGUUGGAACAGAGUAGUGAUUUUUGUGAGAAAAAUACUAGCUACUAACCAAAAAAAGUUCCAUUUUUUUUUCCUUCCAUUUGAACUCAAAAUGUAAUUUUUGGCAAAUUUCUUACUAUGAUCAUGCAAACUUUUGAGCAUAGAGCAAGUUCAUGAUGUAAAAUGAUAGUUCCUUAUUAGAAGAAGCAGUUUAUCAUCAUGUAAUAUGAUAUACAUUGUUAGAAGCAUUAACUGCUUGUUCUCACCUGGGUUUUUCUUGGUAUUUAAAGUGCAUUAAACUCUCAAAAAUCACAAAAUUUCUAUCUUUUAACUUCUUGUUGAUUAUUGUUUCCUUUUAUUCCUUAUUUACUGCCUCAUAUUAAUAUCUCUCUUUCUCUCUCCCCCAUUACUUUUCUGCAGUUCUGCAACUCUGCUACAACCAGCUAACAGGGAGCAUACCAACCCAGCUUGGGCUUUUGAAGAAGCUCAAUGUGCUCGCUUUGCAAUCCAAUCGCCUAAACGGCGCGAUUCCGGCUACCUUGGGAGACCUCUCGCAGCUAAUAAGAUUGGAUUUAAGCUUCAAUCACCUCUUCGGGUCGAUCCCGACUAAAUUAGCUCAACUCCCUGAGCUUGUAUACUUAGAUCUUCGCAACAACUCGCUUUCCGGCAAUGUCCCUUCCGGUACAUACAUAGCUUUCAAUCUCAUAUAUGUAAAGUUUGAGUUGAAAUCUUAAAAAGCCCACUAACUUUUUUUUUACUUAAAUUUGAUUCUAAAUCAAAUUUGGCUCUUAACUCCAUUUAUGUGCUACGCUUUUUUUAUUUUAUGCUGAAUGAAGAUUUGAAGAGAUUGCAAGAAGGUUUUCAAUAUGAGAACAACACUGAUAUGUGCGGAACUGGAUUCAAUUCUUUAAGAACUUGCACUUCUGCGGAUCUCCUAAACCCUACCCGGCCCGAACCGUUUAGUGCCGGCGUCGCCCCGCACGCAAUUCCCCAAUCAGUUAACACCGCUGGCCGUUGCGAUACAAACCACUGCUCUCACUCUUUGAAAUCUUCUUCAGUGGCCGCCAUUUCCUCCGUUUCUAUAAUCGCGCUCCUGGGGUUUAUAUUCGGGCUAAUUGCAUUCUCGAGGUAUAGAAGCCGUAAGCAAAACCGUGGUAGCGCUCCAAUUAUUUCCACUAAUAACUCGUGUCGUAGAAGUGCUUCUUCUCUCAUCAACCUCGACUACUCUAAUGGUUGGGAUCCUUUAGCCGAUGGGAAAAGUGCUCUUGGGUUCUCCGAAGAAGUUUCAACGAGCUUUCGUUUCAAUCUUGAGGAAGUGGAGUUUGCCACUCAAUACUUCUCGGAGGUGAAUUUACUUGUGAAAAAAUCGAAUUCUUUAGCUACUUAUAAAGGGAUUUUGCGGGACGGGAGUGCGGUGGUGGUGAAGAGGAUAAGCAAGACAAGUUGCAAGUCGGAAGAGGCCGAUUUUCUACACGGGUUGAAGAUAAUUACUUCUUUAAAGCACGAUAAUAUUGUUAAGUUGAGGGGUAUUUGUUGCUCUCGAGGGAGGGGGGAGUGUUUUCUUGUUUACGAUUUCGUUCGUAACGGGAGUUUGUUGCGGUAUUUGGACGUGAACGGCGAAGAGAUCAAUCGCGUUCUCGAGUGGGCCACGAGAGUUUCCAUCAUCAAAGGCAUUGCUAAAGGUACCUCUCUUUCUCUUUAUUGAUAGCGAUGCGGAGUUAUGCAUGUUGUGUUUCCUAGUUAUCUUAUUUCUAGUUGUAUUCAUUUGAAUUGCAACUUAUUUUACUUGAUUGAUGCUUUUAGAUGAAAAUUAUCUUCAUACAUUGCCAUGAAAUUUGGAUGGACGUAAUGUUGACGCUAUAAAACGAACUAACGCAAACUUAGAUCGAUUUCCAUUCAUUUUAUUUAGGAUCUAAGUUGAUUUCUCGAGUGAGAUUAAUCGACCAUCUUUGUUUCUUAUCCAGGGAUACAGUACCUCCACAGCGAAACCCUAAACAAGCCUUCUCUAAUCCACCAAAACAUAUCCGCGGAGAAAAUUCUACUUGACCAAAAUUUCAAGCCUCUAAUCUCCAGCUCAGGCCUUCAUAACCUAUUAGCCGAUGAUGUCAUCUUCGCAACCCUAAAGGCAAGCGCCGCUAUGGGUUACUUAGCUCCAGAGUACGGAACCGUUGGUCGCUUCACCGAGAAAAGUGAUGUUUACGCUUUUGGGAUCAUCAUCUUCCAAGUGAUUUCGGGAAAAAGGAUGACCGCAGAAUUAAGGCUAUUGGCGGAAUCAGGUAAGCUCGAGGAUCUCAUCGAUGGGAACUUGAAGGGGGAGUAUUCGAAGGAAGAGGCCACUAAAUUGGGGCGCGAUGCGUUGGUUUGCACAAGCGAAGAUCCGAACAGAAGGCCAACAAUGGAGGCCUUGCUUCAAGAAUUCGGAGAUAUAUAACUCAUGAUAGUGUUGUUCUUCAAGUUGCAUGGACUCAAGGUAAAUUACGGCGGUAGUGCUCUAACUUUUUCUUUGUGAAGUUUUAUUUCAGUUGUCGAACUUAAAGUUUAUGCAUUAUGCACAUUGAACUCGCGCGUGUAAGUGUUCUACUAUAAUCCCCCUAAUCAACACUAGUAAGUAAGAGUAACAAGGAUGCACCAACACGCCGACAUGCACUCGAUCUGUAGCCACGCAAUUGAUUGGGAGGAUUACAAUGAAUCGCUUAUUCUGGAUUUCAAAUGCUUAAGUUUAAAGUUAAAGUUCGAGGACUAAAGUUAAUCUUUUUGGAAACUUCGCGGUUAAUUGCACUAAACCUUUAUAUUCACCAGCUAAAGGGAAGUGGAAGUACUGCAUCAUGGUUGCUAACUACUAACUCUAGAAGCUUCUAGGAUUCCAUUUCUCAAGGAUCUUUGAUAUCUUAGUGUGCUAAUUCCACUGUAUUAAUAUUAACCUUAAUCCUUGUUGUUUAUGGGAGCAUGUGAUCUCUCUCUUAUCUUUCUAGACCUUUUUUUUUUUUUUUUUUUUUUGGCCUGGUGGGGACUCUUGUGAACCAAUGUACUAUAUUAAUUUAAAUGUUGUGUGGAUUUUUGGGUGAGUCCAUUGUGGAAGAGCCAAAGUGUUAAGGCAACAUGUGAGUUUAAAUUUUUUGAGUGGUUUUGUCCUUGUGUGUGGAUUGUAGUGCAUGCUUUUUCUUCUCUGAGAAAUGACAGAGCAGAGCCUUGUGGGGUAUGCACCUGCAUCUCAGAUGAUACUGUUAUGCAUGAUGACUAAUUGUGUGGCAAAAGAUCCUUGUGUAACUCUGUGUGUGUGUGUGUGUGUGUGUGUGUGUGUGUGAGAGAGAGAGAGAGAGAGAGAGAGAGAGAGAGAGUUCACACGUAAUUUGUGUAGAAAAAGAUCCUUCUGUGUGUGCAUGUGUGUGUGUGUGUGUGUGUGAGAGAGAGAGAGAAGAGAGAGUGCAUACAUACUAAGAGAGAGAGAGAGAGAGAGUGCAUACAUUCUAAGAGAGAGAGAGAGAGAGAGUGCAUACAUUCUAAGAGAGAGAGAGAGAGAGAGAAAGAGAGAGAGAGAGUGCAUACAUACUAAGACUAAGAAAGAGUCACUAUAAGAAAAUUAACAUUUAAUGACUUUUUUAUAUUUAAUAAUAUUUAAAAAUAUUCUAAUCUAGCGCCAUAUUUAAAAGUGUUGGCAAAUGAAGAUUCGGCAUGUAUAUACCAACGUUUAUGGUAAGUAUCGGUAAUUAAAAUAUAUUCUGACGCUUUAAAACAUUAGAAUUUUCUGUUUUUAAAAUUUUUUUGAAGUUUUAAAACGUUAGAAAAUUUACUAUUAUAAAUAAUAGUUAAGCUUAUUAUUUUAUAAAUUGAAAUUGAUUUUAUGUAAUAAAGGGUUCAUAAUGACUCUCUCCUAAGCGCUAUCUAAAAAAUAUCUUUAUAUUGAGAUUUUCUUGUAACCAGUGAGAGGACAUAUUAUUAUAAAGUUUGAUGAAUAAAAAAGUGAAAACUUUUAUUGGGAAAGUAAAACAAAAUUUUGAGCCUCGAAAAUAAAAAGUGAGAAGCUUUUCAUUUGAUAUUUUGAUUUCUUUGUGCAAAAAAAUUGUUGAAAAAAAUAUUAUGUUUAUAAUAUUUUUUAAUAGCAUUGAUUACCGUGCGCUUUAUUAAUAGCACUACAACCAAACAAAGAGGAAAUGCCUUUGAAUUUGAAAUGAAAAUUGUUUGAUAUGCUCUUCAAUACUUUAAAAAGGUUUAUAUGUCAAAGCCUCGUUUGGUUAUCAUAUUUUUAAAUAUUUUUAAAUAGAAUUUCUAACUACAAAGUGUAAAAAGGAAAGGCUGAUUGGGUGUAAUUUUUUACAUUCAAGAUGUUUAUUUGACAUAAAAAAUUUAAAAGCAAAUUUUUUUUUUAUAAAUUUCAAUAUAUAUUUUCUUUAAGAAGUUUACACCAUAACUCAAAUUUGCAGGAAUGCAUUGCGAACUAACCAAUAAUUAUAGCAAAGGGAAAAAUUUUUCUGUGGGGUACUUAAAAUUAUAUAGAAUUAGUGUUUUUAAAUAUAAAAUAUAGCAAUGAUACAAAAGGAGGCCUAAAAAUUAUUAUUUUUGUUUGAUAAUAUUUGGUUAAUUUACAAAUAAUAGAUAUUUAACACAGCUGAUUUUUUGCAACUAUUUAAUAUAUGGAUAAUAAGUUUUCAUAUAUUAUGAUUUUUCAUAUGUAAAUAUGUAAAUAGUCCAAGCCCAUCUUAAUGGGCUUUAGGUGGGCUACGCCCAUUAUUAACCCAAGAAGCUCCCCUUAAUCAUUAAUUGCAUGUGUUCGACUAUAUAUAUAUAUAUAUAUAUAUAUGAGUUGAGCUAGAAUACUCUCGAGCCCGUUUACUCUCGAGUUGUUUUCGAUGAUAGAGCUUCCAAAUUGACGAUCAGCUCCGUUAAAUAUGAUCUAAACCAUUUAAACUAUCUAGAAAUCAAAUUUUACGCACUUUCGAUAUUGUUUUAUAUCCAUCUAGUGAACAGAAAAAUGAAUGGCUGAAAAUGAAUAUUCUUUAAAAAAUGAUGAUAGGAGUCUUGUAAUCAAGAUCAAGAGUAUAGAUCUUGUUUUAAAUAGUUUAAAGAAUUUUCUAACAAAAAUUCAAUUGAUUUCACGCACUUUCGAUAUUGUUUUAUAUCCAUCUAGUGAACAGAAAAAUGAAUGGCUGAAAAUGAAUAUUCUUUAAAAAAUGAUGAUAGGAGUCUUGUAAUCAAGAUCAAGAGUAUAGAUCUUGUNUGCCAUAUAGUCCAAGUUUUUGUAGUAUAUACCUCUUCGAUGCUACAUUGUAUUUUGCAUCUUGAUUUAUGAAAUCAGUGGUUUGUUUGCUAACUCUUCUGUGAUGUUUAUGUGGCUGGCAUAUUCUUGAGGAUUAUAUUUUUAUGUCUCUUGUGGAUUGUACUUUAGAGAAACUUGGAUAAAUAUUUGUCUAUAAUUCGCCAAAUGCUCUUUUGAAAUUAGAGAUUUCAUGCAGUAAAGUUUAAAACAUAAGUGCAAUAUGUUGAUAUGUUUAAACAUCAGUUAUUUUGUAAGAGAUAAUUUUCUGUUUGACAGGAUAGAGGAAGCGGAAGCACAAUGUGCAUUGCUAAAUUCGGCAUCCUUUUGUGUAAGUGGAAUGAUUCUUUUGUAUUUAAACAAUCUGGCUUUUACCUCUAUAAUGACUAUCUCGAUUUUCAGGAUGGGUGCUUCACUUCAGAUUCAGAUAUUUUCCUUUUCGGAGCAAGGACAGUAUAUAGAGAUAUUAUUCUAGGUAAUUUCUUGAACUUCUAACCGAAGUAAAUAAAGAAGAUACUUACUGAUAACAUAGCUUCCUCAAACCAUAUAUUUUGCUUUUUUUUUUAAAAAAAAAAACCAGAUUUUGUUUUUGUUUUGCCAUUCAUCCAGCUAGUUAUCUUACAUUUACAAAAUUUCUUUUUGGAAUUAGGAGAGGGUGGAUAUGUUAUUUGUUAUGAGAUGGUAGAUGUAGAGCGCAAACUUGGGUUUGGAAGGAACUCACUGGUAAGGUGCCUUCUACAUCUUGUUGUAUGGAGCCACACACCCUUUCUUUGUUUUCUCUUACCAAUGAAGUUUUUGGCAAUUUUCCAUUUAUGUAAUAUUAUGUUAUUGAGAGUUUUGAAAUUACAAAGUUUCAAUUCUUAUAAUAUGUGAAGUGAAUUUGCAGCUUAGCCAUGAAACUAUCUAUUUGCAAACCUGCAAAUAACGGAAUAAGGUUUUGUAUGUCACUAUGACUUUAUGAGAUAUAUAUAUAUAUAUAUAUAUAUAUAUAUAUAUAUAUAUAUAUCUAUAUAUAUAUAUAUAUAUAUAUAUAUAUAUAUAUAUAUAAAUGCCUAGCUUGCAUACAAAUAAAUAGAGAAAAAUAUUUGAUGAUAAAAGUAAAAUAGUUAGCUAAAUAUAUAUUUAGAAACUUUUUCAUAUAUAUAUCUUGAUCAAACUUAUGCGAUCAAUCGAUUAAAAUAGUUACUCUCCAUAAUUACACGUAACAAAAUUUUUCCACAUGUUUCUGUAGUCAAUAAAAACUAACAUAACAUCGCUAGCGCAUACCUUAAGUACAUUAAUUAAUUAGUGGUAGCAUUUUUCAUCUGCUUGUUUAUUUAGUCUAUAUUUUGCUACGUUUUUGUCCGAUUAUAUCGUUGUUUGAUUUCGACAUGGCUGCUGCUUUUGCACACAUUUUAUGCUUAUUAUAAUUCAUUAGUAGUCGAUAGUUUUAUCUUAUCAAGAAACCAUUAAUUUGACAAAGUAAAAGAACCAUAUAUAUAUACAUAUAUAUAUAUAUCUCAUUACAUGUUGUUGCUUGUUUAUGCUGUGUUAAACUAGUAAUAAUAAACAUUAUAUAUAGUGAGAGCUACAUAAAUAUCAUCUAUGUGGAUACAUUAAUUAAGUAGCAUUAACUUGCAAGUUGAUAAUUUACAACAAAGUUUGACUAAGAUUGCUUGGGUGCUAAACAAUUUAUAUAUAUGGCGUGAUAGUUAUGUAGUUGAAUCCAACAAAUGGAUAACUCUCAUGAGAGAAUUAGUUAGAAGAGGCCACGAUUUCAAUAUGCAACUAUAUAUAUAUAUAUAUAUAAGCACGUAUAUUCAAAUUUGGGUCUGUCGACAGACCCAUUUUUAGGCGGGAAAAUUAGCGCUCAUUUUUCUCUUUCCGUACGAAAAAUUUUAAAUAUAAGAAUAAAAAUAGAAAUAGAAACAACAAUGUAAGUUCUCUAUAACAGACUAUUUAAUUUCAAAAGUAAGUUUUCUAUAACAGAUUACGGGUGUGAAAAUUCUAUAAAAGAUAUUUUCCUAUUUUAUUUUAAAAUAUCUUUUUUAGAUAUUAUCUAUUUAAUUUCAAAAUAUAUUUUCUUUUUGAUUACGUUUUUAAUGAAAACUUUAAUUUAUCUUUUUAUUUUAGACAAUUCUUUAUUUAAAAACUUUAAUUUAUCUUUUUAUUUUAGGCAAUAGACNACGGCCGUUAACACUUUAAAUUUAAACGAUUACUAAUUAUUUCAGUCGUACACAAAUUCAUAAUCCUGAUGUGAUCGAGUUGGGACCGCGCGUUGUUGGAGAUAUAUAUAUAUAUAUAUAUAUAUAUAUAUAUAUAAAUCUUAUUUUAAAAAAAGUGUCUCCUCAACCUAUUAGGUUUAAAAGCUUUUAUAAUUUUAAAAUUAUUUUUUAAAAAAGUUUUUAAAAAUAAAAUUUUAAAAAUAUUCUUGUGCAACGACUAGUAGUCAAUGGAUUUAAAUUUAUUUCUUGUCAUGUGAGAUGAAAAACAUUACUAUAUAUCGUAACAAGCUAAUUAUCAAUAUUUUUUUCCAAAAAAAAAAAGAGUUUGCCAAGNNNNNNNNNNNNNNNNNNNNNNNNNNNNNNNNNNNNNNNNNNNNNNNNNNNNNNNNNNNNNNNNNNNNNNNNNNNNNNNNNNNNNNNNNNNNNNNNNNNNNNNNNNNNNNNNNNNNNNNNNNNNNNNNNNNNNNNNNNNNNNNNNNNNNNNNNNNNNNNNNNNNNNNNNNNNNNNNNNNNNNNNNNNNNNNNNNNNNNNNNNNNNNNNNNNNNNNNNNNNNNNNNNNNNNNNNNNNNNNNNNNNNNNNNNNNNNNNNNNNNNNNNNNNNNNNNNNNNNNNNNNNNNNNNNNNNNNNNNNNNNNNNNNNNNNNNNNNNNNNNNNNNNNNNNNNNNNNNNNNNNNNNNNNNNNNNNNNNNNNNNNNNNNNNNNNNNNNNNNNNNNNNNNNNNNNNNNNNNNNNNNNNNNNNNNNNNNNNNNNNNNNNNNNNNNNNNNNNNNNNNNNNNNNNNNNNNNNNNNNNNNNNNNNNNNNNNNNNNNNNNNNNNNNNNNNNNNNNNNNNNNNNNNNNNNNNNNNNNNNNNNNNNNNNNNNNNNNNNNNNNNNNNNNNNNNNNNNNNNNNNNNNNNNNNNNNNNNNNNNNNNNNNNNNNNNNNNNNNNNNNNNNNNNNNNNNNNNNNNNNNNNNNNNNNNNNNNNNNNNNNNNNNNNNNNNNNNNNNNNNNNNNNNNNNNNNNNNNNNNNNNNNNNNNNNNNNNNNNNNNNNNNNNNNNNNNNNNNNNNNNNNNNNNNNNNNNNNNNNNNNNNNNNNNNNNNNNNNNNNNNNNNNNNNNNNNNNNNNNNNNNNNNNNNNNNNNNNNNNNNNNNNNNNNNNNNNNNNNNNNNNNNNNNNNNNNNNNNNNNNNNNNNNNNNNNNNNNNNNNNNNNNNNNNNNNNNNNNNNNNNNNNNNNNNNNNNNNNNNNNNNNNNNNNNNNNNNNNNNNNNNNNNNNNNNNNNNNNNNNNNNNNNNNNNNNNNNNNNNNNNNNNNNNNNNNNNNNNNNNNNNNNNNNNNNNNNNNNNNNNNNNNNNNNNNNNNNNNNNNNNNNNNNNNNNNNNNNNNNNNNNNNNNNNNNNNNNNNNNNNNNNNNNNNNNNNNNNNNNNNNNNNNNNNNNNNNNNNNNNNNNNNNNNNNNNNNNNNNNNNNNNNNNNNNNNNNNNNNNNNNNNNNNNNNNNNNNNNNNNNNNNNNNNNNNNNNNNNNNNNNNNNNNNNNNNNNNNNNNNNNNNNNNNNNNNNNNNNNNNNNNNNNNNNNNNNNNNNNNNNNNNNNNNNNNNNNNNNNNNNNNNNNNNNNNNNNNNNNNNNNNNNNNNNNNNNNNNNNNNNNNNNNNNNNNNNNNNNNNNNNNNNNNNNNNNNNNNNNNNNNNNNNNNNNNNNNNNNNNNNNNNNNNNNNNNNNNNNNNNNNNNNNNNNNNNNNNNNNNNNNNNNNNNNNNNNNNNNNNNNNNNNNNNNNNNNNNNNNNNNNNNNNNNNNNNNNNNNNNNNNNNNNNNNNNNNNNNNNNNNNNNNNNNNNNNNNNNNNNNNNNNNNNNNNNNNNNNNNNNNNNNNNNNNNNNNNNNNNNNNNNNNNNNNNNNNNNNNNNNNNNNNNNNNNNNNNNNNNNNNNNNNNNNNNNNNNNNNNNNNNNNNNNNNNNNNNNNNNNNNNNNNNNNNNNNNNNNNNNNNNNNNNNNNNNNNNNNNNNNNNNNNNNNNNNNNNNNNNNNNNNNNNNNNNNNNNNNNNNNNNNNNNNNNNNNNNNNNNNNNNNNNNNNNNNNNNNNNNNNNNNNNNNNNNNNNNNNNNNNNNNNNNNNNNNNNNNNNNNNNNNNNNNNNNNNNNNNNNNNNNNNNNNNNNNNNNNNNNNNNNNNNNNNNNNNNNNNNNNNNNNNNNNNNNNNNNNNNNNNNNNNNNNNNNNNNNNNNNNNNNNNNNNNNNNNNNNNNNNNNNNNNNNNNNNNNNNNNNNNNNNNNNNNNNNNNNNNNNNNNNNNNNNNNNNNNNNNNNNNNNNNNNNNNNNNAUAUAUAUAUAUAUAUAUAUAUAUAUAUAUAUGUAUGAACAACUUGCUCUUUUCUAUGUAACCAAGUUGUAAUUUGUAUUCUUGUUGUAUAUAUAUAUACACACACAUUAUAUGUAGUUGUAAACCAUUACUACAUAAAAGAAAAAAAAAAAAAGAAAACAAGAAAAAGUGAUCUUUGACUCGAUUACAUUAACCUUGAUGUGAGUAGAUUGCAUGUACGUUAUAAAUUUAAUCAACAUGCACCAUUAUAUAUAAGCAAAUUAAUUAAGCAUUUAAUUCAUCUUUACAUAUAUUUUGUAGAAAUGCAUACAUAGUAGUUAUUUCCUUGCUCAAAGUUUUAAUGUCAAUGAGCUAAAAAUGCUUCAUCCUAUUCACAUGUGAAUCAUACUAAAAAUGAUCAAUUUCUCUAACAAGCUAUUUACAAAAUCCCAUAAACAUUAUUAAUUACAAUUUCCCUACCAAUGUGAUCACUUUAAUUUUUUAUCAGUAAUUUUCAUACAAUAUACUCCAUUACUGUGCUAAUCUACUAUCUUAAUCUUAUUCAUGCAAAACUACCAAAGACCCAAAUUGAUAUCCAAAAUGGAAAAAAAAAAGGGAUCAUAUCCAAUUUUUUCCCUAUGUUUUUAAUAUUUCAUGAGCUGUAUAUUUGGUCUUUAGUAUUCAUGAAAGGAGUUGUAAAUUUUUGAUCCCUCCGUACUCAAUCUUUUUCCACUCCUAUAUGAUUAAUUUUAAUGAUCUUUCUUAAUGACUACCUCCAAAAAAAGAAAAAAGAAGCUCAUAAAGUUUGAAUACGAUUUCACUAUAACUUGAACUACUUUUUUGUUUUUCUUCGUGUCGUGUAUCUCAUGGGAUUGCAACUGUUAAAAAUGAUCAAUUUCUCUAACAAGCUAUUUACAAAAUCCCAUAAAUUAACAUUAUUACAAUUUCCCUACCAAUGUGAUCACUUUAAUUUUUUAUCAGUAAUUUUCAUACAAUACACUACUCCAUUACUGUGCUAAUCUACUAUCUUAAUCUUAUUCAUGCAAAACUACCAAAGACCUAAAUUAAUGUCCAAGAAGGAAAAAACAAGGGAUCAUAUCCAAUUUUUUCCUUUUGUUUUUAAUAUUUCAUGAGCUGUAUAUUUAGUCUUUAGUAUUCAUGAAAGGAGUUGUAAGUUUUUGAUCCCUCCGCAUCGCUCAAUCAUUUUUCCACUCCUAUAUGAUUAAUUUUAAUGAUCUUUCUUAAUGACUACCUCCAAAAAAAAGAAAAGAGAAGCUCACAAAGUUUGAAUACGAUUUCACUGUAACUUGAACUACUUGUUUGUUUUUCUUCGUGUCGUGUAUCACAUGGGAUUGUAACUGUCAUAUAUUAUUCAAACCUUAUUCAAAAUUCUCACUGUACUUGAAUUGGACAAAGGACAAGUUGAUGAAAAGUAAGAAAUGUUUGCUUCUGAUUUUUUCCAAAUCUAUGGGCUCUCUUAAAGACAAGGUUGCGCGAGCUUAUGUAAUUAAGAUGGUAUGCAAUUCUACAUAUUUUAGUUGACUAAACACUUUUAUUUAGAAUUUUUUUUUUGGCUUAAUGUUGCAUGCAAGAUAAAUUAACUUCAGUAUAUAAUGAAAAUAACAUAGAGUAAUUUCCAUUAAUCAAGCUAUAUAUAUGUGUACAAGUUACAUAGAAUAAGCCUCAAUUUGUUAUAUAAGCAUGAUUUUUCUUAGUACAACAUAAAAUUAAUCCAAAUUAGUCACUAUACUUAUCAUGAAGUUUCCCUUAGGAUAACUUAGCGAAGUUCCAUGUAAUGGCAAUUGAGUCACUAAAUCUUAUGUUUUGUUUCACUCAAAUCACUCUAUACUAAACUCGAGUUUAGUUUUUUUUCGUCAUACAAACGAAAUGACGACUAAUCGAGCUGAAAUGAUACAGCUAUAAUACAUUGACAACUGAUUCAAUUGCCACAUCAUCUAAGGAUCCUUAAAAUUAAAUUCAAUGCAUCCUUACAGAAUGAUGUGAUAGCUCAACUACACAAAGUUGAAGAUAACAUGAUAGUUAAAUUAGUUGUCGCACAGUUCCUUCAUUAAAGAACUAUUUGGACAAAGUUUAAUACAAUGACCCACACUGAAAUCAUAAGCAAUUAAUUCUUUGUGAUAUAUUAAAGUUCAACAAUCAAAGGAGUUCAAUUUCUCAGUAUUUAACUUAGUCCAAAGUUUCCCACUCUAAAUUUUGAGUUUGGACAAAGUUAACAUCAUGGGCCAAAUGGUUCGAUCUUUUAUAAAAAAUUUGGCUCCACAAAUAACUAAUUGACUAUGAACAUUUAAUAUGCCUAAUUAAAUAAUCACAUAGGAUUAGGAACAUGGUUAGUUAUGUAUGCAAAUCUAGUUUAAGAUUAUCGGUUAUAUAUCAUUUUGGACCCACCAAUUAAUGUUGGAUAUUUGUAGGAAAGUCAAAGUAAUCAGUGAAUUUAAAAGCUAAAACAACUAGUUUAAUUAGCUGUUCACUGUACACGGGCUAAUGUUUUUAUUGAAAAUGCUAUCCCUUGCUUAGUAUAAUCAUUUAAACAUAAUUAUUAAUUGUUUUCUAUGUUCUUUAUAUUAUAUAUUUAUUACGAGAAGAUAUCAAAGUCGAAAUGAUCGAAACAUUUAACACCGCGAAUAUGAAAAUACAUUUUUGUUUGGUUUGCUUAUCUGUUUUAGAUUUAUUUCUUAUUUAAUAUUAACUUUUCGAUUAGCUAUCGCGAUAAGAAGUGUGUUAGAGAUGUGCACUCAUCAGUAAACAUCAUUAACUAAAAUACAACUUACUUACAAUUUUUAUUGAUCACUUGUCUCGCUAUUAGAAUAGUUUUUUCAAUGUAAACAAAAUUAGAGUGACAUGUGCAAAGGCUACGAUGUAUACUUUGUUAUUUUCUAAUAAGAAGGAUAUUAUCAAUUCAUCUACGUAUCAAUUAAUCUUACCUUAGCAUGUAAAAUGUGUUUAGAUCCUAAUGGAAAGGUAGGAUCCGCUAAAUCUUGCUUCUCAAAAAGAUACAUUAUAAUAAAUAGGAUUGUUUUAAAAUCAGAAAACAAUUGUCCUUUCCUAUCUCUUCAGUUUCUUAAUUCUUGGCAUAAUUUCUUGUCGGAAAUAAUAAAAUUAGCAGUUCCACGUAAAUUUUUAUCUCAUUACCUAUCACUAGAUCCGUUGGUAGGUUAUCAGUAUCUUGAAUAAUGAGCUUUUGAUUUGAAUCCUGCAGUGUUUAUAUAAAAAGUGUUAUAAAAAAAAAAUUAUUGAAAAUAGCGUGCACAGCAAAAAAAAAAUCUUAACGUACAAUGGCACUAAAGAAAUAUGAAACAAAAAUAUUAUGACAUUAAAUGAUUGAUACAGAGAUUUAAACUCGAUACUUAUUGGAACUAAAGAAGCUCAUGCACCACUGACUCUGAUACUAUAUAUAUAAACCUAAGAGAUAUAGAAAUAUAAUUUAAAAAUAAUCUUAACUCCGAAAAAAUGCAAGCAAAUGCACCGUUUCUGUAGCCAUUUAAAUAUUCUAAUUUUAUUUCUAAUAUUUCAAUUUAUUUGAUUUAAACAGUUAGUGACCCUAAAUUUUAAAAAUUUGAAUGCAUCGUUUAUCUUUACAGAUUUGAUUAAUAUAUUUUAUGUAAUUUAUAUAGCUAUAAAUUUAUUGAAAUAAACAGUUAACUUAAAUUUUGUAUCGAACGAUUCAUCAAAUUAUUUAAUUAAAUAAAUUAACAACUAAAAUUAAAAUUUUAAAAGAUCAAAUAAUCUUUUUUUUUUUUUUUUUGAGAGAGAUAUGUAGCACGCAACCCGCUUCAUUUAUUUCAUUUAGAAUAAACUUAACUGGAAAUGUGAAUCAAUUAGGAUUUGAACUUGGGUUUCGGAUAUUAACCACUAAAUCCUUUGCCACUUGUUGUAGGGACGGUCGGUAAAAAAGAUGAGAAAAUUGAUUCAAAAUGACCUAUAGUUCAAAUAAAUUUUAUACAUUUUUAUCGGGAAUAUAUGGUUUUUUUUUACAAAUAGUCCUCUCACAAAUUUUAUUUGCAAAAAUAGUCCUGUCCGAAAAUUAUUUGCAAAAAUGGCCCUGCCCCUGCCACGCCAGAGCCACGUCAGCGCCACGCGGGCAGAGCGGGCCCAGAUGUUUAAGUUGAACACGGUGAACCAUUCACCGUGUUCAAUACAAGAUUUUUGUAUUGGACACGGUGAAUGGUUCACCGUAUCCAAUACAAAUAUCCAAACAAUGGCUAAGUUGGAGGUAUUUGUAUUAGACACGGUGAAUCAUUCACCGUGUCUAAUUAUUUGUAUUAGACACGGUGAAUGUUUCACCAUGUCCAAUACAAAUAUUGCGAUCUUAGCUAUUUUGUAUUGGACACGGUGAAUCAUUCACCGUGUCCAAUACAAAAACUUUGUAUUGAACACGGUGAAUGGUUCACCGUAUUCAACUGAACCAUCUGGCCCAGUCCCGCCGGCGUGGCGCUGACGUGGUGCUUGCGUGGCAGGGUCAGGACCAUUUUUGUAAAUAAAUUUUUGACAGUACUAAUUUUAAAAAAAAAAUUUAUAAGAGGGCUAUUUGCAAAAAAAGCCCGGAAUAUAUAUAUUGCUAACUCCUCCUACACAUAUAUAUAUAUAUAUAUAUAUAUAUAUAUAUAUAUAUAUAAGAGGUGGCAAUCCAACCCACAUCACCCCAACACUCUCAUUGGCCAUCACUUGUUGACCACACAUUACAAAACCCUAGAAAUAGAAGCCCACAUCACCCUUAUAUUUCCCUUUUGCAUUUUUCUCACCCUUAAGAUAAGUACAGCAACAUCUCCAUCCUUACUUACUUGUACUUUCUUUUUCCCUACAUGUCCUUUCUCUCUCUCUCUGGUAUACUGUAUUUGGACGCAACCACAGCCACUUACACCCCCACAUGUCUCUCUCUAGAUUUAUCUCUAGAUUUUUCCAUAUUUAUCUCUCUCUCUCUCUCUUUCUCUCUCUCUCUCUCUCUCUCUCUCUCUCUCUCUCUUUCCUAAUUAAACUUAAGUUUUUAUUAAAUGUGUAAGUUAUUCAAGUCAAGGAGGGGUGAGUAGUUUUAUAUUUGUGCGUCAAAGUCAGAGCCUAUUCAUCACCAUAAAUAGCCCACAGGGCCAUAACCUUUUUAUUUUUUUUUUCUAAAAUACCUCUUAUAUGUUCCACCGUUAUUAUAAAUAAAAUACCUCCGCAGUUAUCUCCUGUUAAGUAACUUAAGUUAAACGUGAGUUAAAUAUCUACCACAACUAAAAAACUUAAAAUACCAAUUUUGCCCUUAACUUUAGGGCAAAUAAGAAAUGUUGGUGACAGUAGAGGGGUAUAUUAAAAAAGAUCAAAAGUUAAAAUACUUUUUGUGCCCCUGACUUUAAGGACAAAUAAGAAAGUCGGCGAUGGUGGAAGGGUAUACUUGAAAGGGCAAAAUAGUAAUCUUACAAAGAUAACAGAGUUAAUAAACUGAUUUUAACUCUAGAGAUAUAUUAGAAAUAGGUUGAAACGUAGAAAGGGUAUUUUCAAUAUUAGCCUUCUAAGAGGAGUAAAUCGCGAGUCGGAAAUUUUUCACGGGUAUAUAAACAAUUGCCCCUUUUUUUAAAUAGUAGGGAACAAAUUUUUUUUUUUUACCAUUAUUUAGUUGAAAGGAAGAAAACAAAAUUAUUAUAUAUAUUUUUUCUUAUUAUAUAUAUUAUAUUAUUAUUAAUUUAUAAUAAUUAGUAUACUAUAUAUAUUAUUAUUAUAUUUUUAAAAAUAAAUAUAUUUAAAAUAUAUUAUAUAAUAAGUUUGUAAUAUAAUACAUAAUAGUAUAUUAUAUUUAGUACUAUAAAAUAAAUUACUAUAUAUUUAUAAAUAAUAUUUAUAAAUAUAAUAUUAUAUAGUAAUAUAUUAUAUAAAAAUAAAAUAUUAUAUAUAUAUAUAUAUAUAUAUAGAGUGAGGCUACUAUACUUCUAGAAGCACGGAGCUUUCCGUGCUUCCAGAUCUUUUUCCAUGUUGCGACUUUCGAAUCGUCGAUCGGCUCUAUUAAACUUAAUCUAGAGUAUUUAAAGUAGCUAGAAAAUAAAUUUUGCAAUUUUUCGAUAUCAUUUGUCUAGUGAACAAAGGGGCUCAAAAUCAACGGCUGAAAAUAAAAAUCUUACAAAAUGUAAUAAUAUGACAUUAAAAUUUUAGAUCAAAAAUAUUGAUCUUAUUUUAGAUCUGGAUAUUUCUAUACCGUUAAACUUGCAAACGGCUCACUACGGCCAUUAAAAUUAUUGAUUUUGAGCCCCUUCGAUCACUAGACAAAUGAUAUCGAAAAAUUAUAAAAUUUAUUUUCUAGUACUUCAAAUACUCUAGAUCAAAUUUUACGGAGCCGAUCGACGAUUCGAAAGUCGCAACAUCAAAAACGACCUGAGAGCACGGAAGGUUCCGUGCUUCUAAAAGCAUAAUAACCUCAUACACUAUAUAUAUAUAUAUAUAUAAUGAAGAGAGAGAGAGUCUGCAGGCUCUAGGUGUGGACUCUCCCUCAUGCGGUCCACGAGGUGAAGUUCACCUUGGGUACUGUGUGUUAACACACCUGUGCCACGAUUUUUUAGGACGAGACUUGAAGAGAGCAAAAAAACAAAAAUUCUUCUGAAAAUCUGUUACGAAUAACCAAAUAAUAGAAAAAAAAUUUCAACGAAAAAUAUUUUUCAGAAUGAUUUUACGUGGAUCCAAGCACACCCUUACUAAAUUUAGAUUUAUUAUCUUUAAUCCACGGAUAUAUAGUAAAUAUAACUUCAGUAAUUUAAUUUCAAUCAACAGUUAUUUUUAUUUUUGUAUAAAUCACAAUGAUUAAUGAAAGAAAUUGAAUAGUGGUGAGCCCACUACCAUCUCGUAAUAUUACUUCUAUAAUGAGAAUGAAUAAAUCACUCUAAUUCUUCUAUUUUUUUUUUCUUUUACUAGCUAAGAGUAUUCUUAUUAAAAUGUUUGACAAAUUAAUAAGAAAUCUUAAAACUCUACUACCAUUCUAAACCUUAAUAAAACACAAAACUCUAAAAAUUAAAAAGCUCUAACUUAUUGCCAAGCCAGGUAAUAAUGUUCACACAUGCAUGUACUCAACGUUGUACGUACGCGCGUACGUAGUAAAUUGCUCCGACCAAGGAUUGUAGCAUAUCCUUUCUCACGACUCUCUCUCUCUCUCUCCCUCUUCAUACAUUAACCAACGAAUUUUAAGGGAAAAAAUAUGCCAAGCUUGUCGUUUUAUGGCGACAUUAAGAAUAUCCUGUUUCCCGUACACCAACGUGUUAGCGUACAUCUCUCUCCCUCCUUUGUCAACGCACCCCUCCUCCAUAUAUAUCCUAUCCUUAGAUGAAACAAUAAUAAUAAGCAAGAGAGAGGAAGAGGAGGAAGAAGAGGAAGAGGAUAAAUCUAUCAUCAAUAUGAAGUUGGUAUGGUGCCCGGAGAUGGCGUCGAAGGCGUACAUCGACGGCGUGAAGACGCUGGCGGAGCGAGAGCUCGCCGACACCGACGUUGCCGAGCUCGUCUCCGCCAUGGCCGGGGGCUGGAACGCGCAGCUCAUCGUCGAGGCCCCGGCCCCGGCACCGCACGACGUCGCCGCCAUCACCCUCGCCCUCUCCGCCGCCGCGCGCCACACCGGCGCCCGCUACGUCUGCGUCUACCCAGACCGUAACUCGGCGGCGGAGCACCCCGCGGAGGUGGUGGUGGGGGAGGCGGCGGAGGCGAUGGGGGGGCUGGAGGGGGUGGACCUGCUGGUGGUGGACGCGCGGCGCGGGGACGCGGCAGCGGCGGUGGCGGCGGCGAGGCCGGGGCCGAGGGGGAUGGUGGUGGUGCAGCACCACGCGGGGCGGCGGAGGGGCUGCGGCGGCGGCGGCGUCGCGUUGGUGCCGGCGGUGGAUUCGGCACGUGGAUCGGGACACGGGCGAGGAGCACGUGUUCCGACGCUGAUAUCCUUCUGGAUAAUUUUCAUGUCAUACGUCAAUAUGCCAGCACAGCAGCAGAACUUAUCUCCAAACACGGAUAUCAGCUGAACAUGUGCUGGCACUUUGAAAAUGUGAAUAGAUAGCAACGCAUGAUAGCAUAUGUUCAUUUUGACAUAUUUUUUCUUUUCUAAUUUUGUAUCUUUAUUAUAUGUAAGAUAAAAGUUUGUAAGAUGACAAUGGAAUCCACGCGUUGUGAAUUUUUUGGUUAGUAAUUCCAUUACGUAUUUACAAGAGCCGUUAUACCACCAAGACUUAAAAUUUUCGACCUAAAAUUUUAGUGCAGAUUGGGAAAGAAACUAAAGCUUAAUUCGCAUGGCUAGUCCUGCAAAUGACAUAUUAUAUAAAAAAUUUCACUAAUAUUUAAGUAAAGAUCCAUCACUUUGAUAAAAAUUAUCGAUCGGCUCUAAAGCAGGUGGCAAAGGAUUUAGUAAUUGAUACCCGAGACCCAUGUUCGAAUUAUAGUUGAUUCACAUUUUCAACUAAGUUUAUUUUUAAAUAAAAUAAACAAAGCAGAUAGUGUUCUACCUAUCUUUUUUUUUUAAAAAAAAGGAUAAAAGUUGCGUAAAUUGGCAAUUUCACAAAUACUUUUCCAUGAAUUCCAUUAUCAACCAAUAUAAGUUACUUACUAUUUACAUGAAUAAUAUUAUGCUUACAAAUUUUUUACAAACUUUCUGUAAGCACGUGUUUCUAUGGUUGGAUUUAUUUAUUUAUUUAUUUUUUCUCAUUUGUGAACACACAUAAAAAAAAAAAUAGAACCUAAAAUUCUGAAAAAUUAAUUUUAUGAAAUUUUAUGGAAAAUAUCAUUUCUAUAGCUUUAGUUUUCCAGAAAAAAUAAUCAAAAAACCAUAAGUAGAUUCUUCCAUAAAAUCUGUAUAAAAAAAUUUAAAAAAAUUACAUUUUCUGAAACCAAUCAGCCAGAAAACUAUUUUCUAUUUUUUUUUGUUUAACCAAAUUGUAGAUAGUUUUGUUCCUAAGCACAGUAUUAGUGUAUCUACAUAAUGCUUUGUACUCUUUGGGAAGGAAAUUUUUUUUUUUUUUUCCAGAUGUAAACUUAAGAUACAUCCCAAUUUCUUUCCUUGUUUUUUAAUUUCCAUCUCAUUAGUACUUUACUAGAUUGAAUGAGUAGUCAUAGAUUAUGUUAAUGUUCAUUUGAGAGCAUAUCUAAACAACUUGUUACUAAUUUAAGUAAAUAAAGAGUUAGGCUUACUAAUUUGUGAGAGAUCUCUCCAUCACCCAGAAUAAAGUAGCACUAGAUCGCAUAAUAGAAAAAUGAAACCGACAUACAACUCCUAAAUAAUUAAAUCCUGAGUUUAGUUGAUCAGUAUUAUAAAAAGAAAUUAGUAACCAAGUUGAUGUUCGAUCAGUGUUUGACGUUAACUUAGCCUUAAUUAACUAGGAGUUCUACCUAACGAGACGAAUAAUUUGACGACAAGCAUAACAUAAGUGAUAAGCUUAGCUUAGCUGAUCAAAAUCGAACUUGAAAACGCAUGCAAAAAUAGCAAAACAUGCCAAAGCUUUAAUUUUAGGUCGAUAAUAACACCUAUUUCACAUCUUUGAAAACAAAAACUCCCUUAAAAGACGAAGAAAAAAGGCAAAGAUAAUAAGAACUAUUCGGACGAGGUCAUAGUUAGGUUAGGUUCAAUUAAUAAUGUCCUCAUCUAAUCGCCACUUAGUAGUUCGGUUAGUAGGUAUUCUCAUGGUCGAGGUGAAGCUAGAUCUUGGAUUUCUAAUCCAGUUUGGUGCCCAAAAAAACAGGUGGGUGCGCAGGCCUUCGAGCAUAACUUAAAAAUAAAAAAAGCGAUAAAGCGCCAGUGAUGAUCUUAAUCCAACAUUGUUAGCUAUCAAAGUAAAAUUUACAAAUUCAGAAAUCGAGUAAGUCAAGUAGGGAUAUAAAGAGUGCAUACAUUCAUGUAACAUUUCGAGUUAAUUUGCAGCAACAGAUACACUUACAGAUGCAAAAUUCAACAACAAUUACAGCUACAAAUGUACAAGAUUUUGGACUAAAAGCCUCUGGCUAUUUAUAAUGGUAAUCAACACAAAUCACCCUGAUUAAGGAGAGAGAGGAGCAGUGAAAUGAAACCGGGAUUGUUAACUAUACGAAAGAUUGCGCUUCUUUACCUCGCAUGGAAAUGGAUGGACUCGCUCGUUUAUGCACUGUAGAGGUAUAUUUUUCUCCUCAUAUGUUAAGCCAGUGAUUUCAAUUUAUUCUUCUUCUAUUCAGUACUAUUCAGUAGUGUGUUUAGAUCAACAGGAAAAAGAUCUCUCUAAUUGUGAUCUGAAUUAUCCUGAAAUAGAAGAAAAGGAGAACCAUCAACACAAUCUUUAGCAUCGCCUAAACAAAAAAGAUGAAUCAUAUUUGGCAACUACACCGAUCGUCCCUAGAGCAAGUGACAAAGGGCUUGAUGGUUGGUACCCGAGACCCAAGUUCGAAUCCUAGUUGAUUCACAUUUUCAGCUAAAUUUAUUUCUAAAUGAAAUAAACGAAGCGGGUAGCGUGCUACCUAUCUCUCAAAAAAAUAUUUGGCAACUACUAAAAUACAGCUUUCAGAAUCAUGAUUUGAUGAUUAUCAGGACAACCAUCCAUUACAAGCAAAUGAAAAGUCGACUAGUUACAGCUUCAGGAAUUGUACCUUAUAGUCAAUCCCAACUAUCUCUAUUCCUCCUGAAUGUUUUCUUUUGUGAGAGAGCUUUUUUGUUCAGAAUCCUCUUUUGCUCUCCAACAGCAGCCCUUCAAUAACAAAGGGAACGAGGUAACUCAUUCAGUUCCAUUAACAUAGUUUAACAGUAUAUCAUCUUCGAGUCUAAACAGAACAAGUUGAAAGCAAAAUGACAUCCUUUUCUUAAUAUAAAGGAAACCGUAGAUAAAUAUGGCUUACAAUUUUUCAAUCCUUUUCUUUUGCUCUUCUGAAGGAGGCGGUGGAACAUAUGAUGCAGCAUCAAUAAUAGCCUGCUCGGAAAAAAGAAAGGAUUUAGAAAAGAGUAAAAGGAAGAAGCCCCCACAAUUAAGAAGGGCAAAGAACAAAAGACAAAUGAAGUAAAAUUUUGUGUUCUGCUAGAUAAAGAAGCCCAAGUUCACUACUGGACCUGCAAUUUCUCGAGAGCGUCUUCGAUGUUACCCCUGCAAAAGAUUAACCAAUCGAUUGAAUUCACAACCAAUUGAAAAUACGGCAUACUACAGCAAAAGAUGGUAGUUUACUUUUGGGUUCUUGUCUUUGUAGAAGAAAUUACAAGCUCCCCAUCCUUGUUGAUACGAUUCUUUUCCUGUGAAAAAGACCCCCAGCUAUCAGGUUGGAAUGAUUUAAGGACCAAAUGAACGGGAUGAUAAUAUUCAGAAGGUUUUGAGAGUAACCAUUUGAAGUAUUCUCUCCCUAAUUCUCUCACCCAACCAAUUUGCCUGCUUGACAUUGAAGCGCAUGUCCACCUUGGUAUUCACUGCAAGAAUAAAGAUUAUGCUACAAAUUUAGAAAGCCAAAAAAUGAAAAUUAAUACCGAAAAGCAGCAAAUUGCAGGAGAUUAAAUAAUUGCAACAACAAAACGCAUGUAAAAUGUUAAAUAAUAGGCACAAACACCACGUAUAAGUAGAAGCCAAUCUGAUACAGAGACAAUAUAUAAACCAAGUUAGGCCCUAACAUGAACCAAGGGAUGAAUAUUCCUCAAGAGCAAGGGUAUUCAACAGAGCACAAAAAACAAUAAAAUCUAUUAUAGGAAGUUGUGUGUCCAGAUGUCUACCAUGUAACAUGAUUAGCAGUUAUUGCCUCGCAAAGAGGCAGAAAAUUCUACAUAACACAAGAAAUAUGGUGGAAAAAACAAAUAAAUUGUUAUAGCCUUAGAAUGAGAACGGGUAGGGAAGGACUAAAAUGCACCAUCACAUCCUAAGCAAUAAAAGAUAGAUUUCUAGAGACAUUUGAAAUAACGAUGAAAAAGCACCUAGAAAAUUGAUAAAGAUAGCAAAACCAAAGCAAAUAAGAGUACAAUUAAUAGGUUGCUAGCCUGAGUUGAGAUUAAAAUCCACCCAAAAAGAAAAAAGAAACCGAAACAUUUCAUGAGUUGCACUUCUUAGAGUAUAAAACUUUAUUUGGUACUUUAACAAUUAUAUUUUAGAGACCAUAAUAAGAAAAUAAAUGAUAACAAUAAUAAACUCAUCACACCUUUGUUGACAUUCUGACCACCAGGCCCACCACUUCUUGCAAAGCUAACAGUGACAUGAUCUGCAGAAUAAAGGAAUUUCAAAUUAGACAAGAGAAAACUGAAAAAUGUUUAAUUUAGACAACAUAAUAUGCCCAGUAAUCUUGAACAAAAGAAAAACACUAACAUCAAAAUGUGUCAAAUAACACCUGCAUCAAUAUUGCUCAAUCUUCCUGUCAAUAUCAACAUGUAUAAUGUAUAAAGUAAAAAUAUGCCAAAUGUAAAGUCAAAGCAUGCCAACAAUUGAUGCCACCACAGUUAUCAGAGGCUACAAAGCAGGGUUUGAGUUUUGCCGAAAACAGUCCGAUGUCCAAAAUAAUGAUAUGCAGUUAUUUAUAGUACUCACUGAAAAUUAACAAUUGUUCUGUAAAACAUGCUAACAAUUAAAUGUUACAAGUUACAACUUGUAUCAGCUUAUUUGCAAGCUGAAAGGUUAAAAUUCAACAUAGAUUAAAUCCUUCUAAACAGAGACACUCCGCAGCUCUUCCUCCUUUCUCUUAGCAGGUAUUUCAAACAUUAAAUAAAUUCCCCCAUUUUUAAAAAAAAAAUCAAAUGAUAUUUUUGCAUUCCCAUGCAACACCCAUUAGAAGUAAAUCAAUCACUCAAUUAUUAUCCAAAAUUUCAUCAUACAUUGAUCUCUUGUACCUAAAAAGCUAUCACAUCUUAUUUCAUCAAUACAAAGUUUCUUUCCUAAUCAAGGACUCUAAAAAUUUAGCAACAAUCAAAUUAUUUUAAUAUUCUUCAUGAAAAGCUAAAAUGAGCCAAUUUACAAAGCUUCUAAACCCCACUUUAGAAGAAAUCAUGGAUAUGCCUUACUGUGUAAAAAGGAUCCUAUUAGGGCUGGAUUCAUUUACACAAGACUACUAUACAAUUUCGUAACUGAUUUUUUAUCAGCCUCAUUUGGAGUCUACAAAAUAUAAGAAAAAUAGAGGCAAAUAUCCGUCUGAAAAUCCUAAGGCAGAAUAGGACGUUAACUGAAACUAAAUUGACCCCAAUUGACUCAAUCUCGACCAUUUAUGGACUCAAUUUACAAGACUUAACUACAACUUGGCUCCAUUCAUGGCUAUGAAGACCCUCAGCAAGAAUAACACUCCUGUCCAAACUGAAAUCUAAUUACACUUACUCAGAUUUAGACCCAAAGACUGGCUAAUAUUUGACCUACACCAAUUGAUUUCGAACCGGCUCAAACUUGACAAUCCAUAGGCUCGAUUAGCUAGACUAAAACUGAUCUAAUUUAGUCACACCAAUGAAAAUCCUUUAAGAAGAAUAUAAGAUCUGCCCGAACUGAGACCUACCCACAGUUAUUCAGAUUUUAGAUCCAAAUACAGGCAACGCUGACCAGCCUUGAUCAAUUCGAACUGAUUCAAUCUUGACAAUUUAGCCACUUGAUAACCCAGUUCACGCCUAAACUAAAUCAAGCGUAGCUUAUCCGCCAGAAAAAUAUAUUUCCUACAGAAAAGAUACUAAGAUAGCAACUAUAUAUAUCAAAUUGAACAAAUAUCAGAUGCAAUUUUCAAUGCAACAUUACUAUAUGCUCAAAAUGGAGAAUAUUUUUGGCAAUACUUCUACUAUUUCAUAAUAGCUCCCUAGAUUGGAAGGCGAAACAAUCCAAUCUUGCUCACAUCUAACAAUUUCGCUGAGAUUUACAAAAAGACCAAAAUUGAUUAACCAAUACAAAUUAAAAAGGGCCCUAAAUUGCAAAAAUUUCUUCCCUUUCAUUUCCAUUAGCAACCAUAUAUUCGAUUAUCCAAACACAACGCUAUGUCCUUUCACUGAUAACAUAUAUUAGCAUACUAAUCGACAAGAUAACCCUAAACAAAUAUGGCGAACGAUUUAUCCAUCAUUUCUCAGUCCAUUUUCGUUAUUCUUUAGAUCGACACGAUCGAGAAUAGGAAUUUACCCAGCGUGAUCUUGGGGCUGGGCUCGGAUCCCGCGGAGACGGCCCGGUCCUCGGCUUCUCGGAGGAUCUGCUGCAUCAUCGAGAGCCGUGCCGACACCUUCUUCCCCCCAUCCGCCUCCGCCGCCGACUCCGACGCCGCGCAUCGGACGUGCCUAAUCCCGAAGUGGAUGCGGCUCGGAAAGAGGAGGAUACUGCUUCGGAGAAUCGCCAUUGUUGCGAAAAGAGAGAGAGAGAGAGAGAGAGAGAGAGAGAGAGAGAGAGAGAGAGGGGUUAGGGUUAAGGUUAGGGUUAGGGGAUUUGAUUUGCCGUGAGAGAGGUGUUCGUGGGUGUUUUGUGGACGUCGCGGAGAGUGGAGGUGAGGGAGGGAACGAACGAAAGAGAAAGCUCGAAGCGGAUAUACUCAGUAGUGGUUCGUGGGUCUAAAUAUCUAGAUCCGACCCGUCAUAGAUCCGAGGUUUUUUUUCUUUUUCUUUUUUAUUUUUCUUUUUUGACUUAUAUUAUUAUUUUAUUAUAAACAUAAUUUCUCAAUUGUACCAUAAAUACUAAAUAAAUAAAGAAAUAAAAGGAACUGUCCCCAACGUUAAUAAACUGCAUAAUCUAAUCCCCCUUAACAUAGUUACUGUAACAUUAGAAAAAUAAAAAAUAUAUAUUUUUUAUUUUGAGGGUUAUGUGCAAUAUAUAUAUAUAUAUAUAUAUAUAUAUAUAUAUAUAUAUAUAUAUAUAUUGCAAAACUGAAUUUAAAAUUGGAUAAAAUUAAUAACUCUAUAAACUAUUAAUCAUGAAUAGUUAAGAUAAUUAAUAGUGUCAUCGGCUAAAAUGCCAUGUUUCUUGCAGUGAAAUCUAUUAAAUUUAUUGUCAAAUUUGAAAAAUUCAAUCCCCAAUUUGAUUCACACAUAAGCAACUAAAAUAAUUUUGUUUUGAAUAUUUAUUCACAAUGGCCCAUAAUUAAAUAGGUCACUAUAUAUACAUGGAUCGAUCGAUUUUACUUCCCACAACUCUUAUUAAGCACUAGUUUGAUAAUGUAGUCUUUAAAAAUAUCUUUUUUAUACUUCCAAGGACAUAAAAUUUCAAAAUGUUUCCAAUAUUUUAUUUUUUUAUGCUAUAAAAUUAUAGUGUCAACCACUACUAGAGAAACAUGUGCUUGUGUAGCUAAAUAAUGGGAUUAUUUCUUAGUAUUAGUACCAUUAAAAUAAGUAGUUAACUAUAUAUAUUCUUCUAAAAAUUACUGAAGAAGACAUGUAUUUCCAAACUCCACAUAUAGAAAUAUAAAUUUUGUACUAUCGUAAGUUCUUUCACAUUAAGGGGCUGUUUGGUUGCACGCAUUUGCAACUGCAGUGCAGUUGCAAAUACGUGCAACCUCAAUUCCUUUGUUUGGUUUAGUGUAGUUGAGUUCAACUGCUGUAGUUCCAACUACACAAGAAGGUCCAAAUGCUGCAGUUGAAACUACAUCCAAAUUGGUCGUAGUUCCAACUGCAGCAGUUGGUGAGGGAUAGGAUCACCCACAAAUUAACAAUAAUAAAUAAAUAAAUAAAUAGCUAAAUAAAUAAAUAAUAUAUGUAUAUAGGUAAAUAAAAAUACUUGUAAAUAAACUCAUACUAAUAAAAUUUUUUAGACAAUACAAGCUUUGUGCAAAAAAUUAAAUUUUUUAAAUUUAUUUUAUUUAAAAUAUAAAUAUUGUUUUUUUAAAAAAUUUUUAUAGAAUGUGAUCAUGUAUGUUAAUUUAAUAAGUUUUAAUUAAUUAUAAUUAUUAAAUUUGAUAAAAAAAAUGAGAGAAUCGUUUAAAUUUUAAAGUUUGAUUUACAUAUUAAAAUUAAAUAAAUUAAAAAUUUUAAAUGUGUCGAUUAAUAAGUUGAAGAAUAUUAUAUAUAUCUACUUAUUUAUUUAUAAAUAGUAAAUUUAAAUGAUUAAUAAACUUAUACAAUUAUUUUAUGUUUAGUGAAGGUAAUCUCACCACUCUAUCUGAAAAGGUGACAAAAUUCACAAAUACAACUAUCAGCUUCAUAUUACCAAACAGAAGAAAUGUAACUGCAGCAGUUGCAACUGCGUAAAACCAAACAGACUAGGUGUAGUUACAACUGCAGCAUUUGCAACUGAAUGUAUUUCCAACUACACUGUUUCUGCAACUACAUCCAACCAAACAGCCCCUAAAUGCAUGCAUAAUCUAAUACGUGAAAUUAAGAUUCAAAACCACAUUUUAUGAGAAAAUUAAAUCACCUCCCCCAGUUCCAACGAUUUGCCAAUGAUUUUCUUUUGCUUACUAUAUAAGGAGUAAUAACAUAAAAUACUUAUAAUAAUCUUACAUUAAUAAGUAUAGCUUCAGAAUAAGAAGCAUGUCCCAAUUAAAACGAUAGAGAAUCGAAUAGCUAUACUUAUAAUAUUAUUGAAAAUAAGAUUAUAAAGAGAAAUAUUACAAAGAUUACAAGUUACUUCUCUGGUCAGAAACAAACAUAUUAAUUCCUCGUGUCCCAAAAUAACUCAUCACGAAAUUAGAGCGAAAUAACAAAAAUUGCGAUCCGAUUAGUUAAAAAAAUUAUUUAAAGUGAACUUUAUAGAACUUUAAAUCUCGAUUUGCUACAUAGUGCGUCUUUCAUCUGAGCUGAAGCUAGUGUAGAAAAAACAGUGCCCGCCUGAGUAAUGCUGCGGCGGUGCCCUCCAAGAACCGGAGGACGGUGCUGCACUCCAACAAGCGCGCGUCAACCCCGCUGCUCACUAGUGGCUUGAAGAAGAGCCCCAAAGCGGUGGCGAUGACGAACCCCACGGUGAUCGGCGUCGCCAACAAUGGCGGCAGCGGCGCCCACCCCCUCAGGCGCCACCACCUCGACCUCUUCACUGCUCCCUCUGCCACCGUGACCAUCCCAUGCAACACGAAAAACGCCGCGGGCUCCCCCGUGGGGGGCCGCAGCGUGGCGUAGCAGAACAUGGCCUCGUGCAUGACCCCGGAGACAAGGAAUGCGGCGAGCGCAGCAGUGGUGGGGCCGAGGCUGCGGCGUACGGGGUCAUAAACGGCGGGACGGAGCACGGCGGAGACCGUGAGGUUCCACCGCCGGCCCCAGAAGUCGCCGAGGGAGGUGGCCAAGUAGGGUUUAUUGAACUGGGGCUCGAGGUCCACGCGCAAUGCUCUGCCAACUACGACGGCAGAGAAGGCGAAGACGAGAUCGAUAGCUAAGUAGAAAUGGGCGCAGUAGAGUGAGAGGAGGAGGUAGGAGUGCAUUUGGGGCUUGAAGCGGUAGAGGGGGAUGAGGAGGGCGAGGAGGAGGGCUUUAAUGGCGGAGGAGAGAAGGGUGAGGGAAUUGUGGGGUGGUUUAGGGUUACGGUUGCGGAGAUUGAUGGGGAGAGAGGAGAGGAGGAGGAAGGGGAGGAGGGGGAGGGAGGGGUGGAGGGGGCCGACGCCGAAGGAGAGGAGGAGGAGCUUGAAGAGGGAGAGCCAUGAGAGGAAGAAGGCGGAGAUGCCGCGGAGGAGGAUGGAGGAGAAGGAGAAGGGGAGGAGGGGGAGGAGGGAGAUAACAGGGAGGAGCGCCGCGAGACGGGGGAUGCCCGCGGGGAUGCGGGACGCGGCGAAGCGGGCGUAGGACAUUGCCAUGGCCACGGUGACGGAGACCGUCGCGAGGGUCCGGAGCUCCGAGUAGUGAUCCAUGGAGUAGCCGAGAGAGAGAGAGAGAGAGAGAGAGAGAGAGAGAGAGAGAGGUGCAAGUGGCCAUGACCAUGAGAGGAAGAAGGGUUAUGCAUGGUUCACGUGGAAUGUACGUAAAAGUCAUGCAAAGAACGUUGGCAAUGAGAAAGUCAUUUUUGGUCGCAUAACAAUUAACAGAUUAAAAACUUUCACAUUACACAUAAAUAUGACAAAAUUUCAUAUUACUUCUGAUAAAUUUUUUUUGUCAUUUUACAUAUAUAGCAUAAGAUGAUUGAUUUAUAAUUAUAUAUUUUUUGACAUAUUUACUAUUAAUAAGAACUUUUUUUUUUGGCCACAAUGCUUUUGUGAGAAGAGAAAUUUUACCGGAACUGGUUAGAUGAGAUCGACAAAUAUAUAAUCUAUCAAAUUAUGAAUUUAACAAUGUAAAACAAUGGUCCUUAUAAAAGUUUUGUUAUUUAAAUUUUGUAUACUAUAAUGCAACAAAACAAUAGUUGAAAGUUCAGGAAUUAUCCCAAUGUGAGAUCACACAAUUCGCCGUCUAUCACGUGAAUGGAUGAACUAAAUAUUUUACUCCAUGUUCUUUCGAUUUUGUAGUAGAGAAUAAACAUGAUAUAUUUGAAAACAAUAAAAUUCGGAGCGUAAAGCAAUUAAAUAUUUAAAUUAAACAAAUGAUUCAGCACUAGAACAGGAACAAAUUAAAAUAACAAAAACAAACAUUAGGCCAAAAGUUUAAAUCAAAUUUGAUUCCAAUAAAUUAAAAUCACUGGAAUCAAUUUUUUUAAUUUCAAUUAAAACCAAACCCCAGAUUUAUAUUAACUGAGGUAAGGAUCAAUUGACCCAAGGCUUCUUCUUUCUCAACCUUACAAGAAUAAAUAUAUAAAAAUGCAUUCAAACUCUCUCAACAAUAGGCAAAUUCGGAAAUAAGCCCCUAAAGUAUAUCUGUAAAUUUUUUAUUGAGAUCCCUUAAUAUUUCACUUUUAAGAAUUGAAUAAUUAUAGGCAAAUAAAUUAAAAUUUUAAUUACUAAAUUGAUUGAUAAAUCUAGCAAAUAACUUAAUAUUUUAUACUACUUUAUAGCAAAUAAAAUCAAAUAGAAUAACUGCUAAUAGCUAUUAUUAGCUAUAAAACACAACUUAAUUAACUUAAUUUUUUUUUUAAAAAAAUUAUAGAGGUAUCAAUUAAAAAAAAAAGUUGGAGGUGUCUAAUUCAGAAGCACUUUUACCAAAUAAAUAUGAACGAACGAGUAUUACCACAAGCAAUUAAUCAAAGCUCCUCAUUUUUCCGAGGUGGGGCCCCCGGUCAACUCCCGGUUCGGUUAAUUCGGUUAACUUGAACCGGACCGGGUCGAGAGGGAGAGGUCAGAGGAGGCUUCGACCGGUCUCCUCCACGAAGGCGACCAUGGCCAUGCACUCCUCGAGCAUCCUCUCGUCCGUGCCCCCGCGAAACAACGGGGGCACGAAGAGCCACAGCCCCGUCCCCACCACGAACCCCACCGUUACCGGCGCCGCCACCCACCUCGGCGGCGCCGGCGCCGCGCUCCGCCGCCGCGCCCACCACCCCUCCGCCGCGGUGCAGAGGCCGUGGAGCGCGAAGAACGCGGUGACCUCCCCCGUGGGGGGCGCCGCGAGGGUGAUGUAGUAGAACAUGGCCUCGUGCAUGAGCCCGGAGACGAGGAACGCGGCGACGACCCCCGCGGCGCGGCCCAGGCGCGCGCGCACCGGGUGGUACACGGCAGGGCGGAGUGCGGCGGAGACCAUGAGGUUCCAGCGCCGUCCCCAGAAGUCGCCGAGGGAGGUGGCCAAGUAGGGCUUGUUCGCCUGCGGCUCGAGCUCCACGCCGAGCGCCCCGCGCGCGGCCGCGGCGGAGAGGGCGAGGAGGAGCUCCAGGGACACGUAGAUGUGGAAACAGAGGAUGCCCAGAAGAAGGUAGGGGCUCAUUCGGUCUCUGAAGCGGUAGAGGGACGCGAGGAAGGCGUAGAGGAGGAGCUUCGCGGCGACGGAGAGGAGGAAGAGAACGGUGGAGGAGGAGGAUGUGUGUUGUUGUUUUGUGUUGGUAAAGGAACGGAGCUUGACGGGGAGGGAGGAGGUGAGGAGGAAGGGGAGGAGGGGGAGGGAGGGGUGGAGGGGGCCGAGGCCGAAGGAGAGGAGGAGGAGCUUGAAGAGGGAGAGCCAUGCGAGGAGGAACCCGGCGGUGCCGCGGAGGGUGAUGGAGGAGAAGGAGAAGGGGAGGAGGGGGAGGAGGGAGAUGACGGGGAGGAGCGCAGCGAGGCGGAGGGCGCCGGGGGUGACGCGCGACGAAGCAAAGCGCGCGUAGGACAUUGCGAUGGAGACGACGACGGUGACCCUCGCGAGGCUCCACAGCUCCGACGGUAUCGCCAUUGUCGUCACCAUUUUAUUCUUUUUUCUUUUUUAUGAGUUCUUAUUUUUUCUCCUCCAAUACUAUGAAAUAGUUUUCCAGUGCGUUGACUUUUUACGCUAUUGAACCAAGGGGUACAUUGACUUUAGAGAGCUCAACAGAUUUGGAUCUUACAAUUUAUCCUUAAACGAGAGAAAGUAGUUGGGUGGACCUUGUCCACCACGUCAGCAAAGAAUGAAUCCAUAUUCUUACUCGUAAAAAUAAAAAUAAAAAAUGAAACACUAUUUUAAGUCAAAGAGUUCGUAAAAGAAAAUGUUAAUCAGGUAUUUUUGUUUAUAAUAAAAAAAACAUAAUAUUCUUGGAGAGUAUUAAUUUAUAUAAAACAAAUUCGUUAUUUAGAAAACAUUUUUUUUUUUUAUAAUUUAGUGUACAUAGUUUGAUUGGUACCUUUGGUAUUCGAUCACGAGAUCGAAUAUUCAAUCUCUUUUAUGAUUAUUGUAUUAAUGGACUGAGAUGAAUGAGAUGUAUGAUCUUGUUAACAAAUAAAUAAAUAAGUAAAUAGUUAGUAUUUACAAGUUAUUAGGGCAAUGAGUUGACUAAUUAGCACUGUAUUAUACGUAAAACCUUUCUUUAUGUGUACGUGGAUCACAUGGCUUCCUCUACUAGUCUGAAGGUCGACAUAAAAACCCAUUUUAUUUUUAAUUUUAAUCCUCAUCUCUUACCAUUUUUUUACAAAUUUUUAUUAGAUUAUUUGCUCGACCUCACAUUUCUUAUUUGAUAGUUUCAAUUUAACCAUUUAAAUUAUUUUAAAUAACAAUUUUUUAGUUAAUAAAUAUAAUCUACUUAAUUUGUGCUAUAUAUGAUAGGCACUUAUAAAGGUCAUGAAGCCCCCCCNAUGAUUUUUUUUAGUACAAUUAACACAGCCACUGUUAAUUAGUUACAAUAAAAUAUUUAAUUUAAUAAAUAAAAUAGGUAAAAAUAUACAUUGGCCUCGUCAAAGUAUAGGCCAAUUCAAUUAAUAUCUUUGAUUUAAUACUAUUUUAUUUAUUAAAUUAAAUAUUUUAUUGUAACUAAUUAACAGUGGCUGUGUUAAUUGUACUAAAAAAAAUCAUGUUUCAUAAUAAAAAUAAAUAAAUAAAUAAAAAGGUUCUAUAAAAAGAGAGUAAACGCACUCACUUUGUGCCUGAUCAUGUAAUGUCACUCCCAGCUCAGAAUAGCAACAACUCAGCUGGGGAUUAAUUGUUUAUCAUUUGAUAAUUUAAAAAGCUAGAUCAUUUAAAGACUCAAAUAAGUUUUUGUUGGCUUAAAUGGGCUAGCAUCAUGUCCUGUGACGAAAUGUUAUGUUGGGCCGAGUCAUGUUCGAAAUGGUGUGAGAUUGAGUGGGCCAAGUCAUGUUCGAAGUGACGUAAGACUGAUUAGGCCGAGUCACAGUUGAAACCCGUGGGCGCUGUAUUUGUAUGUUUUUAGUGACUUGGUUGCGUAUUUCUAACCGUUCGAGUUUUUGAGAUUAAUGAUUAGCGCCAAUAAUCUGACAAUUUUAAGUAGUGUGCAGCUCUAUAUAUUAAAAACCCAAAAAAUACUAUUAAAACAUAGCUUUAGACAGGCCUAACACAAUUUUUACUACUUAAUAACCAAUUUAGUUCCCACGUAAAGAAUAAUCAACUAAACCAAAAGAUGUAGUCAUUAAAGCCAAAACAACAAUUGUAACUCAAGUUAAUUUGUGGGGAAUUUUGAAUCCACCUUUCAGAUACACAUGUAUAUAUAUAAUUCACUAGCAUAUCUAAAUAUGAGUAUUGCUAGAAUACUAUCGGUAGUAAACGGCUCGAUUUACUAUUGAUUUAUUUUCGAUGAUAGAGCUUUCAAAUUGACGAUCGGUGCUGUUAAGCAUGAUCUAAAGUAUUUAAAUUACCUGAAAAUUAAUUUUUAUAUAUUUUCGAUAUUGUUCUUUUGUUCAUCAAGUGAACAGAAAAAUGAAUGAUUGAAAAUGGAUAUCCUUAAAAAAGUGAUGAUACAAUUUAUGUAUUUAAGAUCUAGAGUCUAGAUCUUAUUUUAAAUAGUUUAGAAAAUUUACUAACAAAAAUUUAGUCGAUUUGGACUUUUCUAUACUGAACGAGCGAACCAUAUCGGCCAUUAAAAUUACUGAUUUUGUGAUCCUUUGAUUGUUCAGUUAGUGAUGUCAAAAAAUUGAUUUCUAGAUAAUUUAGAUAGUCUAGAUCAUAUUAACAGUACUGAUUGUUCAUUUGGAAGCUCUAUCAUAAAAAAUAAGUCGAUAGUAAACCGAAUCGUUUGCUACCAAUAAUAGCUCAGCUCUCAAAAUAUAUACAAAAUGCAACGUAUAUGCAUCAUCUACCACCCACACAAAGGUAUCUUUAUGAGAUAGGGCCUUUCUGAUUGGCAUUCUUGUCGUGCUUUUAUUUUCUUAAGCAUAAAUUCUAUGUGAUUGAUCGAAUGUGUCGGUUGAGUGAAUUCAUGUUUUCGUUAGUUAGCUUGCGAUGUCUCUUAAUGCAAGUACAAUAACAAUAUCUCCUUUUGAGAAGCAAAAAUUUCACCACUCUAUAUAUAUCCAUGCUUUUUCUUGUUAAAUAAACUCCGUAGAGAUAUAGAUUGCGAGCAAACCGCUAACCACCACCACCGUGCACUCGAUCACAUAGAAUUUGUGUUUAAGAAAAUAAAAACAAGGAAAGCUCCAAAAACGAGGCCAAGCUAAACUAGCUAGUUUAGGCACUGUUACGUUCAUCGAUCCAUAGCCCCUUUAAUUAGCUCCUUAUAUAACAAGUUACAUGUAUUAGAUACCAAACCUGCAUAUAUGAAAAACAAAUAAUUAAUUACUAAUUGACACUAUUAUGCAACAAAUAUAUACGAGUCGAACUAGAAUAUUUUUAAAAGAUUCACUCUUGGAUCUAUUGGGCUAUUCCACUUACAAAAAAUGAAAGCACAUGAAUAAUAACAAUUUUAAAUGUACUACAAUACAAUUCUAUACUAUAUAUAUAUAGAACUAGACUGGAAUACUAUCAACAGCACUAAGCUAAUGGUGCUAUUAGAUUUUCGGCCAUUGGAUGAAAAAAUAUACGGUUAGUAAGAACGAUAUGAAUCCCUUAGGACUAAGUGAGUUACUGAUUUAAUAGUAUAAUUUAACGAAUGAAAAUAGUCAAAGGGUUAAAUCUAACAGCAAAAAACUUGAUAGAAUCAAACACUUGGUGCUAUUAUAGUAUUCCAGUCGGACUCUCUCUCUAUAUAUAUAAACCAUCUACUAUUCUAUCAACAAUAAUUAGAAUGGCGCCCUUUGUCCUACGAAAUUAUGUUGAAUGAUCAGAGAUCCAAACUAUGCACUACCUGAAGAAUCAAAUUUAAUUAGUAUGUUUUAUGUUCAAAAUUAAGACUUUAAAAUCGAUGGCAUUUUACUCUGUAAGAAUUUUCAAUUUGUUUGUUUUACAGUGUAAGUAGGACGAUCCAAAUUGAUUGAAUCUAGCAAAAUUAAAAAUCACAUUCGAACAAUCCAUCACGACGUUGAAAUAAAAAAUGCUAGCUAACCUUUAUUUUCGCCUAUUUAUUUGUGAUGGUAUAUUACGUAAUAAUUUUUUAAAAUUAUAAAAUAUAAUUUUGGGACAUUUGAAAUGAAUAAUGUUUCAUCAUUAUUGCUCAUUGGUUUUAACCAUUCGUAAUCGAAAAACGAUUUGAUAGGACGAAAGACGUUGAGAUAAUAUUGCGGUAGUGUACAGUUAAAUAAAUGAUUUACCGUGUUCAUCGUAUGUAGUCAUGCAUCUAAGUGGCUCCGCGGUCGGCGAGGGUGGCGGAGGAUUUGAGAAUCAGCUCCUCCGAGAAGCGGCGGCGGAGUUCGGAUUCUUGUCGCUGGAGCUUGAGGUGGUCGUAGUGCUUCUUGAUGAAGCUCUCCACCCCCACCGCCGCCUCGUCGAAAUUCCUACCAUCCCUCCUCCCUUCCCUACACGUCGCCGACUUCCGCAGCACUGCCGCCCCCGCCUCCACCCCCCUUUCCAGCCGCCGCUCCCACGUCUCGCUCUUCGUCAGCACCGGCCUCCUCGCCUGCUCCACCGCACUCUUCUGCACUAUCGCGCCCCACGUAUCGUCAAAGGACGCGUCAUCGACUGCAUCAUUCUCGGUCUCUGCGUACUCUGCCUGCAGCACCAUAGGGUAAAAUUAGCUAGCAUACUAUCUGCUUCAUUCAUUAAGUAAAUAAACAAGACAACAAAACUAAGACAAAUGCCUCAUCGAAAAAAGGAAAAGUUGAUAUAGUGAUUUUAACAGUUCAGAUUUUUAGAGACAUACGAUUAUUUCAUGAAAUGAACAUAUGUAGGUACGUACCCUUCUUGUCGAUUCUACGUGAUCCUCUUUUCUUGUCGAUUCUACGUGAUCUGAAGAGGAGUAAACUCUCAUCUUGAACUCGAACUCGGGGACGGACGGGACAUCGUGCCAGGCACCGUCGAUGUCGGGAGGAGGGAGCAGUGCUGGCGGUGGUAUCGGCGGCUCGUGGUCGAGACGGUGGUUGCUGGCGGCGGCGGUGGCGCCGGAGAGCCUCCAGACGGCGAAAAUGAUGAGGUUGGCGGCGAGCCAGCGGGCGCGAGGGGACGACCGGAGGACGAAAAGGAGGGAGUAAGAAAGGAGGAGAGCGGCGGCGGAGGAAACCACGAGCAGGCCAGCGAUCUUCGCGGCCCAGAUUGUGGUGCCGAGGCGGCUGCCUGCAGUGUUCUUGGGCCGAGAUAGAGUGCAGAAAGAUGUCAUGGCCUCCAUGCAAGUUAUGUGAGGUGAAAAUGGUCUCAAAUGGUAAUAGUGGGGAGAGAGAGCGAGUAAUACGUGUGUGUAUAUAUAUAUAUAUAUAUAUAUAUAGAGAGAGAGAGAGAGAGAGAGAGAGAGAGAGAGAGAGGGUUGUGGAGUAUAAGGUUGUUCGGUGGAUUUGGAAGGGGAAUUAAUAGGGGAGGAGGGGGUGAGUGAAUUGAAUUUGAUACCGUUGCCGCAUCCGUGGACUCCCCAAACACAUUGGCUUUUUAUAUUUUAAAAAAGAGAUAAUUAUCUAUAUACCCCUAAAAAUUUUAGAAAUAUCUUUUUAUUCCUUUUUUUUUUCUUUUUAAUAUACCCCUCAUAUGUUUUUUCAUUAUUUCAAAAUACCCCUACAGUUAUCAUCCGUUAAGUUAACUUGGAUUAAACAUGAGUUAAAUAUCUAUCACAGUUAAAAAAAAUUAAAAUACUAAUUUUGCUCUUAACUUAAGGACAAAUAAGAAAUGUUGGUAACGGUAAAAGAAUAUAUUUGAAAAGACCAAAAGUCAAAAUACUUUUUAUGUCCCAGACUUAAGAACAAAUGAGAGAAGUCAGUGAUGGUGGAAGGAUAUAUUUGAAAGUCUGAAACUUUUCAGGGUAUAUAAGCAAUUGCCCUUUUAAAAAAUUAAAAUAUUUUUAAUUUUUUUAAUAUUAUAAAAUAAAUGAUAAUAAUUCUAAUUAGGCAUAAAUGACUUGAUAAUUGGUGUCUGAGAUUUCGUAUUCUCAAAUCCGGCUCUUCUUAUAUAGUGAACUUUACUGCUCGUAUAUAUAUGAACAUGAUAGAGAAUUUUUUCUUAAAAAGAAUUAUUUAAGAUUUAUUCUCUUUUUCUAUUAUUUUUUUAAUUUUAUUUGAUCUUUUUGUCGUCAGGUGUUCAAAAAAGCUCUGUCAAUCUUCAUCACGAUCAUACUUAUAGGAGAGAAUUUCGGUCGUAGUUUGGAAUGGUAUUUUCGGUUAAUCCUACAGGAAGAACGGGAAUAUAUCUUAGUAUAGUGCUAUGCACGCUUCCGGAUUGAGUGGGUGUUCACUUCCUUUUCUUCAACAAUUUUAGGAUUUUUCUUCGAGUUGUUUCAUAUUUCUAGCAAAAUAGCUUGCUAUCGUUUUUCGAAAAAAAAGAAAAAUACCCUAGAAUCUUUAACGCCGAUUUUUAUUAUUUUUUUACGCUGUUAGACGAGAAAAAAUAUAAAAUAUUUUAAAUUUUUUAGAUUCUUCGAAACAUGAAAGUGAAUGUGCUCGUACAACUUAAUUUCAAAUUAGUCCUCAUAUAUAGAGAGUUCUGAUACAUUAUUAUUAUUCUUUAUUAAAUUGAAGAUGCCUGUAGAUCAAACACAUAUACAUAUAUGUUUUAUUGUGUGAAAAACAAAACAUUAGUUAUAUAUUGUUCUUCAAGUCAAAUUAAACUAAUAAGCAUCUUCACUAAACCACUAUCCACAUAAAGGAGUGUGUUAACUAACAUGUACAAGAACCAAAAUGAUACAUAUAUAUAGUUUUGUCCCAACUUGAUAGUAAAGCAAUCAAGUGAUGUGUAUCCCAUUAUUGAUGGUCCAUCACAUGAUCCCAACCAUGAUUAAUUUAUUUACAUGAUCACCCCUUGAACAUUAAAUCUAAAUAUUUAGAAGGCCUCUUUCAUACACAAAACUACAAGAAAAAGUACCUCUACAUGAAGAAGAUCAUAUUAAGGAAACAUAUAUAAUAAAAGUAUUAUUAUUUUCUCUAAUUUCUGUCCCCUAGUACAUGCAUGUACCAACCUUUAUUUAUAUACAAUCAUUCCAAAUUGCCCAAACCACAAACUUUGUCCUACUUACUCUAAUAACUUAUCCAAUUUCUUUUCUUUUUUUCUUUUUUUAUCAUCCCUGUUUAAUAUAGUUGGUUGAUAUUUCGAAUGCUGAUCAUCAGAAAUUUAAUCCUUCACUAAUAUAUUUAUUAAUAGAGUGAUCGAGUUUGCAACUUACGCUUACUCUGAAAAGGUAAUUUGGAUGAGGCUUUAGGACUAGUUCAAAAAACAGGGGAAAAGAAAAAGGAGAAAAUUUUCUCCUUGUGAAUUUAAAACAACCGUUGUACUCUAAAAGCUUAAGCUGUUAGAGAACGGUAUUUUAAACAUUUUUAUAUUUAACACUUUCCCUCCUUACAUCUGGGCUCGAGACUUUUUUUGUCGGCCCAUGACGUGAGCUUGAAUUAAAUGGGAGGAAAUUAAUAUGCUAGGAGCCUGGCAUGACUCGAACUCAGAACCUGCUGCUCUGAUAUCAUGUAAAACAACCAUUGUACUCUAAAAGCUUAAGCUGUUAGAGAACGGUGUUUUAAACAUUUUUAUAUUUAACAGUGAACCCUAAAAUCCAAAAAUUUCCUCAUCUCAUUUGGAGCCCAUCUCAUAUUGAAUAUGUAAAGCACUAAAAAGAUUCUCUUCCUCCUCCCACUUUUACCUAUUUUAUAUAGGUAAAAAAUAUAAUGGGACACCCCAACUAUGUAUAUACCAUUUUUUUAAAAAUAGAACUUUCAACUAAUUUAUUUAUUUAUUUUUUAAAAAAAUUGAUUCUAUCCACUUUUCAAAUUUGAGUUGUCAAUUUGCUAAAACUAAUGGCUCAGUUAGCUAUCAUCGGUUAAAGAGUUUAUAACAAUCAAAUUUAAUAGCAUCACAAUUAAAUGUAAUAACACUUUCAAUUUUAUUCAUAUAUAUAUAAAAAGAAGAUAAAAGUCUAAGAAAUAUUAACAUGGAAAGGUUGAGGUACCAGUUUCAGAAGAGCACCAGAUAUGAAAAAUUAGGUAGUUUUCUCCAUGGCUAUCUAAAGCAAAUUCUGAUUUAUAAAAAAAAUUAAAUCAUUUUUUUUAAGAUAUGUUUAAAAAUUAACAUAUAACAGUGCAUCACAGAGGCCUUUUAAUGAGUGUACAGCCACAUAGCAGCAACACUACAUCAUCUUUAUCACAAGUCAAUCAAAACUCUCCUUUCAAAAAAAAAAAAAAAGUAUAACAAAAAUAUAUAUAAUUUUUUAAAUUAUGAUGGGAUAAGUGAACUUUACUCCCCAGACGAACAAUUUAAUUGAUUAAGAACAUAGAUGUGGUGAUAUAACCGUCACAUUUUAGACAUUUUUAUCGCCGGUGCGGCGAGCGGCUGACAAUUUUGGAGGUUGCAAGGAACCACUACAAAUAACAAAAGUUUUUGUAGGGACGAGUCAUCAUUUCUUUUCCAAAAAAAAUAUUAAGAAAAAUACUUUGCGCACUUAAAAAAGUUUAAUAAUAUUUUAUUUACACUAAUCCGGUAGAUUUUUAUCAAUCACACAAUAAUUUUCGUAACUUACACUAACUAAGAAUAUGAAAUUAGGCUUAAAUACUUCUAAUUAGGGGUGGCAUUCCAGCUCGCUGUUCGUGAGCCAGCUCGUGUUCGGCUCGAAAUGAGCUCGAGAUCGGCUCGCUCGUUUAGUAAACGAGUCGAACACGAGCUGAAUUUUUCAGCUCGUUUAAUAAACGAGCUGAACACGAGCUGGGGUCAGUCGCUCGGUGUUCGGCUCGAUAACAGCUCGAAUACAUAUAUUUUAUAUUUAUAUAAUUUAUUUAAUUAUAUUUUUUAUAAUAAAUAAUAAUUAUAUAUAAUAUAUAUUUUUAUUAUUUAAUUUUUAGCAAAAUAAAAAUAUAAAUGCGAGUUUAAUUAUAAAAAAACUCAUUUAUAUGUAAAGUUUCAACUAUUAGAUCAAAGUCUAAUGGAUAAGAUUUUAUAAAUUUAUUUUUAUAUAUAUUUAAUCUAAUCUUUUUUAAUUUAUUGUUCGUUAGCCAGCUCGUGAACCAGCUCGUGUUCGGCUCGUUAAUAAACGAGCGAACACGAGCUGCAUUUUUCGGCUCGAUACUUUAACGAGCCAGCUCGUAUUCGGCUCGUUUAAUAAACGAGCCGAACACGAGCCGACUCCAGCUGCUCGUGGUUCGGCUCGUUUACACCCUACUUCUAAUAACACAAGUCAUUGAUACUAUUAGAUUUUUUGUUCUUAAAUAAAGAAAUAAAGUAAUCCCUUAAGAUUGAGUAGAAUUAGUUAAAUAGUAUAAUUUAAUGGAUGAAAAUGACCAAAGAUAUAAACCUAACAGUAAAAAAAUUUAGGAGGUAUUAAAAGCAUCGUAGAUGGACUGACGAAUGUGCAGCACUUCGUUUGUCACUGAAUUUUAAGAAGUUUUGUUGUGGGUCCCAUGGAAGGUUCCGGAAAAAAUAAAGCUGUGAAAUCGUUUGAUAUGGCCGGUGCCUUUGGAUAGAAGAUUAAUUGGAGGAGGUGGGGAGAUGGGGAGAGUAUGGAGGACAUGGAAAGGUUGCACGCCAAGCACCAUUUUUUUUUGUUUUGUUUUUUUGGUUUUUUUUUGUUUUGGGGCCCCUCCAUUUCUAUCAUGAUGUAUAUGAAUCCUUUGUUGAUCCCCUCUCUUUCUACUAAAGGUCGCAAUAGUGGGACUUACAGUGCUUUUGUAUGUGUUUCUCUCUCAGCUUCUGUCCUCGUGCAGAGCACACUAAUAAAUACAGAAUCGUAUAACCCGAAUAAAAAUUCAUAAUAUAUCAUAUAGAUAUUUCAAGAGAAAUACGUACCAUGGCAUUAUAUGUAUAGAAGUGGCAAAGGACUUGGUGAUUGGUACCCGAGAUCCCAAUUUGCUAAUUUUAUUUCUAAAUAAAAUAAACGAAGCGCGGGUAGCGUGCUACCUCUCUCUCUCUCUCAAAAAAAAAAAAAAAAAAAACGAUUCUGAAUGAGCAUUCAAGCUUGAAUUUACAAGAGUGCGCCGCCGCAUGUAAGCCAAGUUCUUUUAAUAUUCUAGAAUAUACAGAGAGCAGAAUUGUUAAUGUGUUAGCAAAUUCACAUAUUGUUUUGAACUGUAGGAAUAAACCAACAACACUUGCAGCAAGUGUUUUCUUCUGUAGAGCCAAAUCAAAAGAUAAAACAACACAUAAUGCUAUAGGCAUAUACCUAUUAAGAGUAUAGAUCUUUUUGCCAUUUCUGUAUGAAAGGUAGGGCCAUUGUGGUCUAAGCAUAACCAUUAUUAUAUUGUGCAACAAAUAACUCAUCCAAUACUUUGGGUAUUCUCUUUCUACUUUAAUAAAUUAUAACAUACCUUCAUUUUGAUAUUCAAAAGGUUUUCUCUAAUGAAAUGAGAAACAAUGACAUUAUGAGACCAAACAUAAUUUGUUACACAAUAUUCUAAAGAGGUGGUUAGAUUGGUUAUUAGUGCAAGUACCAGCAAAAGAACCAUGGAAUAUAAUUUGAAAGCACAAACUUCUUUAAUGGAACUUGAUAAGAUAGAAUAUCAAUUAGUACAUAGUUUAGCUUCACUAAAGACGACGCUAAUGGACAAAGAGUCAAAGAGAACUGUACUGCUUCAAUGCCUUAAUACUACUUCACCAACAAAGUCCCAACAUCAUGAACUUCUAUGAGUGUCUAAUAUAAUUCAGGUUAUAAUCUGCUUUUCUAGUUGAUCAUUGUCCACAACUUGCAACCCCCAACAUCAUGAGCUUUUAUAGUGCUAAUAUAAUUCAGGUUAUAAUCUGCUUUUUCAGUGGAUCAAUGUCCAGAACUUGCAACUUUCGGAAUUACUUUGGCUUCUUCAACAACACAAAAAAAAAAAGGGUGAUGUUUAGCAAAGCAAAACUUUCUUAUUACGCGACCCUACUCCAUCCUAUACUGAAAUACUGUCUUAUAACCCAACAACACUCCAUUACGGUAGUAAAACUUUAUUAUGACUUUGACCAGUGACUAAAGAAGGAAUAGUUAAUUAUCAACUCUUAUUAAACAACAUUUCUAGCAGUGCCAAAUUGAGAUAAAUAAUGCUGUCAAAAUAUGUAGUUUCAAAAAGAGCAAGUAAAAUUUUCUAAGGUGGGACAUAAGAGUGCUAAUAAUGCCUAUAAAAAUAAAUCACUUGAAUCAAUCUCCACCCCACAACUGCAACCACUAUCAAUGAUAUUUAAAGAGAAUGAUAGAACUUAAAAAAAGCUCAUGUAGCUUAACGCUAUUCAGAUAAUAUCAAAACAAACAAGGAACUACAAGUCGAAUUUUUUUUCGAAGAAUAUUAAACACAAAAGUAGCAUCCAUCCAUUUGGUGAAAAUAGCUAAACAGGUGAGACCUAAGAGGAAGGUAUGCAACUAAUUCAAUAAUUAGUAGCAACUUUAUUGACUAAUGCUCACUCCACACUUAAAAAGAAUAUAAUGGACAUAAUUGGCAUUAGAACAUCUCCAUAAUUGAUGUAGAUCACUAGAUUAGCACACAUGACACUUAAUCUUGGAGGGCCCAGAUAUUGGAAAAAGGUUGUGUUGAUAGAAAACCUAUAAUGCUCUUUCGCCUUUCAAUACUAUAAUAUAUAACAAAAUGUCAGGACCGCGAAAUAUGGGUUCAACAUGAAUGGACAUACAACAAGGAUCAAUUCAAAUGAAAGAGGACUAAUGUACGAACAUUAUUUAGGAGGAAUCCGAAGGUAAACCUUUGCUAUUUAUCAAAGUGAUACUUGAAUUCUACUGAUAUACAUAGAUAUGGAAAGUUACUGAUAUCAGAGGAAUCUCCUGAAACAACAGAAAAUAUGGGGCCUACAAAAAGUUCCUAACUUCUUAUGCAUAAAAUUCUUUAAAUUCACUUACAUUAUAACUUUACUUUUCAAUUUUUUUUUUUAAAAAAAGAAUCAGAUAUAUUAAAUAUUAACAAAUAAAGAAUCAGAUAUAUGAAAUUCACCAAAGUAACUUCUCUAAAAAAAGAAAUAAGUCUGAACACCAAAGAACAGAGAUCAGGGUCUAGUUAUUGGGCAAAUGCACUAUUUUUUAUUUUUUGGAAAAUCUCAAGCAGAAGCAUUGUCAUUUACUAGUAGAUCAUAAAAAAAAAUAUGUUGCAUUAUGAAGAUAUUGACAUGGAAUUCAGAGAUUAAUUCUAAAGGGACCCUGCACUUUCAACUGUAGGAUUUUUUUAUCAAUACUGCUUUGACAGAGUGGAUUCUUCAAAAUUUGAAAGGCAAAAUGUAUGGAGACCACUCACCUCUAGGCCAUUCUGAAAUGGACCCCUUAAGUUUUGACCUUUUUGAUUGACACCCUAACUUCUAUUUUUUUAAAAAAAUUAAUUUUUUACAGUUAAUUAAGAUAAAAUUUUGAUUGAAUUUCAUAGCUUAAUUUGCUAUUAUCAACAGUUAACUAAUCUAAUAUUAUUCACCACAAAGUAGUUUAAACUAUUAAACUUGAUGAAAUUAUCAAUCAAUUUGGUAAAAUUCCCAAUUUAUUUGGCUAAAAAAAUCACUUCUAAAAAAUCAAACGUUUGAGAGGUCCCAAUAAAAAAGGAGAAAAUAUGUAGUUCAGGGGUUUGUUUCAGAAAGGCCUAUCAUUGAGGGGGUCUCCAUACAUUUUUACCAAUUUAAUAUUUUCACCAGUGGAAACCACGUGGGUGGGACCAAAACCCCCAACGGUCACAUACAAAUAUGGCAACGCUCCCCUGAAUUCAAAUCAAAGCAAAUCCGAAAUAAACUCCCCAUUCCUUUUCAAAGAGACCGAAUUUCAUACCUACCAACUGAAGCUCAUAUUUUAGCAAACCCCUCUGCAUCCAUUUCAAUGAUCAAAACACUGAAGAAGCUCAAAAUCUGGUCUAAACUGAAGAGGAGAAAGAAGAAUAGGAAGCCCAACACACUUACCCAACCAGCCGAUCCCUCCUGCCCCCGCUGCAAUUGCCCAGUAUGGCCGUGGCCUGAACCCUCUGCUCCGCCUUUGCCACCGUUUGUGAACCUUGUGAACUCUGCCGAGGCGACCCCAUUCUCGGAGAUUACUCCUCUGUAUGCUUCUUCAUAUCAGCGCUACUUUGUUCCGUCUCCCACGUACGGAAUGCCGAUCCAUCAAGAUGCUGUUCAGAAAGACUUUGAUUCAAGGCUUGGUAAAUGUGUUCGCCGGAUUGCUGCAUUGGUAACCAGUUGUUUCAGUUAUUGUCUUCGUUAGUUCCAUGAAUUCCCUCAAAUUCGGCCUUUUCUCCAUUUGUAUAUUGUUCUAGACUGAAAAAGCACUUUUGCAAAAGCUCCAAUCAGGCCCACACAUGCCAUUAUUUUUAUUUCUUUUUUGAAAAAAAAAGAAUUAGGAGGUUCGUGAUAAGAACUGAAUACUGCGCUUUAAAACAAAAUCGCAGGAUUCAUGAGUCUAGAUGAUUAAUUUUCUCAUUCAACUACUUCUGUAACUUAAAAAUGUUGCGAGCAUGCUGACUAGAAUGUCCUUGAGUAUUUCCUGAUUUCGUAGGAUAUUGAGGUGAUGGAAACCAGGUACUUGUUUAAAGUUGAACUGCGGGGGAUCAUCUUCACGCAUUCUGAGAGACUGUUAUAGUAGUUCAACAACUGCGCCAUCGCAGCUUUUAGAAUUUCCAUUCCACAUGAAAGAUUGCUAAAUGAAGUAAUGACAUCUUUAUGCAUUGCCUCUAGAACGGCUUUCCACCGCAUUGCAAAGUCCUUCACCAAAGGUUCAACAUCAGCAAUUGUUGGACUUCCUGUGAAGGAAGUUGACUCUUCAUCUGGGAACAUGCAUGAAUAUCACUGAGUCGCUGUUUUAAGAAAUAAAGGUUCAUGAUAAAUGGAAAUAGUCUCAGCUUUACCGUCGUAAGCCUUCACAAACUUGAUCAGAUCAGUAAAAUGCUCCGAAAGCAAUUCCUCCUGCAUUAAAUGCAGGAGUAAGAGGAAAAUUCAAACAGUAAAUUUCGGAAAAUUCAAUAUCUGCUCAAACAAAUAACAAGUUGAAGGCAUCAACUACAGGAUGAAGCCAAUCUACAAAUAGCCAAUGAUCACAAAAGAAAGUUCAACAUGAUUAAUUUUUUUUAACAUUUUUUUACCCCCAUUAUAAAUUUCAGAGCAGUUAUGCUAACUAAAAGGGUUUUGUAACAUCUCCCUUUUCAUACUGUACUUCAGGGGUAAUACACACUGCUCCUCACACCUUUUCUUUUUCUUUCUACUAUCUGAAAAAGCUGAAAUUGCAAAAAGUCAGCAACAGCCUCGCUUUAUUAACAUUUAUGAUGUGGAUGAAUCCUCGAUUUUAAACCAUUGACAAAGGGAAUCUCCUUUUCAACAUAAAUAAUCUAUAGAAUUGACUUAGUUAACCAGGUAAUUUAUCAUAGAAGACUUACUAAUGCAUUCAGCAUGUUAGACAAGACAACUCACUUCACCUAAGGCAUCAAAAAAUUAGUGAAAUAAAAAGUUCAUGGCAAAAGUUUAUGCAUUAGCUCGCCUCAGCAGAGAGAUGGAAAUUAUGAUGACAGAUUUGGAAAAAGAUGGUAGUAGCACUUGUUGCUAUCUUCAGAAGUAUCAAUAGUAGCUGUGUAAACCUUUAGGGGAAAUGAGUUGUAUUUAUCAAGCAGAAUGGAAAUUGUAGAAAUUAUUUCCAUUGCUUCUGAUACUGGCCAAUAUAGCUAUCCAUAUAUAGUUGGACAAAGGAGCACAGUAUUGUGGGUUAUUAGGUUUUUACCACAAACAAAGAAAUAUUGCUUUCAAGCUUUUCUUCAAAGAAUGUUGGAAUUUUUCCAAUGUCACCUGCCUCCUGCAAAGAACACACCAUAUUUAGACAGGACGAUUACUUAUUAGGUGUUAGAUAAAACAGCAAAGAGACAAAUGAAAUGUAGCAGAGUUAUGCACUUACCUUCAAGACAGCUAUAAUCAUAUCAUAGUUAUUAAGAAGGAACAAAGCUUGUGAUUUUGGUAUUCUAAAUCGUUCGGCCAGCCUGACAAGUAGGUUAUCAAUUGCCAUAUGCAAUUGCUCCAAGUUCAUAUCAAGCUACAAGGAUCACAUAAGAAAUAUAAAGGUAUAGUCAAUUUGCUACAGCAUACAUAAAGCAAAGUGAAGCUACUCAGAAUUAUCAGUUCGCGGUUUCAGAUAGUUAAGCACUUAGUGAUUCUGUAGUGCCAUAUAAAGUAAAUCUUAAAAGGCAAGUCUUCUUCAAAAUAAUCUCAUAAAAUCACAUGGCUUUUCAUUAACGGUCAACUGACCUGAUUAUUUCCAUAUUCUACAUUGAGCUGAAUAAGGGAGGCUGCAAACUCAGCAUAGCACCGUAUUGCAUAGUGUGGGUGAGUGUCAUCCUCCCAUAAUGUUUUGACAUCACAAUUUUUCAGACAUUGCAGAUGCAUAUCAAUUACUUUCUUGAAACAUGGCCAAAGGAAAAUAUUGACCUGACAAUUAUUAGAAUGUGACAAUUGUUAAUCUUUAAGUACAUGAGAAAGUAAGGUUAAACAAAGAAUAUUGCCAUGAAAACAUACUAAGAUAAGUAAGAGAAAGCAAAUUAACAAGAAACAUAGUUUCUUCAAAUCUUCUAGUCAAAUGACUUCGGACGAGAGAUGGAAAAAUGAAGAUGUUUUGGAUGGACCAUUUGGUAACUAAAAACUGAAUUACCCUAGUGCUUUUGAAAUGAGAUCCCAAAUCCAUUUGUACUUGCCUUUCGUCCAACCCAUGGGGCUGCGAAGAAGCACUCACAUCACAAUAUCACAUGGAAUGCAACACAAAGUAGUCAUGAUGACACAAGGCCUUUCCUGUAAUGAUGUGCAUUAAGCUGCUAGGAUGGAUCUUGGACAGAAGAUGACUAGCAUGAGAUAUGUGGAUAGAUCUAAUGUUUUCUCCUGAGGAUCCCUCUCUUUUAUUAUGCUUUGGAUUGCUCUCUAUCGGUUCUGGGUCUGCUUAAGAAUAGGAACAGUAGCCUCAUCAAAUCCCCUGAUGGAUCCGAGUCCAGAAAAGAGCCAAAGUUUACAAAAUUUAGAAAUGGCAAUGUUAAAUCCUUUGUAACUGAUGGCUGAUUGCUAGAUAUUCUGUACUUUCUGUUUUCAGUAUUCUGACAUAGGCAACCUAUUAAUUCAACAAAUUGAUUGAUAAAUAGUAAAGAGUCGAUGGAUUUGUACAAAUGUGUACAAAUGCAAUCCGAGUGGAGUAACCUUUCAGCCUGCGGAGCCAUUAAUCAAAACUAACCAGAUGCCGAAGCAGCCCUAAGCCCUAUCUAAAUGGAUUGUACUUGAAGCAAGCUAGAAUGAAUGAUCAUGGAUAAAUUGAACUGCCAAAGAUUUGCUUUGUACUUUUACAAUUCUCGAGAGUCUUGCAGUUUUCAUUGCAAUCAAUUUGACUUCCAAACAAACACAAGACUCACUUAGCACACUUUGUUAUCAAAUUUGACAGCAUAUUAAACAUAUAUGUGCUGCUAACUUUGGUGCCGUUCUAAUUUCAACCAAACAAUUCAGUUUGGACAUAAUUCUGAACCUGGAAGGGCUAUAUUCUGAACCUACAACAACAUAAUAUCUGAUGAAGAGCAAUUGAUGCAAGACGCAAAUCAAAUUUUCUUUUUGUACACCAACAAUUCCUUGCAAACCAUGACUUCCAGCAAAUUGCAAUCUAAGAAAAACACAUUACUUAGCUCAGUCAUGCCAAGUCCGUGGUAGAAGGUGGCAAGUAGGUUAUCGUAGUGAAAUUUUCUGUAAAUAUAAAAGAGUGUCGUUGCAUUUAAUUUUGCUUUUAACUCAAUCCCGGGAGCAUUUCAUAAAAAAACUUUCUUAUGAUUCAAGAUAAGAUUGAUGUCCAAUAUGAGUCAAAUUCAGGUAAUAUUUAGUGGUGUUUUCGACAGUGAACAUUAAUUGCAUUUCCAGUAUUGUUGAUCCUAACCUUAUCAAAGUACGAAUCCAGACAAGGAAUCCGCCUCCUGGACAUAAUUACCUGAAACAGAGAGAAUUAUAAUAUGCACACACAUCAUAAGAUAGAAUUUCCGUUACUAUGAAAGACAGCUAUUUAAUAAAGCUACAAGAUCUACUAAACUGGCCUCAUUAACCAACCACCAGUCGUAGGGCUGUUCUAAAACACAUGUAUAUUUCUAGCUCUCUUUGUAAAACUCUGUUCUAUAAUAGCAUUCCUCCACCGUAAGAAGUUAUAAAGAUCAAUAUAUCAUAAAGAUGUAGGAAACAUGUAAAUCAUGAAGAUCACAUGCAAAAGAGAACAUUCAUCUGAAACUGGAUGAACUCAAAAAGAAAAGAACAGAUUUUCUGAAGUAAAUACCAUCAUGAUUUACGAGUAAUAGUUAGAUUCAAAUGAAAUAGUUGACAAAAAGAAUUAGAAUCAAGAUUUCUUGAUAUCCAUGUACAUAUGAGGUAAUCUCAUAAGAUCUCAACAGCAAUACAAACAAAUAUUAAGCAGCAAUUGUCUACAUUCAAGAUAUAUAAAACUGAUAUGUUCUCUUGAAAUUUCAUGUAACUGAUAGCAAUCAUGGUUCAUUAGCAAUAUAAUGAUUAAAAUCCUAUGCACCUCAUUUUUAGGCAUGAACAUGUACAUAUGAGGUAAUCUCAUAAGAUCUCAACAGCAAUACAAACAAAUAUUAAGCAGCAAUUGUCUACAUUCAAGAUAUAUAAAACUGAUACGUUCUCUUGAAAUUUCAUGUAACUGAUAGCAAUCAUGGUUCAUUAGCAAAAUAAUGAUUAAAAUCCUAUGCGCCUCAUUUUUAGGCAUGAACAUGUAACCAGAAUUUUUUCUGAUUGUUGCAGAACUUUGAAUUCAUGAGUGCAACAUAGAUACAGAUCAAACUCCAAAUUUUAGAAAAAUAGAUGUGUGCAGAAACACAAAAUCAUAUAGAAUAAUGAAAAUAGAAUAGAAUUGCAAAGAACAAAAAAAAGAAAUGAAACGACAAUGAAAACUAAACAUAGAAAAUUUAUUGAGAAAAAAAAGGCUUGUCAGCUUUUUUACCUUUGAUUUUUACGCAAGGAUUAAAGUGCCCAUCAACACAGGCUAUAUCCACCAUGUCGUAUCGUGCCAACAAGAUAUUGACACGAUACAGCCCUCGUGCCGAUGGCACAACUCAAAACCCUUUAUUCUUGAAAUUUGUAAGUAAUUUUCUCAAUAAAAUUCAAAAGAUUUGAUAAAAAUACAUAAUAAAUAAUUGGCAUAUUUUGUUGCUAAAGAAAAUAAAUAUUUCAUGCCAUUACGUGUCGGCACACAUAUAUUGUUUGUGACGGGCGCGCAUCGGCAUGGCCCAGUAUGCACCAUGCCGUACUGUGCCGGUAAGUUUCCGGCACGACCCCACCCCACGGCACUUAAAUUCUUGUUUUUACAUAUUAGGGCAAAAAAGCAAGAAAUAAACCCAAUAUGACUUUGCUAAAAUCAGCACCAACAAUACCUGGUGCUUCCGUGUUAUGCAGAUCAUAAGCAUUAAGCAUAUCGCAUCAUAACAAUUUGGAAGUACUAGUUUCAAAUGUUCAUCAAUAACUGUGAAAGCUCCUGAAAGAAACAGCAGACAUAGGUAAAUAUUGUUUUAUUCUUAAUAUAUGAAUUAGAGUAGACGCUUUCCUUCAUUAUGAAAAUCAUAUACAUUAGAUUAAAUUGUUUCCUGGAAUAUGAACCAUCCUGUCUUUUCACGUGCAUCUACAAGUUACCUGCAAAGAUUUCAUACAAUAGUGAUGCUUCUCCAAAAAAGGCCUCAAGAAAAAGGUACCUGAAGAGCAAACAAAUGCAGAGCAAACAAAAGCAUUAUGCAGCAAAACAUCAGUGAGUGGUCUUGUUAUUAGAAAGCAUAUAAAGUUUUAGUUCAAAAAAAAAUAAAUACUCUGAACAGGAUGUAUCUAUCAAAAGCUUGUGUAAGCUCCUAAAGAGAGCUUCGUAUGGAUAUCUUAAAGCAUUGGCUUCUGAUAUAUGUGGAACCAAAGCCGGUUGAUCAACUUCCUGAGAAAAUUAAAAUGGAAUCAUAAUCUUUAAGAGAAAAUUAGUAAGCUGCUCCGAAUUAUAAAUGGCUCAGAAUCAAAUCCAAUUAAAAAAAAAAAUCUGUUGUUCACAUUUCUAAUAAGCACAGUCAUGGGAAUUUUAUCUAAAUAGAUACAAUCAUCCUCUAGUAAGGCAAAGCAGGCUAGCAUCUACUCUUUGUGUUCUAUUUCAAUUGUGUUCCAAAUUGCAAGCAUUUUGGCCUACAGUUUAUUGUGAAUGAGGAAAUCAGAGAAGUGAGAUUUCUUAUUUCGAAGCCAGCAGCCACUAGAGACAAUCCUGAAAUGAUCUAGAGAAAUGAGAAAGUUAGAACCUUAGAGCAAUUUUCCAUUUGGUGACUCUUUCUGCAUUGGAGGUGGAACCAUCAAUUUGCAAGCCCAAGAUAUUUUGACACAGCACACAGCAAUGACACUAAAUUAAAUUGCUACAUGUUCCCUUUGAAACAAUGGCCUCCACAUAGUUAAUUUCAUAUCUCUUUUUUUUUUUCUGGAGGACGUUGUCUCAAUGAUUUAAAAUAACAAUGUAACUCGUGCAGCCUAUGAGUUAAAGCUCCAAAAACUCACGAAAAGUCAAUGAUAUGAAACACAAUGGCAACAACCAGUAAUGCUGUCCACUCAAUUUCUAGAUAUAGAUAGAUUGUUAGGUAAGUCUUCAGUAAGAAUAUUCAACAAUUCAUUCAAAUGCAAAAUAAUGGUAUUUAAGAAGCGUAAUGUUUUAUAGCAGGGAAUGAAAGGCAAGAACAAUGGCUGCUUAUCCAAAUUCAAACUUUUAGUGGAGACCACCCAAGAAAUAUUUCAGAAAAGAAAAAGUGACUCAAAACAGGGAUUGAAAUCAAGUUAAUAGAGGUUUGGAAAUUAAAAUUAGAUGGCCUAGUAGAAGGACAUCAAAUUAAUAAUGAACAUUUCUGAAAUCUUGACUUUUUGAAAGUGGUGAAUCAUGACUGUUUUAUUCUAUAGAGGAGAAAUGAGAAUACUAGUAACCAAAAAGUACUCAUUAACAGCCUAGCCAAGAGAAGUGUAUGGAACAACUCAACCAAAUGGUAAUAGUUAUAUACCUUCAAAAUGUUUAUCCUCUCCCCUAAAGCAAAGAUUGAAGAACGUUUUUGGGAAUGUUCCUGCACUCUCAAAAGAACACCCAAGCUUUUAGAGUCACUUCCAAAUAAAUCAUUUGGUGUUGCCAUAUUCAUCUGCAGUCUCUCAAGUGCUUCUAUGUAGACAAAGAAAUGCACACUCAACACCUAGAAAGUUGGAGAAAAUUACAUCUGAAUUACGAAACAAUAAGAUUAAAAUAACAAGAUUCCUCAGUCCAAAUUAUAUAAAGAAUGCUGGUAACUUUAAACUUUCACAGUACGAACAUUAUUUUCUUGAACUUAGUAUUUAAGUUCCCAAAUACAGGUGCAUACAUGUAUGCUGCAAAUUCUCAUGCCCAUGCAUGAGUAUGACUGCAUGGUCAAUUUGUGUUCAUAUAUAUAUAUAUAUAUAUAUAUAUAUAUAUAUAUAUAGAGAGAGAGAGAGAGAGAGAGAGAGAGAGAGAGAGAUGAAGAGGCGGAGGGAGAGACAUAAGAACUAUUAUGGUUUUAGAAGAACAAAAGACUUUGUCUUCCACUUCAUUUUUUAUGAUCGGGCUUCCACCUAUGUCAAACAUGAUCUAGAAUAUUUCAAGCAUCUAGGAUACAACUUCGCGGCUCCUAAAAAUUUUAUUCCAGUGCAUCAAUACAAAACAAUCUUGCAAAUCCAUCCGCCUUAAAGAAAAAUAGAAUGUAAUUCUUCAAUUUAAGAUCAAGAAUAUAGAUAUCGAUCAAGAUAACACUAAGCUUUUGCAAAAAAAGAUCAACUAAUGUGAAUUCUUCUACAUCGUUAAAUAAUAAGCACUUCAUAUCCAGUACUAAAACUGAAAAUUGAAACAUAAUUAUCACCACCAAACAAGCAUCAAAAGAAGAAUAUAGACUUCAUUUAGAAUAGAAACACAAAAACUGUGAAAGCAUGCUAGUUAGAGGCUUAUUAUGCCAAUGGCACAUAGAUGGUGUAUGUUUGCACAGCAUUGCAUGACAUAGCAUGGCACUGUACGGUGCCAAACUGGGCUUGUCGCAUCCCCUGUACCAGCACUUAAAUUCUUGGUUAUGACUACUAGUGGCAACAUAUGCAAGCUACUAUAUAAUUUGACUUCUCUCCAAUGAAUUGGUUUUGACCUAUAGUCAAACCAAAAUAAACUCAACCGCAGGUUACAACAGAUGCAACCUACAAAGAGCUUAUUUCAACUUGAACAUGAUCACCAUUAUGUUAUCUUCUCUUCUUUAAAAUCCCUUGGCAUUUCUAUUUAAUUGUCUAAAGAGAGUACAAGGCAUAUUGAAGUACUUGUAGGAAAUCCGUAUUCUACAUUGAGCACAGACUAAAUUAGGUGGUAUGCAUAUAGACAAUAGAGAAUGAAGAAGUUGCAUAUUUGAACAUUUACCUUGUUCAUCGUAUCAAUAUAUGCUGCUAGAAUAUCUGGAUAUUUCUCUUUGCCAUGUUCUUUGAGAAAAAGAAUGAGAUACCUACAAAUAAAUACACACAAGUAGAAAAGUACAAUAUUGGAAAAAUAUUAUCAUAAGAAUUAAUUUUCAAGGAAAACAGGUUGCUUAGCAAUGUUAUCAAAAUAUCAAAAGAUUCAUGUAAAAUGAGAAUCAAAUGAAAAGUAAUUUUAUCGAAAGGAAAUUAAACAAAGUAUCAAACCAUACAUGGUGUCUUCUUCUAUCAAUUAAUGUAAUAAAUCAUCUUAACAGUGAUAUCAUCCCAUAGAUGACAGCCCACUCAUGUUACCCAGAAAGCUAGAGAUACCAAUGGCACUCUCUCUAAUAAUAGCAGCACAGACACUAUCAUUCCCAUAGAAUCCUAAAGGCAGCAGCCUACUUGUGUUUCCAGAAACUUUACCACAAUUGGGUCAGAAAUGAUCUAAAAUAUUAAUUUAUUUAUUAAAUUUUCUGGUAUUGUUUCAUUUUCAUUGUUAGUUUGUCCACCAUUGGCUUUAUUCUUUCUAUACAAAAUUUCAGUUUGAUAUAUCAAUUCCAACAAAUUUCUUAUUGGUCUAUAUAAUCACUUAUGCAUAUUACGGUCACUGUAAGAAGAAUAACUCACCUAUAUUUCAGAAGGGAGUUUUGUUGCAACAUUUGAAUAUUUGUUUUUGGCUUUCUCAAGGAAUAGAUCUUCUCAAUGAUGAAAUCAAAUACCUAAAAAAAGAAAAAAGAAUAAACUAAUGCAAAUAUAUAUUUUUAGUUUUGCUUACACAUGCGCACGCAUGCACACACCCCUAACAUUCCUAAUAAGAUGAUCUCAUGUAUUUACAGUAUAUGCAUGGAGGUGUAGGCUGUUAUUUGUGAACAAGUAAUUUUGUUAAAAAGUAUUUUGCAAAAACCUUUGCUACUGCCGUUUGUCGAAGUCUGUCCAUCUCUUGCUGAACAUCCUGAAAAACUUCUGAUGCAUUUAACAUAUAAUCAAUUCCAACAAAUUUCAGCUUUUUGCUUAAGACCUCCAGGUGUCUCAGAUAUUCCUCAUUCACCUGUAAAAGACAAGUGAAUUGAUAACUUAACCAAACAUGUCACUCUACAUGCACAAAUGCUUAGAUCUGUGUGCAGGUAUGGAUAUGUCGUUUGAAACAUUUUGGCAGACAUGUUAUAACCCCCAUUUUGGCAGAGAUGCUAACCCAUAGUACCAAUGCUAAGGUACCUACAUCUAGAUAAUAAUAGUCCAGACAUCCUACAAGGUGCACCAGUAGAAGCACAAUGCUCUAUUGAGAUAUGCCAUGGUGCACAACUGCAGACCUCAGACAGCAUCAUCAUAAAUUGGCUCUAAAGGUGGUUGUAAUGGGUAUGAUUCAUACUGAUGGGCAGUGCAAGAUUCGCCAUUGCUUAGUGACACAUACAUGCAUGGUUUUAUUUAUUCCCCAGCUACCCAUACUGAUUGGUUAUCGGCACAGUCGGCAGAUGUUGUACAGAGCAUCUUUAAUGAGUCAGCAGGCCUAAGGAACUGGUACACAAAAUGGUAAGCACAUGCCCACUAGCACAACAUUCCUCGCAUUUAUGCAUAUGUGUGCAAAACUUACUGAAUUUUGGUAGUGUUAGUUUGACAUCCAACGACUUUUAAUUGUUGCUUGCACAGGCAAGAACAAAUUCGACCCUAGCCUUGCCAGGCUAUGAGAAGAAGGCAGGAUAAUGUCCUUGAAAUAUCAAUCCUGGCCUAUUGAGAAAUGGAUGCCAACAGCUCAACCUACAAACAUUGCUGCUGAGCACAAAUGCAGGAAAGAAGUUUUUGCUUGAUUCUGACAAUUAACAGAUCUUCUUCAUUAUACAAAUCAAUCAACUGAAAAAAGUCCUACGUAUUAGUCCCUAUAUCCCAUAUAAAAUGAGGAGUGAUAGCCAGUUUUGGUAAAAUUUAUGCUUCAUAACCUCAUAUGCAUUAUCUGACUAAAACAAUCUUGUUAUUGUUUUGUCAAUUAUUAAUAUAUGCUUGCGCACUUUCAUAUUGGAAGAAAAUUGUCCGACGAUUAAACUUUUUCUGUAGCACAUCUGUCUGGAAAUGUCUAUUAAAAAAGAUAAACCCCACCUUGAGACAUCUGUCUGGGACUAAGUUAAUGAAAAAAAAAAAGAAGAAAAAAAGAAAAAGAGAAGGAAAGUAAUAAUGUCCAAGAAUGGGCUCAAUAUGCUUCAAGUUCUCAUAUCGAAUAACAGAUAAGGACUAAGGUUACCUCUCCAUCAAUAAUAGCUGUCACCAGACUGGGGGGAGCUAUAAUUUCUUCGAUGAAUUUUGCCAAUUUCAAUUCCACCAGCUGUGAAAGAACAUUCCUGUGAGCAUAUUAACAUGCAAGAGAGAGGAAAAACGCAGCAUAAAUAAUUUGGCGGUUGGUACUCGAGGUCCCAAGUUCGAAUCCUAGUUGAUUCACAUUUCCAGCUAAGUUUAUUUCUAAAUGAAAUAAGCGAAGCGGGAAGCGGGUAGCAUGCUACCUAUCUCUCAAAAAAAAAAAAAAAAAAAUUGUACACCUCAAUAUGCGGAUCAUAAAUAAAUGCCCACUCACUGGCAAAUGUUUGAACUACGCAGUCCUUCUGUAUGAAUUUUUUCAUAAAAUGUAUCCAAACAACUUCAACUAUACACCAUUUGAAAUGGCACUCUCAACUUUAUUUACUUAUUUAUUUUUGUUGGCACCCCCUUAACUCGAAUAAAGUAAGGAUUUUAUCAAAUUCACCAAUAAUUCCAUCAAAUUUAAUUGUUUUGAUCAUCACUUUCAAGUAAAUGAAACUGGAACAAUUAAUGUCUAAUAGAGCCUUUAAAUUUAACAGUAUUUUCAACUUAACUAACAUGAUCAAAUAAAAUAAUUAGAAGUUAAGGAGGGUGUCAAACGAAAAAGUGAAGUUGAGGGGCCUAUUUCGAAAUGCCAUGUAUUUGAGGCAGUCUCCAUACAUUUUCACCAAAUUGUUUUCCACUUUAGUUUGAAUUAUUUCAACAAAUCUACUAAAGUAAAUAAUGACAUGUCCCAAAUUCACGCCAAAAUAUUAGUGUUUUUAAAUGAGAUGUAUUCAUUAAAUAACUUAACGGAUAUUUGGCUAACAAGUUAAAGGAACACCUCCUGUGUUCAUUGGCAGCUUGUCUAGAAUCGAGUCAAACAGAAACAGGACAAGUUAUCGCACUAAUGGCACACUGCUAGCAACAACACACCUAAGUCUGCUACACUUGUAUGUUUCAAGAAAUCAUUAUUUUUGUAGUAAUCUUAUAGAUAUUCAUUUAGGAUUUUCAGGUUCUGUUUCAAGAGAUGAUAUCCUGAAUGUUUCUCAUAUUCAUGUCAACUUGCACAAUUACAAAUCUACAUAUAAAAUAGGAUUUCCCUACCUUACGGUUCUUUAGCUUCAUACCCAUCUCCAUAGAUUUCUCCUGAAGACUCUUUAUUUCUGCACUAAUGGAACCAAUCUCCACCUGUCAUAAGAUUAGUUUAUUAGUUAGUAGAAGAUACCUGCUCUGCAUGACAUUGAAUUUCAUUUAUUAAUUCCAUUCAAUAUUAAAGAAACUUUCCAAAUAUCAGAAAAAGGGUUAGAAAGCAAACACCUGGAACCCACCCAGAAGAGAACCUAUUUGUGACAAAAUUAUUUCACAAUCAUGAAACUGACCAUGCAGUAGGACCAAGUUAUCACUCUCUUCAAUAUAGGUCUGCACAUGGGUGAAAGGAAAGUAUUAUACACUAGGAGUGCACAUAACUUUUAUAAAGCCUAAUUAUGAUGAGAGACAACAAAAUUAAUACAAAUAUGGCAUAGAAGUUAUCCUGCAAAUCUAAGAGAAAUUUUGCAAUAUAUUAAAAAUCAUAGAAAGACAAGUAGAAGCAGCAUAGAAGGGGGAGUAAAAGAUUAUGCCAUGAAGCACAUCGAAUUUCCAACAAUUGUUGUGUGAUUAGCACAAUGCUUUUGUUUUGAAGCCUAAUUAUGAUGAGAGACAACAAAAUUUAAUACAAAUAUGGCAUAGAAGUUAUUCUGCAAAUCUACGAGAAAUUUUGCAAUAUAUUAAAAAUCAUAGAAAGACAAGUAGAAGCAGCAUAGAAGGGGGAGUAAAAGAUUAUGCCAUGAAGCACGUUGAAUUUCCAACAAUUGUUGUGUGAUUAGCACAAUGCUUUUGUUUUGAUAUCUGCUUUAAGUUUCUUAUUCUUUAGUUCAUUUACAUGCAUUCUCCUUGAAAGUUACUAAUAUAUGUCAAAUAUAAAGACAAAGAAAUGCCAUUACUUCAAGGUAUCCCUGUUCAUCUCUGCGUAAGUUGCUCUCAACUCCCCUUGUAUACUCCUGCAAGUUUGUACCAUUGGCAAAUAUAUUUGCUGGUACCUUCAAAACAAGCAACAAAUUUCUUAGUACAAAUUUACAUGGUAGUGGUUGUCUAAGGCUCUAAGCAGAAAUGAAAAGUCAUGCUUCUACCAUGCACUAUACAUAUUGUCCAUUUGGGAUUGAUUCCACUCACUAAAUCAGUGUAGGAGUGUUUAUUUUGAAAAUCCUAUUGUUAAAUACAAUUUAAAUUAUCUUGACAUUUGUUAAUCUAACAUCACAGUCUACAGGAAAGGAAAUAAGGGAAAUCAUCAUCAUUUUGAAGAUCCCAUUGUUAAAUAUGAUCUAGAUUAUCAUUUUUUCUAUUAGUCUAACAUCAGAGUCCCUUGAAAAGGACACAACAGCAACAGUAACAACAAGUAUAUGACUGCUCAGUUGUUGAGGAGUUUAAUUAACUAAAAAAUGUGUGAAAAUGACAUCAUGUUAGUCUCAGUCCAAACUGUACCAUAUUGUAAUAGCUCAAGACCUCAGGUACAUUAAGAACAGAUAUUCAUACAAUGCCAUCAAAUUAUCAGCGUCAUCCAAGCCUUUUCCCUCUGCGGUGGGGUUGCCUAGAGAAAAGCUCUUAGGUAAGAAAGUUACAAACUAUUGGCAAAUUUACACUCUGACAACCAGACACCAAUCUUCUAAAAUUGGCAUAUCUUUAUAAAUCCAUACGCAUGAGACAGUAGGAGGCACUUUACUCACAUCAUCAUUACUGCAUCCUUUAAGUUCUUCAUGUAGCCCAUCCAAUGGUACAUCAUCACUGCUGGAGAAAAGUUGAAAAUUUCAGAUAUAUAAAAAACAUUAGCAAUAACUGUACACCCUCCAAGACAUAAAAAAAAGUUAAUCAUAUGAAGCAAAAUUAUAUUUUCUUAAAAAAUGGUAAUACACUUCAUUAUUAAACUUUUUAUAUCCCCGAAAUAUUUAAUCUCCCUUUACUUUCAAAGUAAAUAGAUCCAGAUCCUCCAAUACAGUUGGAUAUGCCAAUUACAAGUUAUAAUGAUAUCUCAAAAGCUUGGAAAUGUAUUCAUAGCUAAAGCUCAUUAUAAAUGAACAUAGACAAAUUAAAUGCACAAGCUACAGAAUAUAAAAGUUCAAUUUGGAAAAGUCAUAAACAAACCCAUGUUAAACAAACAAAAAAAAAAGUGCUCUUAAGCUUUUGUUUCCUCAAAUAAUAUGUAAAAAAGUCUAUUAUUUUGGCAUUACUAAAGCCAAACCUUUCCACUUUCAUAUUCUUUCUGAUGUCAAAUGCAAUCUUAGUUACACACAGUGCCAUUUUUGACUGCCUUAAAUUACCAAUAAGGAAAAUUAGAGCAAGAUCUGAAUUCCAGAGAGAAAAGAUGUCAGACCUACUAGAAUCCUCAUCUAAGGAAAAAUAAUCAGUAAAUAAUUGUUGGUCAGAUCCCUGCUUAAAAUCCUGCAUCUCACUGUUAUAGUCACCCUGAAUCCAUGCCUACAUAAAAUUCAGACAGAGAUAAAGAAAUAGUGCAAGUAAUUGGAACUAGAAUUUUAGCUCUAACAAUAUAAUUAUGAUCAGAAACAGUGAGAUUGCUAACAUAUUAACUACUCAAAAAGAAGUGGCAUAGAUUGUCAUUGUUAAAAACUCUUAUUAUGUUUUUCUUGUGUUAAUGUACAAUUCUUCACCUGUUCUCUUUGUUUGUUGCUUUUUCAGCUCCUGGCUUCUUUGACAGAGAAUAGGAAAUGAAGUUCAAGAGAGCAGGCAGAGCAUUCUGAGCUAUCGAUCAUAAAGGGUUUAAUGCAUCAGAUAUACCCAGAAGCACUCCUCUCUUUUCUCCUUAUAUCUCCCUUUCUCAUACAAAUAAAGUCUUUUUAACCCCUAAUGCCGCUACAGCAUUUAGAAAUAGGCACUAGAGUUUUCAUUGCUAACUACUUUUGCAAAGAGAAAUAUAAUUAUAACAAGAAUGACCAGAUACUUCGGGAGGGAAACAAAAUCAUCAAGAAAUUGUAUAGACAACUUUCUGAAAGGUUUUUAACACCCUGUACAAAUACAGCAUUUACAAAUAGGCAGUAGAGGCACUCCCUAUCAUGGUUAACUACUUUUGCAGUAAGAAGUAUAAUUAGAACCAGAUAAGUCAGACACUUCAUGAGGAGGGUUCUUACCAUUCUUGAUCAUCCUACUUUUCUUAUUUACCAAGGCCACAUGUAAAUUUACCUUCUGACAGAUCCAUAUCAUACUGAAAAAGAAAAAGGAAUCAUUAAUAUCAUCAUAUAAACCUACUUUUGCAUACGAAUAAGCACGAUUAGACGAAGGAUGGAUAAGGUGGUCGAGGAAAGAAACAGAGCCAUCAAGAAACUGUAGAGGGAAAAGGGAGAAAGGAGGAGAAUGCUUACCGUUAUUGAUCAUCUUACACGUCUUAUUCAAACUAUAAAUAUCAAAAAUCCUAGUUUUCUUGUUGAUCAAGGUGACACCAACAUUUAACAUUCGAAGAGACCUAAUUUCACAUCAAGCAAGGAAAGUAAAAUAUUAAUAUCAUAUAAACCCACUUUCGCAAAAGAAUAAGCAAUACUAGAUCAAGGAUGGAGGAUUCUUACCGUUCUUGAUCAUCUUACACGUCUUUUUCAAACUAGGAAUCAGCAAAAAUCCUAGUUUUCUCGUUGAUCAAGGUGACGCCAACAUUUAACAUUCAAUGAGACCUAAUAUCACAUCAAGCAAGGAAAGUAAAAUAUUAAUAUCAUAUAAACCCACUUUCGCAAAAGAAUAAGCAAUACUAGAUCAAGGAUGGAGGAUUCUUACUGUUCUUGAUCAUCUUACACGUCUUUUUCAAACUAGGAAUCAGCAAAAAUCCUAGUUUUCUUGUUGAUCGAGGUGACGCCAACAUUUAACAUUCAAUGAGACCUCAUAUCACAUUGAACAAGAAAAGGACGAGAUUAGUCUCAUAUAAACCUACUUUCGAAGAACGAAGAAGCACGAUUCGGUCAAAGGUGAAUCGAAUAGCUGAGCAGGAAAUUGCAGAGGGAAACGGAAGAGAGGGGAGAGGAAUCGUACCAUUAGGGAUUAGAGCGAGCUAGGGUUUGGAGAUUGGAAUGGCGCCUCUAGUGGCGAAAUCGCGGAUCUAUGCGAAGAAGAGAGAGAGAGAGAGAGAGAGAGAGAGAGCCGAUCCUUUCACUCUGCUCCGUUCGACGAGAAAUUUGCGGGACACGGGAUGCUUCGAUGCGUAUUUAUUGGGCAAGAAUCGGACCGUUGGAUUGUGAACGUUUCGAAAAGCUGCGGUGACGUUACCGCCAUGGAGACGGGUUUAAUUGGAUCAGCACUUUAAAUGAAGAAAAAAAAAAUAAUUGUUUACAAAUUACAAUAUGAAAAUUUUUAAAACCUUUAUUUAGCUCCAAACAACUAAUAGUCCAUUUGCUUGCGAUGAAUGCGCAGUUAAAAUCACAAUUCCUAUAAAGUUGCUAAUACAUAUGUUUGUUACGUCACUAGAUACGCCACUAGAUUUACUAAAUUUGUCGAAUUCGUACUCACAAACAUAUAGACUUUUUUUUUUGAGAGAUAGGUAGCACGCUACUCUCUUCGUUUAUUUCAUUAGAAAUAAACUUAGCUGAAAAUGUGAAUCAAUUAUGAUUCAAAUUUGAGACAUCGGAUAUCAACUACCAAGCCCUUUCUUUUGCUUUAGGGACAAUUGCUCUAGAGAUGGUCGGUCACAAACAUAUAGACUUUAGUUCUUCAUCGUAGUUGAGUGGGGCACAGAGUCAAUCAAUUAGGAUUCAAAUUUGAGACCUCGGAUAUCAACUACCAAGCCCUUUCUUUUGCUUUAGGGACAAUUGCUCUCGAGAUGGUCGGUCACAAACAUAUAGACUUUAGUUCUUCAUUGUAGUUGAGUGGGGCACAGAGUCAAUCAAUUAGGAUUCAAAUUUGAGACAUCGGAUAUCAACUACCAAGCCCUUUCUUUUGCAUUAGGAACAAUUGCUCUAGAAAUGGUCGGUCACAAACAUAUAGACUUUAGUUCUUCAUUGUAGUUGAGUGGGGCACAGAGUCAACUUUGUGCAACUCACGAAUCUGAAUCGCUCUCAUCUUUACACUUCCAAACAGUUUCUUCUAAGUACUACUACCAAAAAAUGUUUGGACUUCUUACUUCGACACUAUGAAAUGACAUAUUCACAUAUAUGAUCUCGUCAUGUCUCGGGGCUUGAAUUGAAACAUUUUUGUUGGUGUGCAUAAGACGUUCUCUCUCAAACACACAAAAUGAACACAAUAAUAAAAACUCAUACAAACAAUAAGAGUUUCAUACACCGACCGUCCCUAGAGUAAGUGGCAAAGGGCUUAGUGGUUGGUAUCCGAGACCCAAGUUCGAAUCCUAGUUGAUUCACAUUUCCAGCUAAGUUUAUUUCUAAAUGAAAUAAACGAAAUGAGUAGCGUGCUACCUAUCUCUAAAAAAAAAAAAAGAGUUUCAUACGAGUUGGAGUAUCAAAAUAUAGAUCUAGUAUUCUAUUACUUUUUUUUUUUUUGAAAUAAAGGUAGCAUGCUAUCCGUUUUGUUUAUUUUUUUUGAAAAUAAACUUUAAUAGAAAUGUGAAUUCAAACUUGAUAUCUCAAGUAUCAACCACCAAACCCUUUUAACUCAUGUUUUGAGAGACGAUGAAAACAUCCAAUUUUGGUCAGAUAGUUGGGUACGUAGGAGACGCCCCCCCUCAGAUCUUUGUUCCUACAUAUCUUCAAUGGGAUUCGAAACAAGAAUAUACGAAUUUUCAAUUGCUGCGGAAGAAGGGGUUGGAGAUGGCGUGUCAUUCUCCGAGGCUUUGAAAUUUCUACAACUUACAAUAGAUAAAAGCCCCACCAAUUAAUGGAAUUACUUGGGAAUGAGUGCCUGUCGAGCGAUUGGAAUGAGGUGCACCGGAGGUGGACUGCUAAUCACCUCUUCUCUGUCAAGUAAUCUUACAACUUUAUCACUGACGGUGGGAGCAAAGAUCAUCUUAGUUUCCGAAUUUGGAAGUUUAAAAUUAAUGCCACUUAAAAUCAAAGUCUUUGCUUCGUUGGUGCUAAGAAAAAGAGUCCUCUCUGCAGACAUUCUUCAUAAACGCGGUAGGAUAGAUGAACAACUAUGCAUGUUCAGUGCAAUGAACUUGAAACGUGUGUUCAUCUUUUCUCUGGAUGCAUAUUCGUUAGAUAUUUGAUCUUUUGCUUAAAUAACGGGCUCCCAAACUUCCAAGCUUCGUUGGACAGCAGAGGAAUGUGGGCAGCUUCUAGAUUUCCGCGAUAAACAGAUGCGUCUCAAAAGAGUUACACUUCUGUCUGCUCUCUAGUGGUCGAUCUAGAUUGAAUGGAAUAACAUAAUCUUCUGAGACAAGGUUAGCAAUUCGGCUUUCCUGCUUCAGAUAUCAGUCAAUCUUUGAGCUCGUGGGAGGUGAUUUGUUGAGUUGCUAUUUCUUCUUUUUUUUUUUUUGGUAUUUGUAUUUGUAUUUUAUUUUAUUUUACUUUUAUUUUUAUUUUUUAGAGGCUCUGGCUGCCUUCAUCACCGAUGCUAAAUUUUUUUUCUCUUAGUGAAUGAAACAUAUAGCUUACUACUUUUUUUUCAAAAAAAAAAAAGACGGUAUUCUAUUACAAUUAUAAAACUCAAAUGAGCUAUUAUAAGUUUAGUUCCAUGAUAAAUUUUUUUAAAUAUCAAGGUUAAUUCCACAAAAGGUUCCACUGAUCUAGCUACCUAAUCUUCAUAAAUUUUAAUUUUACUAUCUAAUCCUUUAAGUAUUUGACUUGAGCUUAUUAAUGACCCCUUUUAACUUUAAAAUUUGAAUGUUUUGUUUAUCUUUACAGAUUUAAUUAGUAUAUUUUGUGCAGUUUAGGUAACUAUAAAUAAAGUAGGACUUGUUGUUCCUAAGCCGUUUUCGAUGAUUAAACUUUCGAAUCGACGAUCAGCUCUGUUAGAUUUGAUCUAGCAUAUCUGUAGUAUGUAGAAAAUAAAUUUUGCGAUUUUUUGAUAUUAUUUACUUAAUGAUUGAAAGGGUUCAAAAUCAAUAAUUUUUAAUAGUUGGUGUGUGUCUUUUGCAAGUUUAAUGGUGUAUAAGUAUUUAAAUCAGAUGAAAUUUUGAUAGAAAGUUCUUUAUACUAUCUACAAUGAAAUUAAUAUCUCUAAUUGAAAAUUUUAGUACUAUAUCAUAACGUUGUGAGAUUUUUAUUUUCAACCGUUAAUUUUAAGUCAUUUUGAUUACUAGAUAAAUGAUAUCAAAAAACCACAAUUUAUUUUCUACAUACUUCAAAUACGCUAGGUCAAGUUUAACGGAAUCGAUCGUCGAUUCAGAAAUUCUAUUAUCGAAAACGGCUUAGGAGCACGAAGGCCUACUCACUAUAAAUAUAUAAAAGUAAGUAGUUAGUUUAAAUCUUGUAUCAAAAAAGUCACCAAAUGACAUAAACCAAAUAAAUUAAAAAAUUAGAUACUAGAAUAAAAUUUUAAUAAAUUAAAUAAUCGAAUCAAAAUAAUAUAUACUUUUUUUUUGAAAAAAAAAAAAUAGCACACUAUCUGCUUCAUUCAUUAAAAAUAUGAACUAGACUACAUGGAUGAGGCAAGCUGGGCCUCGAGAGAUAUAUACUUUAAUGUUCACACAAGUAAGUUCUAUACAUUUAGACAUAUUACUUGAUGUAACAAAGUGUAUAGCACAUGAAAAAGAGAGCACAAAUUUUUUUUACUAUUCCAAAUGUAGGAAUAUCUGCGCAUAGAAAUAGUUCCGCCGCUCAUCAGCAAGAGAGUAAAAUCCUCGCCGUCCGCUCAUCAGCAAGAGAGGUGAAAAAUAUUUUUCCAUUCGCCUCGGCGUAUAAAAAUAUUUUUAUAAAUUUGAAGAAAAAUUAAAAUUUUUACUUUCCCUUGUAUUUCAGUAAAAAAUGAAAAAAAUCAAACUGCGUAAAAUUUUUUCAUUUAUUUUUUUUCACGGAUCCAAAUAAAUAUAUAUAUAUAUUUUUUCAACCAAACAAUAUUUGAUAAAAAGCUUUUUUUUUUUUUACGAAUCAAACACUACAAAACCUUAAAAAAAAAAAAAAUCGACGUAUAUACAAGCAAGAUCGUACGCAAAAAAGAAAAAGAAAAAGAAAAUUCUGCAUGCACGCAGGUAGAGAUGUCAACGGGUAGGAUUCGGGACGAAUUUUUAAAAAUCCGAACCCGAAUGCGACUCCAAACCCGAGACCCGAAUCCGACCGAUUUUAAAAAUCAAUAUCCAAAUCCGAACCCGACCAAAAAUCCGAAAUCCGAACCCGAACCCGAACCCGAAAAUUUAAAUCCCAAACAAUUAUUUCUUUUUUCAAUAUUUUAAAAUAUAUUAUAUUAAAUCUAAAUUUUUAAAAUACAAAUUCAAAUAUAACAUCAAAUUUUUUAUAUAUAUAUUAUAUAUAAUACAAAAUAAAUUCAGAUUCGGGUCGGGUUCGGGCCGGGAUCGGCUUCGGGUCAGGUACAAUCAAAAUCCAUAUUCAAAUCCAUAUCCAUCGGUUUCUAUUUUUUAUAUCCAUAUCCGAAUCCAUAUCUAUAUCUAUCGGAUAUAUCCAUUCCAUUCGAGUUCGGAUUUUGAUAAAAUUUCGGGUAUCCAUACACAUUGAACAUCCCUACAUGCAGGAUCGGUCGUACGCCAAAAAAAAAAAAAAAAAAAGAAAAAGAAAAAGAAAAAGAAAGUAAAAUACGAAAACCUCCUCUUUCCAUAAAGUGCUUUUAAUUGCUUGAUUAGUGUGGGCUAGUACAACAGCUUUUUCCGUCCCGAAAAUACAAAGAAAAAAGCUUCAUCUUCUUCAAUCCGAUCAAGUCACUCAGCCGAAAGAAAAUUUUUCAAUUUUUUUUUUUUUUUUUUCAUUUCCCCGGAUUCUCACUCUCUCUAAACCAUGUUAUCCUGCUUCCUUGAUCUUUGUCGGAUCUUCUUCGACUGCUGCGGAGAUGAUGAGGAACAAGAACGAAGAAGCAGCUACGGCGCCGGUUACUAUUCGCCGCUGCAAAGAGAGAGUUCGCCGAAGAGAUCGCCUGCGCCCGAAGCAUAUACACAAUAUACUGCUACUUAUAGUUGGAAAGCAUCAUCGCCGCCGCGGUUGAAACCUUCUUCAUCCUCUCUUGUUUCUUCAAAGCCUUAUUCUUCUUCGUCAGAUUCUUUUCCUUCUCCGUCUCCGGCGAAACCUCAAUCCAAACCUUCUUCAUCGUCUCUUGUUUCGUCGAAGGCUUCUUCUUCAUCAUCAUCAUCAUCAUCAUCUUCCUCCUUCUUAACUCCUUCCUUUACAGCUUCAUUUGCUUCUUCGUCUCCGGCGAAACCUCAAUCUCCUCACGCCGCAUCGGCCGGUGCAAAAACUUCGCAGCUGGCAAAACCUUCUUCAUCCUCUGUUGUUUCGUCGAAGGCUUCUUUUCCAUCAUCAUCUCCCCCCUCCUUAACUCGUUCUUCAACGGUUUCUUCUGUUCCUCCAUCUCCGGCGAAAGCUCAACCUCCUCAUGCUGCAUCUGCUGGUGCAAAAGCUUCGCAGAUAUCGAAACCUUAUUCUUCGCCCUCUCUUGCAGAAACUUCUUCUGCAUCAUCUAUCUUUUUAACUCCUUCCUUAACAGCUUAUUUUGCUUCUCUGUCUCUGGCAAAAACGCAAUCUCCUCACGCCACAUCGGCCAGUGCAAAAACUUCGCCGCUGUUAAAACCUCCUUCGUCCUCUGUUGUUUCGUCGAAGGCUUCUUCUUCGUCGUCAGCUUCCUCUUCCGUAACUCCUUUACCAGCUUCUUCUGCUCCUCCAUCUCCGGCAAAAGCUCGGCCUCCUCAUGCCACAUCUGCUGGUGCAAAAGCUUCGCGGCUAUCGGAACCUAAUUCUUCGCCUUCUCUUGUUUCGUCUAAGGCUUCUUCUUCAUCAUCUUCCUCCUUAACUCCUUCUUCAACAGCUUCUUUUGCUCCUCCUCCUCCAGUAAAAGCUCAAUCUCCUCAUGCCUCAUCAACUGGUCCAAAAGCUUCGCUGCAGUGGAAACCUGUUCCAUCGAAGGCUUCUUCUUCGUCAUUUUCCUUCUUAGCUCCUUCUUCAACAGCUUCCUUUGCUUCGCCAUCUCCGGCAAAAGCUCAGCCUCCUCAUGCCACAUCAGCUGGUGCAAAAGCUUCGCAGCUAUCGGAACCUUCCUUGCCCUCUCUUGUUUCGUCUAAGGCUCUUCCUUCCCCAGUAAAAGCUCAAUCUCCUCAUGCCGCAUCGGCUGGUCCAAUAGCUUCGCUGCAGUGGAAACCUGUUUCAUCGAAGGCUUCUUCUUCGUCAUUUUCCUUCUUAGCUCCUUCUUCAACAGCUUCCUUUGCUUCGCCAUCUCCGGCAAAAGCUCAGCCUCCUCAUGCCACAUCAGCUGGUGCAAAAGCUUCGCAGCUAUCGGAACCUUCUUUGCCCUCUCUCGUUUUGUCUAAAGCUGCUUCUUCAUCAUCUUCCUCCUUAACUCCCUCUUCAACAGCUUCUUCUGCUUCUCCAUCUCCAGCAAAAGCUCAGUCUCCUCACGCCGCAUCAGGCAGUGGAUCUCCUGCAAGAGCUUGGCCGCUAGCAGAACCUUCUUCGCCCUCUUCUGUUUCGUCGAAGGCUUCUUCUUCGUCAUCUUCCUCCUUACCUCCUUUAACGGCUUCUUUUGCUUCGCCCCAAUUUGAGCAGCGGAAUAAGAUCAGUCAGCUCCCCCGGUACGAGAUACCGAAGCAUCUGCGGGAGCAGAUCAAGAAUGAUGUCGUGCCCCAAGUGCUCAAAAGGCCCUUAUCCCCAUCAACUUAUGCUGAUUACUUUGCCGCUCUGCUUUAUGCAGAGGACUACUAUUCUGAGGUACUCUUCUCACAUUUUGUUAUUCUAACUACUUCCAGAAUAACAACAUGAGUUGGCUAGGCGAGCAUAAGUUCGUAUUUUGACAUUUAGCAAAGUAAUUGCAAUAUGAACUAUGGCAAAGCAACUCUCUUUGUUGUUGUUGUUGUUGUUGUUGGAGAAAAGAAUCUAUCACUCUGGUCCCUUGGAGGGCCUGUAUGGAAUAGAGCUUCGAUUUGUCCAGCAACCAAUUUUGGUUCCCUUUCGAUCAUCACAGGUCUCGAAACUCGAGGCAAGUAAUUUAUCAUUUUCUCUGGUGUUAUAGUACGCGAAAUACUAGAAUUCAUUGUGUAGCAGAACAUUUUAAAAGCGACAAAACGAACAAAGAGACGCUAUUGUGUUGUAUGUUUACGUCUUGAGCUGAUUCCGAACAUGUCCCAGAGUUUUGCACAGUAUCAGUGUUUCAGAAGCUAACAGAAAUUUUAGCUGCCUUUCAACUCCAUCUUCAUAACCAUAAUCUCGCAACCCUUUCAUGGCCUUCCUCGUUAUCUGUAGCUGCAAGUGAUUAUUCAUAACUAGUAUAAGUCGGAGAAACUGAUCAACAAAGACAAAUAAUUGUAACUUCAAUAGUAUAAUAUCAACAUUGGUUCUUUAUAACAGCAUUGCAGUAUGCAUGUGUACUGAACUGUUCUCCUAACCAAAUGCUGUAAUCUAUGUCCUGUCACUAUGCUUUUCAUAGGAAUUUCAGUUUCAGUUUGCUCUCUCUUUAUGCUCUUAAGCAGUCUCGUGUUUCAUUAGUUCCAAAUUAAUAUUCCCUUCCGAAUUUAACUACGUAGUUUGCUUUUCAACAGAAAUGGAGCGACUUUAUUUUGCAUGAUGUCAUGCUGGAAUUGCGUAAAAAGGACAGCUUCAAGAUUCAGAACUCAGCUGGAGGCAACAAGAACAACAAAAGUAAUGCUCAGAAGGAUAAGCCUUUUGUAGCUUUCGAGAUUGAUUCAGUUCCUGAGAAGCGGCCGUACCUCAUAUCAAGGGAUCAUGUCCUCGUGCGACCCGCUGGGAAGCAAAUUGAGCCCUUUCAGGUGUGUGUCAAUGGAUCUUCUUCUUCUUAUGCUUAUUCAUCUUAUUAUUCUUCUUCUUUUGCUUGGCCCCCUGUGCUCAUACUGUGGGUGUUCCCAAUUUAGUAAUUUGGUUUAUUGUACCUGCAUCAAUCAUCAACAGAUUAGGAGAUGAAGUUUCAAUUUUCAUUUAAUCAUUUGCUCAAUUUUCAUUUAGUCAACUUUUAGGAGCCUUUGAAGAGUAGACCAGAUAAUUCUUGUUUCAACCAUCACCUAGAUAACUAUAUACAUGUUUCAAUUUCCUUAAGAAGGUUAUGUAGUUGCUAGCUUUUGCAAGAAACGCGCUGCUACGUGAGAUGGUCGAAUGUCGUGUGUCCUCAAAUUUCUAUUUCCUCCCGAUUUUUUUUAAGAAUCGGGAGCUUAUUCUCCGACGAUCCCCUCACCAUCUUUCUUUCUUGUGUCAUGGUUUGGACCCACCUGAAACGCUUUUGCAGAGUCUUAUUUAGAGUUUGAUGCAGUUUAUGAUAAAAUGCCGAUACACAGCGAAUUUGACAGAUGAACUUUUGCACCAUUACCAGGGAAUCUUCUUCCGGGUCGAAAAGAGCAAAUGGGUGUUAGCCGAAUUCGGAGACAAUUUCCACAAGCAACACUCGCCCUCGAAGAAGUACGACGUUAGCUUCUCCUUCAACCGGGUUUGCUUGAAGCGAUGUCACCACGCGGUUUCGGCUGCAAUGGAUCCUUUCCUCUGCAGCAUCCUUUUCCCCGACCCACCCCAUAAAACAUUCCUUGGACCCAUCCAUGAUUUCAACUUCACCCAGAAUGACCGAGAAAGUGCCGUGAUUGCGAUAAUAAGCCAUAUUAUAAAUCUACGAAGUCCUGAACCUUAUCUUCUCGAGGGGCCUCUUUCAGAAACGCCAUCAGGCAAUCUCUCUGAAAUGGGGAAUGUGAUUCACUCAGCUAUUCUGCAGCUCUACAGAACCUGCACCAGCAGUAAAAUCCUUGUAUGUGCUCCGAGAAACCGGACAUUGGAUGCGCUAACAAAAAGCCUGCUGGAGGACAUCCCAGAAUCGAGAAUUUUCCGUGCCAAUGCAGCCUUUCGAGAGUACAAUCUCGUCCCGGAUGACAUUAUGCCGGUGUGCUCAUUUGAGGAGGAGUGCUUCACUUGUCCACCUCUAGCUGAGCUUGAGAACUUCAGGGUUGUUACCUCUACCUUCAUCAGUACAUUUAGGCUGAAAGCUGCUGGAAUUGGUGCUGAUCAUUUCAGUCAUAUCUUUCUCGUCGACGCCUCUUCUUCUACGGAGCCUGAGACUGUUGUGGCUCUCGCGAAUCUCGUGGGCAAGACUACUGCUGUCAUGGUGACAGGGUCACUACUCAAUAUGCCGAAGUGCGUGAGAUCGGAUAUGGCGAGGAGAAAUGGAUUGAAGAAGUCGUUCUUUCAGAGGCUUCGUGAGAUGGAGCCCUACUGUCUGGAUGAUCCUAUGUGUAUCACCCAUGUUUAUGGUGAUGAUAAACGAAAUGAUGGAACUAUGAUACUUCCAUCAAUGGAUACUAAUGGAUUCGAGUACUAAGUGCACGGCGAUCGUGAUUCUUCUGGUACUAGGUAUAGUGGAGUGGCCUGUACAGAUAUAUCGCAGAAAACAGUUGCUGCAGUUACUGUAUAUGUUUGUGGUUCAUGCUGAAUAAUAAAUAAACUGGUGCGUAUCUAAUAAUAACUUACUCCCUAUGAUGAUUAUUUCAUGUGACUGAAAACUAGUAGUUUCAUUUUUGCCUCUUGGAAGAUCUUAGCAUUCAUAAUUUGGUAGAAUAGAGACAUUCAACUCGCACUCAUCUAGCCGUCUAUUAAAUCUUAUGUUCUUUUUUAAUAAAUCAAAAAGAUAUGUCAAAUAAAAUAUUCAUACAUUCAAACAGGGAUCGAAGUCUCAAUAUAUAGUAAAUAUUCUAGGAUAGAUUGCACAAGUGAUUUUUGAGCUUUUUAAGAGAUUGCCCCAAAAUUUUCCCGAGGUAUCAGGUUGUUGCAGAACCUUCCAAUUGUUAUACAAUUGGACCAAUAAUCUUUGCAUUCCUGCUCCUAGCAGAUUUUUGGGCAUCUUAGUCUAGUUUUUAUAGGAAAUGAAAAAGUUAGGGAUCAGAUUAUGAAUGUUCAAGAUCCCUUGGUCAAUUUAUGCCUCUCUUAAAUUUAAUGCUUAUAUAUUUGACACAUUUCAUUGAUUUCAACAACCUCAGAAUGAGUAAUCGUCACCUGCACUAGUAUAAAAUGAUGAACCUCUUCAAGCAAAAACAACAUGUACAUGACACUCAAUGCAACACGAAACUAUGAUUCAAAGAAUAACCAUUUUGAGCGUAACUGAAGCUACUGAUCGGGCUUUAAAUUGCAUGCGUGUCAACGGAACCAUCUCAGUACAUUUAUCACAUCAAAAGACAAAAGCAGAUCUCACUAUAUUUAUCGCAUCAAAAGACACAAGCAGCUGAACUUCCUAAUUGGCCAAGUAGUACAGCGCAAAUGCAUAAGCAUUUGGCAUAUUUAAAGUUAUGAAUAAGCUGACAACGGUACUUUUUGCGCUCAUGAACUCCUGGAGGCUUGCCUGAGUUUUGCUUGUAAUACUAGUCCGGCUUCAUCUGCUAUGCUUUUCUUUUUCGAAGCCAUCUGCAUUCAACAUCGUAGAAGUUACACAGUAGCAUAUUAGAGAAAAAUGUUCAUAAUAAUCUGAAGUUGUUCUUGCCUAUAAUGUCGAAAAUAAGUUAGCCAAUAAACACCACUAGGUGACACUAUUUCACCGAACCUUCUUUAAAGUAGAACUUCACACCUGAGCUUCCAUGGGUAAUACAGAAAUAGCAACUAAUGAAAACUGCACUGACGACAUAUAUGAUAACCAACAAAUGAUAAGUACACCCCCUAAAAGCAAAAAUACAGGUGUUUUCUUUUCUCCCUACCAAAGAACAGUUUCCAUUGGCGGUUUAGUUGUUUGCUUUAUAUUGUCCUCGCCUUCCCUUAAGUGAGCUUACACAUGACAAAAAAUGAGUUCAAGUGAUAUUCCCUCUUGAUUGGCAUUCUACAGGUAUAUUAUUGCCAGUUCAGAGAUGUAUAAUCAUGUGUACAGAGUAAGAACGGUUAAAAAUGAAAUAACAAGCAAAUUCUACAUAAAAUGCACUUAAACCAAAGAUAAAAUUAUGUUCCACGUUGCAAGAAGACAAAUCCUUUGACAGCCAAUAGAAAUUACUGCAGGAAAUGAAAAAUUGAAUAGGCAAAGAUAUAUUAGGCAUGAGAUGUUUUUUUUGGGAUUUCCAAUUGAUGUUGUCAAUCUGUAUGAAAAUACUCAUUACUGCACAUACAGCAUUCUAUGCCUAUUCAAAGAUGAAUAACUAAAUACUUGAUACAUCAUAAGGGUCUUCUUGUUGACAAAAAGAUAUGCAUGUCUCUCUAAACUAUUAAGUAUGGAUUAUGCAAUAAAACAAUCCAAUGAAAAGCUGGUGAUUUUUUCAGUGAGCAAAUAUGAGCCAUAAAAAGUAUGCCUCAAAAAGCACAAUAUACAAUAUAUCAUCACUUACCUCAACAAGCUCAUCAAAAUUAGACUUCAAUAAAUUGAUUUUCCGCUCAAAAUAAUCUUUGCCUUCGGCCAUGCUUUUCAUACAUAUCUUUUUAUACAGCAUUCUGCAUUGAUAAGAUAGGUAAUUAACCUUACAGAUCAUGCAAUACAGGUAUUCCAAAUCAAAGACAUAAACAUUUCAGGUAUUAAAACAAAAAUGACAUUGACGUCCUUUACAAUGGUAUGGAGGGAUCAAUUCAUGAAAGGACAAACAGUUAUCUCAUAAGACUGGAGAACAGGGUAUUGUAAAUUAUGCAUUUAUCCAAAUCAACCAAGCAUUUGCAAAACUAAAAUUCAAGCAGUGAUAGCCCAGAGAACAUCUAACCAUAUAAUUAACUAACAAAUUUCACAAGAAAAUUAACAAUUCGAUAAGCCCCAACCAAUCAUAGUCGAUAGUUCACAACAAACACAAACACUUUUGCAGGACUUAUUCAUGACAACAUAACAAAAGAAUGGAUUAGAAACCGCAAAAACCAAAUAACAUUUUCCUAAAGAGAGCUUCAUCUGUUUAACUUCAGCUAACUUAUUUCUCAUUUCAAUCUUUCCUAGAAAGCUUGAUUUAGUUAAAAAGAAACUCGCUAAUUAUCUGAUGUUAGUAUGCUACUAUGCCAACCAUUCUUUUAUUGAGGUCUUUUGCACCAAAUCAAAAUUUUUGCGCCAAAUUUAGUCGCCUGCACCAAAUGAUACACAAAAAAACAGAUCUUUUGCAUCAAAUCAAGCCCACAGUCAAACAAAAGUUGGUGCCUUUUCUUACAGCAAAUUAAAACACCAUGAUUAGGCUUUUUGCACCAAAUCAAAAUCUGUGCGCCAAAUUUAGUUGCUUGCACCAAAUGAUACUUAUAUAAAGCAGAUUUUUUUCCACAUCAAAUCAAGCAACAAAACUUAGCAGAGCCUUUCGGGUUUCCACAACCGCAAGAUGAAAACUUUGGGGGGUACUACUGGCACCAGGAUCUUCUUCCCUCAAAACCAACAACACAUUAGGGUUCCAUCUAGGGUUUCGACCGAAGGGGGAAUCAUUAAUAUCAUUACUAUCGGUGCAUUUACCUUCUGACAGAUCAAAGGCAUACUGAAAAAGAAAAAGGAAUCAUUAAUAUCAUAUAAACCUACUUUUGCAACAAAUAAGCAUGAUUAGAUGAAGGAUGAAUCAGGUGGUCGAGGAAGGAAACGGAGCCAUCAAGAACCUGUAGAGGGAAAAGGGAGAAAGGAGGAGGAUGCUUACCAUUGUUGAUCAUCUUACACGUCUUAUUCAAACUAUAAAUUAGCAAAAAUCCUAGUUUUCUUGUUGAUCAAGGUGACGCCAACAUUUAACAUUCGAAGAGGCCUAAUUUCACAUCAAGCAAGAAAAGAUUAACUAAUAUCAUAUAAACCCACUUUCACAAACGAAUAAGCAAUAUUAGAUCAAGUAUGGAGGAUUCUUACCGUUCUCCAUCAUUUUACACGUCUUAUUGAAACUAGGAAUCAGCAAAAAUCCUAGUUUUCUUGUCGAUCAAGGUCACGCGAACAUUCAACAUUCGAUGAGACCUCAUAUCACAUUGAACAAGAAAAUGGCAAGAUUAAUAUCAUAUAAGCCAACUUCCGCAGAACGAAGAGGCGCAAUUGGGUCAAAGAUGAAUCGAAUAGCUGAGCGACAAAUUGAAGAGGGAAACGGGACGGGGUUUGGAGAGGAAACGUACCAUUAGGGAUUAGAGCAAGCUAGGGUUUGGAGAUUGGAAUGGCGCCUCUAAUGGCGAAAUCGCGAUCUAUUCGAAGAAGAGAGAGAGAGAGAGAGAGAGAGAGAGAGAGAGAGAGAGCAAGCACCGACCCUUCUCUCUGCUCCGUUCAACGAGAAAUUUGCGGGAAAUGGGAUGCAUUGAUGCGUAUUUAUAGGGCCAGGAUCGGACCGUUGGGUUGUUAACGUUUCGAAAAGCUGCGGUGAGGUUUCCGCCACUGCACUUGCUUCCUUCGGGAUUGCAGGUUGAAUGCGUUACAUGCAGUGAGAAAGUACGUUGAAAAAAUAUUCUAUUUAUUUUUGUAAUAUUAUGUUCUGUAUAUCGCGAUGAGUCGAUUAUAUAUAUUUUUGAUUCUAUUGGAGAAUGCAGAAAUAUAUUUCUAUAUAUUUUUUUUUCAACUCUAUUUUAUCUAAUAGUGUUAGAUAAAUCUCAAUACCAAAUUAAGUUUAAAUAAAGUUUAACGGUAUGAAAAAUUUUAAAAACUUUAUUUAGAGCCAAACAACCAAUAGUCCAUUUGCUUGCGAUGAAUGAGCAGUUAAAAUCACAAUUCCAAAAUAAAGUUGCUAAUGCAUAUGUUUGUCAGGCUACUAGAUACACCACUAUAUUUAUUAAAAUUGUCCAACUUGUACUCACAAAUAUAUAGACUUUAGUUCUUAACUUCAAAAAAUUUUAAUUUUACUGUCUAAUUUUUUUAAAGUAUUUAAUUUGAGCUCGUCAACAGCUCCUUAAUUUUAAAAUUUAAAAUACAUUAUUUAUCUUUACAAACUUAAUAAGUAUAUUUUGUCUGGUUUAUGUAACUAUAAAUUUAUAGAAGUAGUAAUUAGUCUUAAAUAUUGUAUUGAAAAAGUCACCAAAUGACAUAAAUCAACCAAAUAAAAAAAAAUUGGAUACUUUCAUUAAAAUUUUAAUAGUCUCUCGUACUCUAUCCUUCAAAUAAGUUAGGCUAAAUUAUAUAAAACCUUAUGUCAAAAUCUGAUUUUUCAUUUUCUUCUUGUCAUUUAAAAACCUACACUUUGCCCCCUUGUAAAAAAAAAAAUGUUCACUUCGUCCUCUGCCAUUAGUAAUCCGUUAGGAUUCUGUUUAUAAACUAUUAUUAUAUAUUUUUUUAUGUCAAAAAUGUCCUCAGCCUUCUUUUUUGUAAACAUGAUGAGGGUCAAAAUAGUGAGGGACAAAAUGAUCAUUUUAUCAUCACAAUUCAUACCGUACUCUUCUGUGAAUAUUUUUAUUUUAUAAGAAGGAAAAGUGUAGAUUUUUAAAUAACUAGAGAAAAAAUAAAAAAUCGAGUUUUGACAGAAAAAUUUUCUGUAAUUUAGAAAAUAAGUAAUAUAUAUUUUUACUAAUUGAGUGGAUGCGUUAACCAUGCAUGUACAUGAAAAGGAGAGCCCGGCGUAGGAUGCGUUAAAACUACAAAAGCCUUCUCUUUUGGUAAAGGACUAGUGCAGGUACUUUUCCCCCGGAAAACCAAAGGAAAGCUUCGUCUUACUGCGAUCUGGUGAUGAACUCACUCAGCUGAAAGUUAUUAAAAGAAAAAAAAGGUCCAUUUUCUCCAAUUCGAAACCAUGAUAUCCGGCUUCCUUGAUUUCUGUCGGCGCUUGUUGGGAGGGCAAGAUGAAGAGAAUCAAGAGGGGGGCCGCCAUGGAUUCGAACGACGAAGCAGCUCCGGCGGUAACUCUUCGCCGCUGCAAAGAGAGAGUUCGCAGAGGAGAUCACCGGUGCCGGACGCUUCCUUUGCUUCUCCGUCUCCGGCGAGAGCUCAGCCUCCUCAUGCCGCAUCGGCCGGUGCAAAAGCUUCGCCGCAAUUAGAACCUCCUUCAUUUCAUCCUCUCUUGUUUCUUCGAAGCCUUAUUCUCCUUCCUCAUCUUCUUCAUCCUGCUUAACUCCUCCUUUAUGUACAGCUCCUUUUGCUUCUCCGUCUCCGGCAAAAGCUCAGCCUCCUCGUGCCGCAUCUUCUGCUCCUCCAUCAACAGCUUCUUUUUGUUCGCCGUCGAAGGUUUCUGUGGAUAAUUUGCCGCUGUUCGCUAGCGAGAAGUCGUCGGAACCGCCCCAGUUUGAUCAGCGGAAUAAGAUCGGUCAGCUCCCGCGGUACGAGAUCCCGGAGCAUCUGCAGGAGCAGAUCAAGAACGAUGCCGUGCCCCAGGUGCUCAAAAGGCCCUUAUCGCCAUCCACUUAUGCUGAUUACUUUGCCGCUCUGCUUUACGCAGAGGACUACUACUGUGAGGUACUCUUAUCAUAUUUCAUUGUCCUAACUACUUCCGAAUAUCAUGUGAUCUUUAGCGAAUGCAACUCUGCUUGCUGUUGUUGGAUAUUCCUUUCGAGGGCGUAUUUUGAAAGCUUUUUUGUUAAGACUCGCGAUUUGUCGAACAACUUGGAUUUUGCAACUAGGAGCGUCACGGUUCAGACUGAAGAUUCUGCUCGUAGGGCCACCGAAAUCUCAUCUAGGUUUCCUACUGUCGUGUGUCCUCGAUUGGCGCUGCCGAUGAUACUUCAAUUGUCGACUUUAGUAUUGAGCGAAAGGUUUACACCUAUAGGUUCUGUAUUGCAGGUCGAUCCUGCUACACACUAGUAUUCCCGGAAGUUCUAGACAUUGGUGUUGAUCUUUCGCUUCUUGAGUAGGGAGAAGCUUAAUUCAGAGCGACCAUACAACUCCUCCUUCAUAACGAUUAUCUUGCGACCCUUGGUGGAUUCAUCCCCUUAUCGUUAGUUGCAGCUGCAAUCAAAUAUUCAUACCGAGUGUGAGUUAGAUCGACAGAGAUUUAGAUACUUCUAAUAUCUUUAAUAGUAUCUCGACAUUGACUCCUCAUAACAGCAUUACAAUAGGUAAUCUAUAUCCUAUCACUUUGCUCUUUAUAGGAGUUCCAGUUUCAGUUUUCUUUCUCUCUUUACGCUCUUAAGCAGCCUCCUAUUCCAUCAGUUCCAAUUUAAUGUUCCUUUCCGUUUUUUGGUUAUGUAAUUUGCAUUUCAACAGAAAUGGAGCGAUUUUUUGUUGCUUGAUGUCACGCUGGAAUUGCGCGGAAGGGACAGCUUCAAGAUUCAGAACUCAGCUGGAGGCAAGAAGAACAAUAAAAGUAAUGCUCAGAAGGAUAAGCCCUUUGUAGCUUUUGAGAUCGGUUCAGUUCCUGAGAAGCGGCCGUACCUCCUAUCAAGGGAUCAUGUGCUUCUACGACCUGCCGGGAAGAAAACUGAACCUUUCCAGGUGCAUCUCUCAGGAUCUUCUUCUUCUUAUUCUUCUUAUUCUUAGAUUGGACUCAAAUCUUUACACUUACAGUGGCUUAGUUCGUGUCGUGGAUCUGUUUAGUGAACUUUUGUAUCAUUGCCAGGGAAUCCUGUUCCGGGUCGAAAAGAGCAAAUGGGUGUUAGCCGAAUUCUCAGACGAUUUCCACAAGCAACACUCACCCUCGAAGAAGUACGACGUUAGCUUCUCCUUCAACAGGGUUUGCUUGAAGCGGUCUCACCAGGCGGUUUCAGCUGCAAUGGAUCCUUUCCUCUGUAGCAUCCUUUUCCCCGACCCACCGCGUAACCCAUUUCUCGGACCCAUCCGUAGUUCCGAUUUCACCCAGAACGACCGAAAAAGUAACAUGCUUGCGAUAAUAGGCCGGAUUCUACGUCUGAAAGGUCCUCAGCCUUAUCUUCUACUCGAAGGGCCUCUUUCACAAGGCAUGGAGAAGCUGAUCCAAAUAGCUAUUCUCCAACUCUAUGAAACCUGUUCCAAUAAUAGAAUCCUUGUAUGUGCUCCGAGAAACUGGACAUUGGAUGCACUAACAAAAAGCCUGCUAAAGGAUAUCCCAGAAUCGAGAAUGUUCCGUGCUAAUGCGGCAUUUCGAGACUAUGAUCUCGUCCCGGAUGACGUUAUGCCGGCGUGCUUGUUUGAGGGGGAGUGCUUCACUUGUCCACCACUGGCUGAGCUUAAGAGUUUCAGGGUUGUUACCUCGACCUUCAUCAGUUCAUAUAGGUUGUAUGCUGCUGGAAUUGGUGCAGAUCAUUUCACUCAUAUCUUUCUCGUCGACGCGUCUUAUGCUACGGAGCCUGAAACUAUUGUGGCUUUUGCAAAUCUUGUGGGCAAGACUACGGCGAUUGUGGCGACAGGGUCGGCACAGGAGAGUCCGGCGUGGGUGAGAUCGGAUAUUGGUAGGAGAAAUGGAUUGAAGAAGUCGUUCUUUCGGCGGCUUCUUGAGAUGGAGCCCUACUCUCUGCGUGAUCCUAUGUACAUUGCCCAUAUCCAGUGAAUUUCUUGUGAAAGAAUUGAUGCGAUUAUGAUACUUACACCGACGGAUUUGUGUACAAGUGUGCGGCGAGUCGUGAUGCUUCUGAUAGCUGGUAUAGUAGAGUGGCCUCCAUAGAAAUGUUGUGUAAACAGUUGCUACAGUUCCAGUAAAUGUGUGUGGUUUGUGCUGAAUAAUAAACUCGUGCAUAUCUAAUAAUAACUUGCUCCAUAUGAUGAUUUCUCAUGUGAUUGAAAGCUAGUAGUUUUAUUUUUGCCUCUUGAAAGGUCUUAGCAUUUAUGAAGUCGCACUCAUCUAAUUAUCUAUGAAAUCUUAUGUACUUUUCGAUAAGUAAAAAAAAAAUGUGAAUAAAAUAUUCAUGCAUCUAAACACACUCGAAAUCUCAAUAUUAAGUACUUUCUGAUAGAUUGCGCAAGUGAUUUUUUGACCUUUCAAGAGAUUUCCCCAAACUUUCGCCAAGGUACCAGGUUGUUCCAGAACCUUCCAAUUGUUAUACAAUUGGACAAAUAAUUAAUCUGUGCAUUCCUUCACCUAGCAGUUUUUCUGGACAUCUUAUUCUAGGUCUUUGGAAAUGAAAAAGUUAGGGAUCAGAUUAUAGAGGUGCAGGAUCCCUGGAUCAAUGUACCCAUAGAUGUAAUGCCUGUCCUAAAUUUAAUGCUCAUAUUUGACACAUUUCAUUGAUUUCAACAACCGCAGAAUGAGUAAUCACCCGCACUUGUAUAAAAUGAUGAACAUCUUCAAGCAAAAACAAUAAAAACAUGACACUCAAUGCAACAGACUACUAUGCUUCAAAUUUCAAAGAAAAACCAUAUUGAGCAUAACUAAAAUUAAUGAUCAGGCUUUAAACUGCCAAUGGAACCAUCACUCACUACAUUCAUCACAUCGAAAGACGCAAGCAAAUCGACAUCCUAAUUGGCCAAGUAGUACAAUGCAAAUGCGUAAGCAUUUGGCAUAUUUAGAGUUGAGAAUAAGCCGAGAAAAGGACUUUUUGCUCUCAUGAACUUGCGGAGGCUUGCCUGAGUUUUGCUUGUAAUACCAGUCCAGCUUCAUCUGCUAUGCUUUUCUUUUUCGAAGCCAUCUGCAUUCAACGUUGAAGAAGUUACAAGGUAGCAUAGUAGAGAAAAAUGUUUCACAAUAAUCUGAAGAAAAUGUUCUUGCAUAGGAUGAAGAAAAUAAGUUAAGAGUCAAUAAACACCACAAGGCGACAAGUAUUUCACCGAACCUUCUUUAAAUAGAACCUUAUGCAUGAUUUUCUAUGAGUAUUACAGAAUAGCAAGUCAAGAAAACUGCACUAACAACAUAUAAAAUAACCUACAAAUGCUAAAGCACACUCUUGGAAGCGAAAAUUCAUGUGAAAAUUUUUUCUUACAAGAAGUUCAAUUUUAUUUUGAUUGCGCAAAAAAAUAGUAAUGUUUGGGUCAUAACUUAGUGCAUUUGAGUAAUGAGCUGAGAUUCCAUUGCCGGUUUAAUUGUUUGCUUUUAUAUUGUCCUCACCUUUCCUUAACCGGGCUUACACAUGAUGAAAAUGUGUACAACUGACUUUCCCUCUUGAUUGGCUUUACCCAAAUAUAUUAUCACUAGUACAGAGAUGUACAAUCAUGUGUAGAGAGUAAGAAUGGUAAAAAAUGAGACAAGAAGCAAAUUGUACAUAUAAUGGGCUUAAAUCAAUGACAUAAUUACAGUCUACAUAGCAAGAAGACAAAUCCUUUGACAGCCAAUAAAAACUGCUGCACAAACCAUAACACUGGAUAAGAGAAAAUAUAUUAGGCAUGAGACGCCUUUUUUGGGUUACCUGUUGACAUAGUUCAUCUGCAUGAACUGAAGCAAAUGGUGGGAAAAGAACUGAAAAUACCCAUUACUAAGCAUACAGCAUUCUAUGCCUAUUCAAAGACAAAUAACUAAAUACUUGAUACAUCAAGGGUCUUCUUGUUGUAUAAAAAGAUAUGCAAGUCUCUCUAAACUAUCGAGUUAAGUAUAGCUUUUGGAAUAAAACAAUCCAAUGAAAAGCUGGCGGUUUUUUCAGCGAGCAAAAACGAGUCAUAAAAAGUAUUGCUCACAACGCACAAGAUGGAAUCACAUACCUCAACGAGCUCAUCAAAAUUAGACUUCAAUAAAUUGAUUUUCCGCUCACAAUAGUCUUUGCCUUCGGCCAUGGUUUUCUGCAUUAACAAGAUAGGUAAUUAACCUUACAGUCAUGCAAGAAAGGUUUUCCAAGUCAAAGACAUAAACAUUUUAAGGUAUCAAGACAAAAAUGACCUUGACAUCCUUUACAAUGGUAUAGAGGGAUCAAUUCAUGAAAGGAUAACAGUUGUCUGAUAAGGGUGGAGAACAGGGUAUCGUAAAUUAUGCAUUUAUCCAAAUCAACCGAGCAUUUGCAAAACUAAAAUUCAAGCAGCAAUAGCCCAGAGAACAUCUAACCAUAUAAUUAACUAACAAAUUUCACAGGAAAAAUUAACAAUUGGAUAAGCCCCAAAGAAUCAUAGUCGAUAGUUCACAACAAACACAAACACUUUUACAGGAUUGAUUCAUGACAACACAACAAAAGAAUAGAUUAGAAACCGCAAAACCCAAAGAACAUUUUCCUAAAGAGAACUUCAUCCGUUUAACUUUCGCUAAAUUAUUUCGCUAAAGAGAACUUCAUCCGUUUAACUUUCGCUAAAUUAUUUCUCAUUUCAAUCUUACCCAGAAAGCAUGAUUUAGUUAAAGAAAAACCUUACUAACU
This 139723-nucleotide long non-coding RNA is filed under the name Ananas comosus (pineapple). Its description in RNAcentral is "long non-coding RNA (ACOM_LNC004705)". Lineage: Eukaryota; Viridiplantae; Streptophyta; Magnoliopsida; Poales; Bromeliaceae. The record is from RNAcentral.